RNAcentral lists this long non-coding RNA (105357 nucleotides) under Physcomitrium patens. RNAcentral describes it as "long non-coding RNA (PPAT_LNC012201)". Lineage: Eukaryota; Viridiplantae; Streptophyta; Bryopsida; Funariales; Funariaceae. The record is from RNAcentral.
UUUUUUUUGUAGGUCUUCUAAUCUCAAGUUUAUAUGAUUCUAUAUUUUUUUUAUAGUAGAUUAUUUUAUCAAGAUGGCAUAUUUUUUAUCAUGUAUAAAAUCUAUUAUAAGUCAAGAAAUAGCUAAGCUUUUUUUUCUUAAUAAUAUCUAUUGUUAUCAUGGAUUAUUCAAAGAUAUUGUAUCAGAUAAGAAGAUUCAAUUUAUAGCAAGAUUUUAGAGAGUCUUUUUUAAGAUUUUAAAGGUGGAUAUGAAGCUCUCUUUAGCUUUUCAUCUUUAAACUAAUGGACAAAUAAAAUGAGUGAAUAAAGUUCUGGAGCAAUAUUUGAGAUAUACCAUCAAUUAUCAUCAAGAUGAUUGAAUAACUCUUUUACCAUUAGUAGAGUUUGCAUAAAAUAAUUUAAUAUAUUCUUCAAUUUAAUAAACAUUUUUUUUUUAUUAAUUAUAGUUAUCAUCCAUGACUUGAUACUUUUAACUUUUUAAAAAUUGAUAAACUUGUAGCAAAAGAUUUGGCAAAUUAUUUAUUAGAUCUAUAUGCAAUGAUGAAGGCAUAAUUAAAAGAAGAUCAAGAAUAAAAAAAAGAUCAAUGCAGAUGCCUAUUGUAAGAAACAAUAACAAUUCAAUGCACGUGAUAAGAUAUAAUUAUUUUUUUGUAAUAUCAAGACUAUUCAUCUUUGUGACAAGUUGGACUAUUGUACGCUUUGACCUUUUCUUGUUUGUAAAUAAGUCAAUCUUAUUAUUUAUCAAUUACAUCUAUCAGAUUCUAUAGAGAUUCAUCUCAUAUUUCAUAAAUCUCUUUUUAAGUCAUAUAAAAUAGUGAAUAUUUUGGGAAGAAGACAAAUGUCACUUCCUCCUAUAGAAGUGGAUAAUAAUCAAGAAUUUGAAGUAGAAGAAGUCUUAGAUUGAAGGUAACGCCAAAAUAGAUUGGAAUAUCUUGCUCAUUGGAAUAGAUAUGAUAUUAGUAAAUAUACAUGGAAUGAAACAUAACCGGUCUAUCUCAAAAAUCCAAGACCUUUUUAAUCUACCGCAACAUAAAAUUUUAUUAUGAGAUAAGAAAAAUUAGACUACAAAAAAACUGAAUAAAACUAAAUAGAGUGGAAAACAAAAGAAAAAAUUAAGCAAACAAAAAUAAAUAAAAACUAUACUAAACAAGAAGAUACAAAACUAAAUUUUAUUAAGAGAAGAUUCAAAGCCAUACCUGAUCAGAUAUCCCAAAAGGUCCUAGCCAGUCCUAUUUAUAUCUUAUUCCACCAUCCUAAACUUUCUAGAAUAUUCUUAGGUAGUGGAUUUCACAUAGAUAACUAUCCUAAGUCUUUUUUAAAAGGUUCUAUGAUAGGUUCUACCUAUUUAAGUAUUGUAAACUCUUUCUAGAAUGUUCUACAAUAGAUCCUACCUAAUCCACUAAUUUAACCUCAAUUUUAAAAACUUCUAUAGUUCUAAUUAUCUAUCCUUAUACAAAUAUCUUAUUCAUAUCGUGUUACAAUUAAUCCCACUCCAUUAAUACAAAACAUCCUUAUUUUGCUCUCAAUGGUAUCUCCAAAUUGUAUCUUGGCAAUAAGUGAGGUUUUGUGCACAUUUCCAUGUUGCAUCGUGAAUGGGAUAAUCUUUCCAAAGAACUUUGUAUUAAAAUUAUAGACAUUCACUUCAAUAGUAAUGGUAGCAAUAUUCCAAAAUACUGUUGAUUUCAUAUUUCUAUUAAUCAUCAACUACAACUAAUGGUGUUGGUGGUUGGUAUCAAUCUGAAAAGUACUUUGGCUAGGUAUGAAAUUCUUUCAAUUAUGAAAUAUGAAAGAUUGAAUGGACUUCAAUAUGUGGCAGAAGCUCGAGGCAAUAUGCGACAUCAAAAAUUACUACAAAAAUGUGAAAAGGUCCCAGCAAUCAAGGUGUUAGUUUAAAAAUUUGGAUUGAUAUAAUAAGUGGCAAGUUGGUAUUGAAGAGUAACACUUGAUCACCCUCUCGAAAGAUCUUUUAUUCCUAGUGGUUAUCCACAUAUUAUUUUUCUUGAUUAUGUAUAGUAAAGAAGCAAUACCAUGACUUUUGUAAUGUUAUUAUAAGCCAUUGUAUAAAUUCAUCUAUUGUUGGGUUGUUGGUAUUGAUGGAACAAUGGAUAAUUAUUGGUGUAAUUACAUGCUGAUUGGUAUUAAAGAAAAAUGGUGAAUGAUUGGUACUUGCUUUAAUAUUGUCAUUGUAAGCAAAUUCUCAAGGCAUCAAGUAUUCAUCCUAAUCAUUAUGAUGAACCACCACAAAUGCUUGUAUUAUAUCCUCCAAGGUUUGAUUUGAAUGCUCUAUUUAUCUAUUUAUUUGGAAAUAGAAAGUUGUAGACAUGACAAGUUGUGUGUCUAGUAGCUUGAAUAAAGCUUGUCAAAAACUUCCCAUGAAGCAUGGAUCCUAAUCUAAAAUGAUGACAUGAAAUAAUCCAUUAUGACAAAAGACAGAAUAAAAAAGGACUUGUGCAAGUGCUAAGGCAUCAAUAUCUGAGCAUAUUGUGACAAAAUGAAGUUGUUUUGAGAGUCAAUCUACAAAGAUAGCAAUCAUGAUAUAAUUAUGAGGCAUUUGCUAUAAAUACAUAAUGAGAUCUAUAGUCACUUGCUUCCAACAUGUUGUAAGUAGCACAAUUGGCUAUAAUAAUUUAGGAGAUUUUGCAUUGCGUGCUUUAUUACAUUGACAUGACUUGCAGGAACAUAUAAAGGCUUGAACAUCACAACUCAAUCCUGUCCAAAAUCAUAUCCUUGAGAUGCAUUCUAGAAUCUUCUCUCAUUUCAGAUAUCCAAAUAUUAAGAUUUAAUGUCUUUCUUGAAGUAUGAGCAUCCAAAGUAUAGUAUUAUAAAGUACAUAAAUUUACUUCUUGAAAUAGAAGAAGCCAUUACUAAGACUAUAAUCUUAAUACUAUAUAUUGCUCAUCUUCAAUCAAUUGCUAACCAUCUUGAAAUAAGCAUCUUGAUGUGUAACUUCCUUCCAUUUCACUUCUUUUGUUAGAUUUGAAAUAAUACUACUAAUGGUAGCGAUUUCUACCUCGUCUUUUGAUUUAUUUUUCAAAUCUAAUUUGUACAAUAAGAUGUCUGGCAUAGUAUGUUGUCACCUUUGCUUGUACUUAAGUUGGAUAUCAAAAAGUUGUAACUAUUCUUUUCAAUGAUGAUGUCGUGAUUUUAUAUUUUUCAGAUACAAAUUCUGUAGCAAGGGUCAAUAGUGAGUUCAAAUAACCAUUGGCUUCUCCAAUAGAUAGUGUCACCAUAGCUUUAUGAUAUGUACAAUCGCUAAUUGCUCUCGAUUAGAGGUAGAGUAAUUGCACUCUUUCUUUCUUAACUUCUGUGAUUCAUAUGCCAUAGCUUGAAGGUCCCUACCAAAGUCUUGUUAAAAGAUUGUUCCAAUAGUAAAGACAGAAGCAUCAAUGUCAAGCGUACAAGAAAAGUUAAGAUCAUGUAAUUAGAAUAUUAGAGCAAUAAUAAGUGCAUUCUUUAACUUGUGAAAGAUGCUUUGUUGCUCCAAUUUCCAUUCAAAUGGGGCACCUUUUUUUAAUAGAUUUAUCAAUAAAGCAGCAAUGUGAGCAAAUUGCUAAACAAAACGACAGUAAUAUCUAGUAAGGUCUAAAAAUGAAUGAACUUCAAAAGGAUCUUUAAGGGUUGGCCAAUCCUCCAUUGCUUUCAUCUUAUCUUGUUUUAUAUGUACAUCUUUGAAAGACACCACAUAUCCCAAAAAGAUUACUUUUGAUUUUUAAAGUUCAUAUUUUGAUUGCUUGCAAUAAAAGGGACUAUCUUAUAAUUGAUGUAGUACUUUUCAUAGGUAUUAUUCAUACUCUUCAGGAAUUUUAUUGUAUAUGAGGAUAUCAUCAAUGAAAAAAACUACAUACUUAUCUAAAAGAUUCCAAAACUAUUUAUUCAUGUGAUCUAUGAAAGAAGUUAGAGCAUUGGUGAGGCUAAAGAAUAAAACCAGCCAUUCGAAAUGUCUAUAGCGUGUAUAAAAUGUCAUCUUUUCUACAUCCUUUCUUGAAAUAGGUAUUUUCUAAUAGUGGCUCCAAAGGUCUAAUUUAUUAAAAAUGGUCGCACCUUGAAGUUGGUCAAGAAGAUCAUCUAUGCAUUGUCAAGAUAGAGAGAAUUUGCCUCAAGAAAGCAUUAGGCUCCUCGUUGCCACUAAUUGCUCAAUUAAGUCUUAAAAUAAAGAAGACUAAGUUUUUAUAUAUAAAUAUAAUACUUUUAGAUGUUAUUACAUCAAAUAUAUAAGUCUUAAGUUCCCAACAACAUCCAAAAUAUGAUAAAAUAUCUAAAUCCUUUAAUAUCCUUAUGUAGUAUUAUUCCCAAACUUCAAAAACUCAUAUCCUCUAAUUGGACCAUUCACACAUAUUCAAAUUUUACAUGAAGUAGUGAUGUACUUCUAACAACUACAACAACAAUUUUUAACUAUAAAUUCAUUGCAGAUCUUAAGAUAUCACCAAAAUCCUAACAUAAGCUUCAAACCCUAGAUUUUAUAUAUUUGCAUGAAAUUUUCUUCAUAUCUCACAAAUUAAGCACUUAAAUUUCACAAAUUUUUUAUUUAUAGCUUUUUAAUAUAAUAAUCUAUCUUCUUCAAAAGGUUUGAGCCAAAAAUUUGUGAGAUAUGAAGAAAAUUUCAUCCCUCCUAAUAAGCCUCCUACAAGUUAAGAUUUUCAUCUUUUGGCUCUAAUCUCCUCUCAAGGCUUCAUACUGAAUAUUUAGGUCCUAUAAUUUUUUUGAAAUACUAGAAACAAAAAAAUUAAAACUCAAAAUAAAGAUUCUUAAAUCCACUCUCUUUAAUUAAUCUAUUAAUUAUUCUAACACAUACUAAGACUUAUGAAUAUAUUAUAUAUUAUAACUAAUUUUUACAUACUGUAAGCAAUUACAAUAUGACAACAUGGAGGUGGAUAUGCAUUCUUAACAGUUUGUUUGUUGAAACCUCGAUAGUUGAUGCAAAUACAAAGUCGACUAUCCUUCUUGGAUAUAAAGAAUAUAUGUGUUCUCCAUGGUGAUGUGGUUUCUUCAAUGAGAUCUUUCUCCAAGAGUUCAUCCAAUGUCUUUCACAACUCUUCAAGUUCUUUUGGUGCUAGACAAUAAAUUGAUUGACUUGAUAGUUUGGCUCCAAGCAAUAGUUCUAUUUGAAAGGGGGCACCUCAAUCAAGAUGCAAGCCACUAGAUAGGUCGAUUGGAAAGACAUUCUAAUAUUCCUAUAUAAGUUACUUUGUCCUUUUUGCUCCUCCAAUUGUCUUGCCUACCAAUGAUGUAAGAUUUGAAACCACUAUAUAUACUAAUUAUUUAUGCUGUAUUUAUUUCUUCAUAAAGCUUGUCCUUACAAGUAAAUCUUUGGUUGCAAAUUAUCUUUUUUCUUCACUUGAUACAAAGGUACAAAGAGUCACCUUGUAUCUACCAUCUUUAAAAAAAAUUGUCCUUGCUACUCAAUCAACUUACUUAUUUUUCAUCUCUAAUCAUGGAAUACCAAGCAUAAUAUCAUAUCUUAGCUUUGUCACCUUAAACCUCUCUUUUAAGACACAAGUCUCAAUCAACCUGAAGGUUUCUUUUGCACAUGUUUUAUUUAAUAUGUUUUCUUGGUCAUCUACAAGGUAUAUACUUCUUCUCUUGAUUUCUUUAGUUUUAAUUCUAAGUCAAUUAAUAAUUUCAAUAAAGAUAUAAUUUUUCAUAGAGCCAAAAUCUAUAAGUACUUGGCAUGGUUAUCUUCUAAGUAGUCCUAUUAGAUACACUAGUUGACUCUUGUUAUAGUUGUCUAAGGCCAUGCCAUUUGUCUUUGAGGGACAAUAACUAUCCUCAAUACAAUCCUUGGUACCUUUACUGAGGAACCUCAUUUUUUUGCUCUAUCUCAUUAUCAACUUAGUGAGUUUUGAAACUAUAAACCAGCCUUAUCUUAUUGGUGCUUGAAUUUUGAGGUUUUGGAUAAUCUUCAAUCUAAUGGCCUUAUUCCAAAAUAUAGAAAUAUAAUUCCAUUUGUACCAAUAUUUGUUGUCUUUGUAGUGUCAAUGAUCCUUGUAAGGCAUCAAUCUCCAUUGAUAUUGGUUUUUGUGCCAUAGUAUUAAAUGGUAGCAUGUAACUUUGUGCUAUAGGUCUUACUCUAUAAUUUUUGAAAUCUAUAGCAUCGAUUGUCUUUGCAAUCCAAAUUGCAUCUUCAAAUAUUUUUGGAUCUCUUAGCUCUACCUCUUAUUAGAUUCUAGGUUUCAAAUCUCAUAGAAAUCAAUCUAUCAUUUUUGCUUUCGAAACAUUGCCAAUUUAAAAAUAUAAAGACUUGAAUUAAGAGACAUAAUCUUGCACCAAUCUAGAUUGUAUAAGUUAUAUCAAUUGAUUGUGAGCUAUCUUCUCCACAUUGAUGGACCAAAAUUGAUUCUUAAACUUGGUCUCAAACUUCUCCCAAUCACAAAAUCCACCUUAAGCUUCAUAGCUUUGAACUCGAUGUCCCUACCAAAUGAUUGUUACAUCUCUCAAAUAGCUAGCUACAUAUAUAAUUCCUUUAGUGGUAUUUGUUUCAAAUACUUAGAGGUAUUGUUACAUGUUGAAGAGUUAUUUUCAUACAUCUUCUUGUCUUGAAGUGCCAAAGUAUUUACUAGGCUUAUUCAAUUUUAUCAUAGCAAAUGUAGAAUCUUUUGUCCUUGAGGCCAUUAUUUGUCCUUACAAAGUAAUUAUUUGGCCUAAGAGGUGUUAUAUUUGAGCUUCCAUCCAAGAUUGCUCUAUCAUAUUUUCCAUGUUGUAAUUUCUUUGUUGGAUUCUAUUAUUGUAAUGCCUUUUCACUUUUCAAUUGAUUUUUUAAGAGUAAUUCAUAGUAGCUUCAAUACAGUACUUGGUGUGAUCUUAACAAUUGAUCUUGGACUAGAUGAUGACUAUUGAUAUAUUAUCAAAAGUAAAUAAUAUAAUACAUGCUCUAAUAUUAAUGAAACAUGACCAGUCUAUCUCAAGUAUUGAAGCUCCUUCUAAUCCAUUGUAACAUAAAACUUCAUCACAAGAUAGGUCAAAUUGGACCAUAACAAAACUAAAUAGAAUUAAACAAAAUGGAACAUGGAUGACAAAACUGAGCAAACAGAAAUAGAACAAAACAUAACUAAACAAGAAGAUGUAAAAUCAAAUUUUACUAAGAGAGAAGGUUUGAAGACAUAUCUGACCAAAUAUCUCAAAAGGCCCUAACCAAUCCUAUUUAUACCUUGUUCUAUCACCUGGGACUUUUUAGAAUGUUUCUAGAUAGUAGAUCCUACUUAAAUAACGGCUUUAAACUCCUUCUAGAAGCUUCUAUAUUGGACCCUAUCUAGAUAACUAUUCUAAGCCUUUUUUGAAGGAUUCUAUAGUAGGUUCCACUUAUAUAACCAUCCUAAAUUCUUUUUAGAAUAUUCUAUGAUGGAUCCUAUGUUAUCUACUAAUAAAACUUUAAUUCUAGAAAUUCCUAUGGUUCUAAUUAUUUAUUCCUAUAUAAAUAUUUUAUCUAUAUCCUAUUAUAUAGGAUCAAAGAAUGAAUCUUGUAAAUGCAACAAAAAGAGUUUAGGCUUUUCAUAGAUGACAUCCAUCAAUACUAAGAUAAAAAUUAAUAAAUCCUUAUUAUAAUAGAAUCAAGUUCCAAAGAAGAUAACAUUCUACCUUCUAUUCUUGUUUGUAGUUUCUAUGUAUUUGUGAUACUAAAGAGAUAGAGAACCAACAACUAGCAAAUUUAACUCAAGAGCUUUUACUUGCUAACUUAUUGAACAAGACAUUACAAUUGUGACAAUCUUUAAAAUAAUAUAAUCAAGUUGAAGAUCUUUAAGAACAACAUGUCUUUCCUUGAAUAGAUGGCAAGAUAUAAUGUUAUUGUAUAGCAUGGUUUUCUAUCUAAGAAUACACUAAGUAUCUAAUUGUAGAGAGUUUAGCUUUAAUUUAUUGGUCAAGUUCCAAUAAGUGAUAUAUUUUUAUUACAUAGCCCAAAUAAAUACAAUAGUAUCAAAAGAUAUUCUAUUGAUAAAUUUCUUUUCUAUUUAAGAAGGUUUAUAUAUAAGGCUUUUUAAAGCAUCUACGAAAGCUCUAUCAUCUUUUGUUAUACCAAAUUAUAAUUAAUUAAUUACUAAUGAAUUUAAUUUUUUAUAAGUUUAAAAAAAUUUAUAAUCUUUUUAUAGCUCUAUAUCACUAUUUUUAAUAGACACACAUACACACACACACACACACAUAUAUAUAUAUAUAUAUAUAUAUAUAUAUAUAUUAACUAUUUGCUUCCAAAAACCCCUUCACUUUGCAUAAAAUGUCCAAAUUGUUGAAAAAAUCCUUUUGAACUAUUUUUCUUCCAUAAAAGAUUUUUUUUCUUCUAAAUUUUAGGAAUUCAUAUCUCUUAAUUUAAUUCUUCAAAUUUUCUCAAAUUUUUAGAUAAUAUAGGCUUUAUUUUUAAGCUUUAUUACAAAAAAAUGAACUAUAAAUGUACUACAAAUCAUCUGGUAUCUUAGAAAUCCUAGUAGGUACUCUAAAUCCUAAUUUAUAAGCACUUGAAUACUAUUUUCUUCAUAUCUUAAAAAUCCAAAUUUUAAAUACUACAAAACUUAUAAAUAAAGUUUAAUUAUAUAAUAAAACAUAUUUUUAAAAAAAUUUAGCUAAAAUCUUAUCGAAUUGCUUAAGAUAUAGCUCAAAACACAACCACUAAUAAAUUGGAUCUUUUACUACCCUUAGAUUGCAAGUGCUGACUUCAACUUCUUAUAACUUCUUAAUUUUAGUAUAAAAUUCAUCAAAUAAUAAAUAAAUAGUAUAUUAAAAAAUCUAUUUAUUUCAAUCCUUGUUGUCAAUCUUUCAUUGCUUUUUGUAUGCAUGCAUUAUAUCCAAAAGAACGAUAGAAGGUAUAUAACCAAUAUCUUAAUUUUGACUAUCUAUAUUUAUUUCAUAAAAACUCCAAAUCACACAAAAUUUACUUCAAAACUAUAGCCAAAAACCUAGUUUUUUUUUACUAUAGCCUCUUAAGUUUUAAUUACUUCAAAAAUUAAUCUUAAUUACUAAUAAGCCCUCAAAUAACCUCCUUGAAGCCUACUAGCUAUGCCUUUUAGCCAAAAGUAAUAGGAAUUUUCAUCAUCCAUUUCCAUUCAUCCAUAUGGAUAUCUUAACUAUUCUUUUUGCUACCAAAAUUCCUCUCCAAUAUUUUUUUUUUAAUAAGAUUUACAUAAUAUAUGUCCUAAACAUCAAAUAAAAGAAACAAGAUAAGAUUUCAAGUAUCACUUAUAUCUAAUAAAUAUGGCUUUAAAUAUAUAAAACUUUUAACAACAUAAAAUCAAUUUUAAUAAUAGCUCUUCAAAGUAAUAAUCUAAUCAUAUUUUGUAAUUAACUAAAAUCUAAUAAUGUUGUUCUUAUUAUAUUGUAUAGUAAAUUAUAUAUUAAAUAUUUAUAUGUAUUAUUCACAUAGUAAUCAAACCACAACACAAUAAAAUAUUUGAUAUCACAAUCUUAAAAAAGAGUCUCUAUGUUUGAUGAUUUUAUUAAUUUGAAUGCCUAUCAUAAAGAAUAACCACAAUUCAAUGUAGGUGACAAGAUAUGAUUACUUUGCUUCAAUAUCAAGACUACUCAUUCUUGUAAUAAGUUGGACUAUUAUAGGCUUGAAUCUUUUUUUAUUUGUGAAUAAAUUAAUUUUGUUGCUUAUCAAUUAUAUCUAUUAAAGUUUAUGAAGAUCCAUCUCGUAUUUGAUGUGUUUCUUCUUAAGCCAUAUAAGACAGUGAAUAUCUUGAAAAAAAGACAAAUGCCACAUACUACCAUAGAAAUGCAUAGUAAUUAAGAAUUUGAGGUGGAAAAAAUCUUAGAUUUGAGACGGUGCCAAAAUAGGUUGAAAUAUUUCAUUUAUUAGCAUGGAUGUGAUAUUAUUGAACACACAUGAAAGCCAAUAAAGAAUCUUAUAAAUACUAUAAAAAAAUCUUGUAAAUACCAUAAAGAAGCUUAUAAAUGUAUUAAAGAAGGUUAAGGCUUUUCAUCGAUGAUAUCUAUCAAAAUUAAGAUGAAGAAUAAUAAAUCUUUGUUAUAAAAGAAAAAGAUCCAAAAAAGAUAGCAUUCUACCUUCUAACUUUAUUUAUAGUUUUUAUAUAUUUGUGAUACUAAGAAGAUAGAGAACCAAUAAUCAACAAAUUUAAUCCUUAAAAAUACCAAGUCCUUCCUCAAAUAGAUAGCAAGAUACAACAUGUUUGAUAUUACAAUCUUAAAAAAGACUCUUGAUGUUUGAUGAUUUUAUUAAAUGAAUUGGAACUAAAUUCUCUUAAGGAUUUAAAAACCAUUCUAGUUUAUAGCAAUAUAAAUUCCAUCACAAAGUAGCAUAAAAUGAACUAGAAAAAAAUUAAAUAGAACUAAAUAAAAUAGAAUAUGGAAGAGAAAACUUAGCAAAAAAAAAAAAAAUAGAACAAAACAGAUAAUGCAAACCAAAUUUUACUAAGAGAAAGGGAUUGAAGCCAUGCUUGAUCAAAUAUCCCAAAUAAAAUCAAUUAGUUCUAUUUAUACUUUAUAUAAUGAUCUUAGAACUUUCUAAAAUAUCCUUAAUGGUGGCUCCAUUAAGAUAGUUGUCUUUUUAGAAGAUUCUAAAAUUGAGCCCCAUCUUAGUAACUGCCAUCUUGAGAGAUUUUAGAAGUAGGUUCUAUGUAGAUAACUUCUUUUAGUUUUUCUAAGAUGUUUCAUGGUAAAUCCUAUAUAGACUACCAAAUUUGUUUCAAUUCUAAAAACUUCUAGAAUCUUCUAAAAAACAACUUUAAUUACCUAUUCUUAUGUGUCAAUAAUACAAUUAUCUUAUCUAUGCCCCAUUACAAUUAAUCCUCAUCUACUAAUAUAAAACGUUCUUAUUUUGUUUCCAAUAGUACUUCUAGAUUGUUUCUUAAUAAUAAGUGAGGUUUUGUACAAGUUUUUAUAUUGCAUUGUGGAUGGUAUAGCCUUUCCAAAAGAUCUUAUAUUGAAGUUAGGAACAUCCAUUGCUACAACAAAAGUAGAUACUUGUUGAUCAUUAAUCACAAAUGAUGGUGGUGGUAAUUGAUGCCACUCCAAAAAGUGCCUUGGUUUAGUAUGAAACUCCUUGAACUGCAAAACAUGGAAGACUAGAUAGACUUGAAUAUGUGAUGGAAGCUCGAGGUAAUAUACAACAAAAAUCUUCAAAACCAUCAAGGAGCUAGCUUAUGAAGUUGAGUUGAUAUAAUAAGUAAAAAAAUUUGUAUUGAAAAGUAAUAUGGGGUCAUCCUCCUAGAAGGUCUUAUAUUACGGGUGGUUAUCUGCAUAUUACUCUUUCAAUUCUAUAUAAUAAAGAAGCAAUGCUAUGCUUCUUAUAAGAAAAUUAUAAGUCAUUAUAUAAACUCUUCCAUUAUUGAGUUAUUGAUGUCAAUAGAAUAAUAAAAAAUUAUUGGUGUAAUGAGAUGUUGAUCAAUAUCAAGGAAAAAUAAUAAAUGAUUAAUAUUUUCUUGAAUACUAUCAUUAUAAGCAAAUUCUAAGGGCAUCAAAUAUUCAUCCCAACUAUUAUGAUAAACCACCACAAAUGCUCGUAGCAUAUUUUCUAAGGUUCAAUUUGCAGGCUUUAUUUGUUCAUCCAUUUGAUGAUAAAAGACUCUAGAUCUAGUAAGUCAUUUAUCCAGUAGCUUGAAUAAGACUUUUUAAAAACUUUCCAUAGAGCACGGAUCUUGAUCUGAAAUAAUGACACAAAGUAAUCCAUAGUGAUGAAAGAUAGUAUCAAAAAAGAUUCAUGUAAGUACUAAAAUAUCAAUAUCAAAUUGCAUCAUAGCCAAGUGAAGUUGUUUUGACAAUUGGUCUACAAAGACAACAAUUGUAGUAUAAUUAUGAGGUAUCUAUGGCAAACAUGUAAUGAGAUUCAUGGUCACUUGCUCCUAACAUGCCAUAGGUAGUGGAAUUGGCUACAAUAGCUCAAAAGAUAUUGUAUUGCAUACUUUAUUACGUUGAUAUGACUCUCAAGAGGAUACAAAAGUUCAAAUAUUAUGGUCCAAAUCUAUCCAAAAUCAUAUCCUUGAGAUUUGUUCUAGAGUCUUUUGACACCUUAAAUAUCCAGAUAUUAGAAUAUCUUAUUCUUCUUAAAGUAUGCAUGUUUGGAGUAUAGCAUCAUUACAUGCAUAACUUUUCUUCUUGAAAUAAAACAAGCCAUCACUAAGAUCUUAACCACUUUUAGCCAAUUGCUAGCCAUUUCUAUAUUAUACAUCAUCCACUUUUAGCCAUUUGUUAACCAUCUUGAAAUAAAUAUCCUAAUAUAUAGCUUUCUUUUAUUCUACUUCUUUAAUUAGAUUUGAAAUGACAUUCGUAAUAGUAGCAAUUUUUGCUUUGUCUUUUAAUUCAGCCUUUAAGUCUAGUCUCCAUGAUAAGUUGUCUAGCAUAAUAUAUUGUACUCAAAUUGAAUUUCAAAUAAUUUGAAACUAUUCUUUCCAAUAAUGAUGUUGUGAUUUCAUAUUUUUCAGAUGCAAAUCAUAUAGCAAGAAUCAAUGGUCAAUCCAAACAAUUAUUGGCUUUUCUUACAAAUAGUUUUGCCAUAUCUUUGUGACAUGUACAAUCAUUAAUUAUUCUCAAUCAUAUGUAGAGUAAUUAUGCUUUGUAUUUUUUAGCUUACGUGAUUCAUAUAUUAUGGAUUGAAGGUCCCUACUAAAGUAUUAUUGAAGGACUACUCUAAUAGCAAAGUGGAAAGCAUCAAUGUUAAGUAUAUAAGGAAGGUUGGGAUCAUAUGAUUGCAAUAUUGGAGCAAUAAUAAGUGCCACUUUCAACCUAUCAUAGGUACUUUAUUGCUCUAUUUAAAUGAAGUACUUUUCUCUAAUAGACUUGUCAAUGAGAUAAUAAUGUAUGCAAACCACCAAACAAAAUGGUCAUAAUAUCUAGCAAGGUAUAAGAAUGAGUAAAUUUUAAAAGCAUCUUUAGAGGUUGGCCAAUUUUCCUCUGCUUUCACCUUAUCUUCUUCCAUAUGCAUGUCCUUGGAAGAUACUACAUGUCCUAAAAAUAUGACUUCCAACUUCUAAAGUUUAGACUUUGAUUACUUGUAAUAAAAGCAACUAUCUCAUAGUCGGCACAAUAUUUUCUAUAGGUAUUACUCAUAUUUUUUAGAAAUUUUAUUAUAGUCUAGGAUAUCAUUGAUGAAGACAACUAUAUACUUGUCUAAAAGUUCUUGAAAUAGUUUGUUUAUGUGACUUAUUAAGGAAGUUAGAGCAUUAGUGAAGCCAAAAGAUAAAACAAACUAUUGAAUAUGUCUAUAGUACAUACAAAAUACCAUCUUUUUUAUAUCUUUUUUUAUAAUAGAUAUCUUUUAAUAGCUACUAUAAAGGUCUAAUUUACUAAAUAUAGUUGUACCUUAAAGUUAGUCAAGAAGAUUAUCUACAUAUAAAAAUAGAUAUGCAUUCUUGAUAGUCUAUUUAUUGAAGCUUCAAUAAUCAAUGCAAGGCCAGAGUCCACCAUUCUUAUUAGAUACAAAGAAUAUAAGUGUUCUCUAUAGUGAUGUGCUUUUUUGAAUAAGCUCUUUCUUCAAGAUUUUUUCUAAUGACUUUUGUAGCUCUUCAAGUUUAUUUGGUAUUAAGUGAUAAAUUCGCCGACUUACUUGUUUGGCUCUAAGUAAUAAUUCUAUUUAAAAAAGGGUACCUUAAUCAAGUAGCACGCCACUAGAUAAGUCAAUUGGAAACAUAUCUUGAUAUUCUUUUUUGAAUUAUUUAGCUUGUUUUUCUCCUUCAAUUGUCUUUUCUACCACUGAAGGAAGAUUUGGAACCACUACAUAUAUUAGUUGCUUAUGUUAUAUUUAUUUUUUCAUAAAGGUCAUGUCUACAAAUAAGCUUUUAGUUGUAGAUUGCUUUGUUACUUCACUCGAUGUAGAAGCACAAAGAAUCACCUUAUAUUUAUUGUUUUUGAAAGAGAUCGUCCUUGCUAACUAAUCAAUUUACUUAUUUUCUACCUCUAGCUAUGGCAUACUAAAGAUAAAAUCAUAUCUGAACUUAGUUACAUUAAACUUCUCUCUCAAGGCAUAUAUAUCAUUCAAUCUCAAGGUUUCUUCUUUAUAUGUCUCAUUUAAUACAUUCUCUUGAUCAUUAAUUAAAUAUAUGCUUCUUCUUUUGAUCACUUUGAUUUAAAUUCUAAAUCAAUUGGUAAUCUCAAUCGAGAUAUAAUUUUUUGUAGAGCCACAAUCUAUAAGCACUCAACAUGGUUGUCCUCUUAGUCAAUCUACUAGAUAUGCUAGUGAAUCCUUUUGAUAGUUGUUCAAGGUCAUGCCAUUUAUCUCUGAGAGACAAUAACUAUCCUUUGUAUUGGCCUUUGGUGCUUUUAUUAAGAAGUUCCAUUUCUAUACUUUACUUCUUUAUCAUUUCAAUGAACUUCAAGAUUAAGAAUAUACCUUGAUUUAUUAAUAUCUGAAUUUUAAUGCUUUAAAUAAUCUUUGAUCUCAUGGCCUCACUCUUAAAAAUAAUAACUUAAUUCCUACUAUACCAAUAUUUGUUGUCUCUAUAGUAUUAAUAGUCCUUAUAAGGUAUCAAUCUCUAUUGGCAUUAGUUGUUAUGCCAUACUAUUGGAUAGUAUCAUAGAAUUUUGUUCUAUAGGUUGUACUCCAUGGUUUUUGAAAUCUAUAGCAUCAACCUUUUGUGCAAUCCUAACUACCUCUUCAAAUAUUUGCGGAUCUCUUAAUUCUACCUUUCAGUGAAUCAUAGGUUUUAAUUCUUAUACAAAUUGAUCGAUCAUGUCUGCCUUUUGAAACAUUAUCAAUUUGAAGACAUAAUAAUUUGAAUCAAGAGACAUAAUUUUGUACUGACCUGAAUUGUAUAAGGUUAGCUAAUUGAUAGCAUACCAACUUCUUUGCUUUGAUGGGCCAAAAUUGAUUUCUAAGUUCAAUCUCAAAAUUUUUUUAGUUACAAUAUCUACCUUAAAUUCUAUAGUUUUGAGCUUCAUAUAGCCACCAAAUAGCUGCUACACCUGUUAAAUAGCUAACUGCAUACAUAAUUCCUUGAGUGGUGUAUGCCUCAGAUAGUUGGAUAUAUUGUUGCAUAUUGAAGAGCUAUUGGCAUACAUCUUCUUGCCUUAAAGUUUCAAAAUAUGUUUUGAACUUGCUUAAUUUUAACCUAGCAGAUGUCAACUCUUUUGCUCUAAAAGCUUCCAUUUGUCCUUGCAAAGUAGCUAUUUGAUUUAGAAAGUGUUGCACCUAAGCCUCUAUUUUAGAUGGCUUUAUCAUAUCUUCUAUAUUACAAUUUUCUUAUCAUACUUUACUAAUAUAAUGCCCUCUAUUCUUCCAAUUGACUUCUUAAUAGUAGCUUGUGGUAGCUCUAAAAUAGUAACCAAUAUGAUUUCAAGGAUUAACCUCUAAUUAGACAAUGGCUAUUAACAUACUACUAAAGAACAUACUAAACUUUACUCUAAUACUAAUGAAAUGGGACUGAAUUCUCUUAUAGAUCUAAUAAUUCUUUCAAUCUAUAGUAAUAUAAAUUUCAUUACAAAGUAGGAUAAAAUGGACCACAAUAAAAUUAAACAAAAUAGAAUAUAAAAGACAAAAUAUAGCAAAAAGAUAUAGAAUAGAACAAAACAAAAAAUACAAACUAAACUUUACUGAGAAAAAGAAAUUUAAGCCAUAUUUGUAUGACGGAUAUACACAUGUAAACCAAUAAUUACCUAUAUGAUUAGAUAAAAAUAGAUAAAAGUAGAUUAAUUCCAUAACAUCUUCUAUAGAAGCUUUUUUGAAGCUUUAUAGACGGUGCUUUGACUUUAUAAGUAUCUAUAAUUAAUUUUUUAAGUUAAAAAGUUAGUCAACAAGUUGGCCAUGUGCCACACAUGUUGGUAGCUUGAAAAAAAAAACUAACUAUAUAGCCGACAUAUAGAAAAUUUGUUUUGUAAGCUAAGGCAUUUGUCCUAUAAAGUCAACACAUAUAAUAUUGAAACAUAGAAAGCAAACUCCACACAAGCAAGUUAGGACCAGCAAGGUUGCACUUCACAAAUAGAAUGUGGUAUGAGAUAAUUCUUCCCAUGCCAACCCUUUUCUUAUAUACUAGUACCAAGGUACCAUGUGUUACAACCCAUAUGGGAUAUCUCUUAGGACCAGCCUCUCCUUGUAUUCUAAGGCUCUAUAGACCAGCAACUAACCUUGUAGGAUAUCCCUCAUUACUCAUAUACUCUAUUGACCAUUAGCAACAACUAAAUGAGUUCUUUCCUUCAACACUCCCACUUUGCUAUUGGUCAAUUAGCUAUCAAUCCUAAUGCCUUACUCAAUAUGUUGUAUCUCUCUUUCACCAAGGCUUUUGUUAGCAAAUCAGCCAACAUGUCUUUGGUUUCACAAUACAUCAUAUCAAUAACUCCCAUCUCUAUCUUCUCUCUUAUAAAGUGGUGUUGAAUAUCAAUGUGCUUGGUUCUUGCAUGAUGCUUUGGAUUCUUUGCAAAAGCCAAACAUCCUUGAUUGUCACAUCUCAAUGGAGUGGCUUCCAAUUGCACAAGUCCAAUGUCUUCCAACAACAACCUCAACCAAAUUGCCUCCAUUGCUCCAUGACUUGCUGCCAUAUACUCCGCCUCCAUUGUGGACCUUGCAAUGGUUGGUUGUCUCUUACAAUUCCAAGAUAUGGCUCCCAUUCCAACAAAGAAUACAUAGCCCGUUGUUGAUCUUCUAUCAUUUGUAUCUCCAGCCCAAUCCGCAUCACAAUAUCCAUGUAAUCCAAUAUUAUUUCCUCCAAGACAUAGUUUAUGGUUCAAAGAGCCUUUCAAGUACCUCAUGAUUCUUUUGAUGGUUGCCCAAUGCAUAGGACCUGGUUUUGCCAUGUGUUGACUUACAACACUUACUGCAAAUGCAAGAUCCAUCCUUGUACCCACCAUUGCAUACAUGAGUGAGCCUACUGCUGCCUUGUAUGGUAUGCCUUACAUUUGAUGCUCAACUUCAGCAUAUUCCUCAUCCGUGAGCUUCAUCAACUUCAAGUUGGCUUCCAAAGGAGUUCCAAUGGGCUUGCAAUCUUGCAUGUUGAAUCGUUUCAAUACUUCUUCAAUGUAUUUGCUUUGACUCAAUGUGAUGGUCUUUGAUACUCUAUUCCUUAUAAAUUCUACACCCAAACAAUAAUGAAGCUCUCCCAAAUCACUCAUUUCAAACUCUUUCUCCAAUUUCUUCUUCAACCAAUCUAAUUUUACCAUGGUGUUGCUUAAGAUGAUUAAAUCAUCUACAUAGAGGAUCACAACCAGCAAGAAGUCCUUGGCUUGCAACACAUACAAAGAAUGGUCAGCUUCACUUCUUAUAAAACCUUCCUUCACAAAGAAUGAGUCAAUGCGUUGAUACCAUGCUCUUGGUGAUUGCUUGAGUCCAUACAAUGACUUCUUCAACUUGCAUACAAGUUUGGGUUUGUCUUGAUCAAUAAAUCCUUGAGGUUGCUCCAUGUAGAUGUCUUCUUCCAAUUCUCCAUUCAAGAAGGCUGUCUUGACGUCCAUUUGAUGCAUCUUCAAGUCUAUUGAUGCUCCAAUUGCUACUAUGGUUCUAAUGGUAGUGAAUUUGGCCACUGGAGCAAAUGUCUCAUUAAAAUCCACUCCAGCAACUUGUGAGUAGCAUUUGGCAACCAAUCUUGCUUUGUACCUCACAACAUUGCCCAUAGCAUCUCUCUUGGUUCUAAACACCCACUUACAUCCAAUUGCUGAACGAUUUGGUGGAAGUGGAGUCAACUCCCAUGUCUUGUUGUCCAUAAGAGAUUUGUACUCUUCUUGCAUAGCAAUCUCCCACUUCAUUGCAUCACCACACCUCAUUGCAUCACACAAAGUCAAUGGAUCAUCAAGAAGAGCAACAUUGGCCUGAUCUUCACUUACUUGUGGAAAGAUGUGGUUUUUCCACCAUUCACCUUGUGGUCUUCUUUCACGUGUUGGAUAUCUUCUUUCAUGCAAAGAAGAUGAGCCUUCAUGCACCUCUUGCUGCCUUCUAUGGCUCGUACACUUCCUUCUCUCAUUCAUUGGUUGAUAUUCUUCAUCUUCAUUCUCUUCAUUGUGCUUGUUGUAUCUUGCUGGAAUUGAAGUCUUUAUAGAGUUGGGCUCUUCUUCAAUGAUAUCUUCAUUUCCAUCUUCACUUUGAGAAUGCUCUUCUUCAUCUUCUUCUUUGUUUGCUGAAAUUGAAGAUGUGUCCACAAACACACCACUACUCCCACUUGGACACAUCUCCCACUUUUCACUUGUACUCUUAUACUCCAAGAACUCUACAUCACGACUUUUGAUGAUCUUUUUGGUGUCUAAACACAUGAGCCUAUAUGCCUUGGUGCCUUCACAAUAUCCAAGGAAUGCACAUCUUGUGCCCUUUGCAUCAAGUUUGCCUCUCAUACUAUCUGAAACUUUAGCAUAUGCAAUGCAUCCAAAAAUCCUCAUAUGAGAUAAACAAGGUUUCUUACCAGUCCAAGCUUCUUCGGGAGUCAUUCCUUCAAGUGCACUUGUGGGACACCUAUUUCUUGUAUAUACGGCAUUUACCACAGCUUCCGCCCAAUACUCAUAUCCAAGCUUUUGAGCAUGAAUCAUACUCCUUGCCAUCUCCACAAUGGUGCGAUUUGCUCUUUCAGCAACUCCAUUUUGUUGUGGGGUAUAGGGAGUGGAGGUUUGUCUUGCAAUGCCUUCAUGCUUCAAUAACUCAUCAAAGUCUUUGGACAAAUACUCACCUCUAUUGUCCGAUCGCAUCACCUUAAUCUUGUGCUCACAUUGCUUCUCCACAAGUGCUUUUCACUCCUUAAACUUAGCAAAACACUCACUUUUGGCCUUGAUGAUAUAAAUCCAUACCUUCCUUGAAAAGUCAUCAAUAAAUGUGACAAAAUAUCUUGCUCCACUCAUAGAUGCUGUUUUCAUGGGUCCACAAACAUCCGAAUGCACAAGCUCCAGCAAUUGAUUUGCUCUUGUUGCAAUUCCACUAGGAAAUGGUGUCCUAUGUUGUUUGCCUUGAAUGCAACCUUCACAAGAUAGAUUCAUAGUAGAAUGGCCAAGGUCUAAGCCACUUACCAUGGAUUGAAGCUCCUUCAUGCUUUUGGCAUUCAAAUGUCUAAGUCUUUGAUGCCAAAUGCCCACCUUAUCUUCAUUUGAUGGAAAUUCAGCAAAAGCAGCAACCUCUACUCCAUUGAUGCGCUUGCAAUUGAUAAUAUAGAGAUUGCCAUCUCUAAUCCCUUUUGCUACUUCUUUGCCUUCCAUGGUUCUCACAAAACAUCCAUUCAUAUUGAAUUGCACUUUGCACCCAUGACUUACAAGUUUACUCACCGAAAGGAGGUUCUUCUUCAUCUUUGGCACAUGCAACACAUCCUUGAGUGUGAUCCUCUUGCUUAUGCCCUUGACCACUACUUCCACUACAAUGGUGCCCAUUCCAAUGGCUUGUACCAUACCAUUAUCACCUAACCAAACCUUAGUUGCUGGAAUUGGUUGAUAAGUGUUAAAUAAACACUUGUAUGGAGUCAUGUGUUUGGUACAUCCAGAAUCCACGAUCUAUUUGCUCAUAUCAAGCAUGGAAGAAGUUUGUUUUGCCAUGAAUACAAAAUCAUCACCUCCAUGGUCAUGAAAAGCAUUAUUGGCAUUCUCUCUUUCUCCACUCUUUGCCUUGAAACAAUUCCUAGCAAAAUGCCCUGGUUUUCCACAAAUAUAACAAGUUUUGGGAAGAUUACGUUGAAUGAAAGUACUUGCCUUACUUGGUCUCGUGAAUAGUGCUGAUUGCUCUCCAAUAGACUCUUUUUGCUUUCUUUUGGUCACUUCAUGGGCUAGUCUUGCCGUGACAUAGUCCAAAGUAAGAUCUUUUCUUGAAAUUGACUCCAAUGCCACAAUGAGGGAGGAAUAGGAGUCCGGAAGGCUUGAGAGCAAUGUCAUCACAACAUCUUCUUCAGGUAAAGGCUUGUCAAUAACAGCAAGUUGGUUUGCAAGUACUUUUACCUUAUUUACAUGAGCCAUGAGAUCUUCACCUUCUUCCAUCUUCACGGUGAAGAAUUUUUGCCUUGACCAUAGUACAUUGGAGAGAUUUCUACUCUCAUAGACGUUGCAAAGAGUCUUCCAUGCCUCUGCUGCCCCUUUGCAAGAAAUGACAUGAGCAAAGUUGCUCUCAUCUAAAUUGGUGGCAAUUAAGCCAAAAGCCUUCUUUUCUCGUCUUUUGAACUCCUUAUGCUCUUUGAUGCUUGCCUCUACCCCAAGUGCCUCUUCCUCCUCACAUACAAUCUCCCAAAGAUCCAAUGACACCAAAAGUAGCUCCAUUUUGGCCUUCCAGUGGUGAAAGUUGUCACCUUUGAACUUUUCAACCAUUCUCAAGCUAUCACCCUCAAAAGAUGCCAUCUCAAGCUACACGUAGGUCCAAAAAACUCUUGAUUUGGAGUUGUAAUGGAGAAGAUAUCACUACUCAAAGAUCGCUAAACCACAAACCCAAAAUUCGCUGUUUUGCAACUUUUUGUAAAUUAUGAGUCCAAAUCACGUCUAAAUGGUGGGGAAUGAAUUGUAAAGUAAUUCUAUAGCUCUCAUAAGUCUCCCUCACGUCACUCCACUCAAAAUGACUCACUAUCUCAUAUAACUUUCAAACACUAGUGUUACUUCAGCAAAGACACUAUCAAGGUCUUGCACAAAACUCAUAUACUCACAAAUCCAGGAGCAAUGACUUCAACAACACACUAGCAACACUCUACCAUAAGAUCCCAACCACCAAAGUAAGCAACAAAGAAAUAAUGCAAGAACAACUUACUUGGUAAGAGAGUGUGGGCCCAUAACCUAUUGAAACAUAGAAAGCAAACUCCACACAAGCAAGUUAGGACCAGCAAGGUUGCACUUCACAAAUAGAAUGUGGUAUGAGAUAAUUCUUCCCAUGCCAAUCCUUUUCUUAUAUACUAGUACCAAGGUACCAUGUGUUACAACCCAUAUGGGAUAUCUCUUAGGACCAACCUCUCCUUGUAUUCUAAGGCUCUAUAGACCAGCAACUAACCUUGUAGGAUAUCCCUCAUUACUCAUAUACUCUAUUGACCAUUAGCAACAACUAAAUGAGUUCUUUCCUUCAACACAUAAGAGGUCCUAUAGAACAUCAUCAUGUAGCUCCUAGUUAGAUAGUAUAUAUAGAAGCAAAAGUGAAGCCCUAUUCAUUUUUGUCAACUCUUUUCUUGCUUCUAGUCUAGAUUUAAGAGUUUGUAAUUUUCUUGUCUUUUGGCAAUAGCCAUUUUAGUUUUUUUUUAAUAUACAUAAUAUUUUAUUGCUAUUUUUUUUACUUUUCUUUUAACAUAAUUUUUUAGAUUUAUGUAUCUUCUUUCAAUUCAUAACUUUGACAUAUUGAUAAGAGUAUACUUGUAAUAUUAGAGCCUUGUCUUUUCUUGAUUAAAAGUGGAUUAUCUCUUUUUCUUGAUAAAAGAUAAGUAUACUAGAAAUCACAAAUUAUCUUCUUCUAAAUUAAUAUUGUUCUUAGUCUCUUCUCUGUUCUCAAGUCUCAUCUUUUUCUUAACUUGAGUGAUAUUAGAUAUUUAUUUUCAAAGUAUUAUCAUGACAGAGCUUCUUGAAAUGAAGAGCACAAUGGCAUAAAUACAAGUUCAAUUGAGGGAGUUAAUGCUUGCAAUGCAUCAACUUAGUUUACCACCAUAAGGAACAACAAGAAUGGUAGGAAAUAAAGAUAUAGAUAUUAUUGCAUUUAAUCAUGCCCCUUCUCUUGCAGUGGAACAUCCUUCUAGUACUAAAAAAUCAAGAGUUGUCCUAUUUGAAAAGUUUGAUGGUACAAGAUCCAAGUUUAAGGAUUUAUCAAUCAAAUACAAAUUGUGAUUAAACUUCCAAUUCCAAAGCUAUCCAACUCUAAGAUCACAAGUUAAAUUCAUUGAUACACUUCUUUUAGAUUCAGCAUUAUUAUGGUUUUCAUCUUUUCUAGAAUGACAAGAUUUAAUAUUAGAUUAUUUGGAGGCUUUUUUUACCAUAAUUUCGAUUCAUGCAUAGAAAACAUGAUCCAACUUGUGUUGCAACCAACUUGUGUUGCAACCAACAAGAUUUGUAUUUUAUAAUAAUGCAAUCAAUCUAUAAUAUUAUAUAUUUCAUAAUUUCAAUAACUUAUAAUUGAUAUCAAGUAGAAUGAUGCUAUAUUUAUUAGCCAAUUUUUCUAUGGAUUACAAUAUGAGGUAAAGAAAUUGAUGCCCAACUUACUUGAUCUUCAAACAUUGAGUCAAGCAAUUGACUUUGUUGUGAAGUAUGACAAUCAACUUUUCAAAUUUUGAUCUGAGAAUUAGAUAAGUAGGCCUCAAUGUUAUUAUAAUUCAGUAGCAAUAUCAAGUCCUCUUCAACACAUACAUUCAAAAGUAGAAGAUAUGUAAAUUAAUGUAAUACAUUUUAAAUAUCUUAUUGAGCAAAAAAAGACUCUUGUUAUUAGGAAAGAUUGUGCUUAUAUUAUAGAGAGCCUAAGCACACUAUUCAACAUUGUUUAAAAAAACAAUACAAUUAUAAAAUAGUGACUACUAAUAUCAAAAAACAUAAUAUAUCAAAAUUUAAAUUUUUCUAAUUAUGUUAGAAACUAUGCACGUAGAACCUUAUACAAUAUCUAAUGAAGGUCCUAUUCUCUCCUCAAAAUCCUCUCUUUGUUUUAUAUUAAAUAUUAUUUUAGAACCUAUACAUUACAAAGCCUCUGCCUUAUUAGAUUUAGGAGCCUCAAAAUAUUUCUUAUAUGAAGAAUUUAUUAAAAGACUUAGUAUAACUUUAGUAAAAAAAACUAAACCUGUUCAGAUAGAAGUCAUAGAUGAUUAUUUAUUAUCUUCUAAAGAUGUUAUUCACAAAAUCCUUCUUAUAGAAGUAAUAAUCAAUGGUCAUAAUAGCUUUGUGGUAUUUAAUAUCAUUAAAUCUCCUUCUAAUCUAAUUAUUUUAGACUUGUUGUAGUUAAAAAAAUACAAUCUUUAAGUAGAUUGGAUUUCUUGUACUUUCAAAUUUUCUAAAAGUAAAACUAAGAGUGUAAUUAAUUAAAUAAAAAAUUAUAAGUCUAGUAUAAUUAAACCUAUAUUUGUAGGUGUAAGACUUUUCUUGUAUGUUGCAAAAGAAGGAUCAUCUUAUGUCAUUUAUGCCACACUUUUUUUUAAUGGUGCAAAGACUUCAAACGGCAUUCUAAGCUAAUAUCAAGAAUUUUAAGAUAUAUUUGAGAAAUAUAAUGUAAUUAUUCUUCUAGAAAAUUGUCUCUAUGAUUGCUCAAUUGGUCUUCAAGAGAUACAAGACUCUAUACCAAAAUAAAAAAGUGUAUAUUUCAUACUACUCAAGUUGACUUCUUAGGUUAUAUUAUUUCAAUCAAUAGACUUAUGAUAGAUCCUAUGAAAAUUUAAACUAUUUUGAAUUAGAAGAUCUCAAAAAUAGUCUAAGAUAUCCAAUGUUUUUUGAGAUUUGCCAAUUGCUAUUUGAUCUUCAUCAAGGACUUCUCUUGAAUUGCCAUUCUACUUAUAUGUUUGACUUGUAAAGACAAACUUCAAUAGAAUCAAGAAGAGGAAGUAAUAUUUGAAGCUUUAAAGAGAACAUUUAUUUUUGUACCAAUUUUGUACCAUAUUGACUUUUUUAAGGCAUUCUUCAUGAAAACAAACACAUCGAACUUUGCUUUAGAUGUUAUAUUAUCACAAAUAGAAAUAGAUGAUAAACUUCAUCCAAUAAUUUUUCAUUCCAAGAGAUUUUUGACAUCCAAGAUUAACUAUGAAAUCCAUGACAAAGAGCUUUUUGCAAUUGUAGAUUCUUUUUUAGAAUGGCAUUAUUAUCUAGAAGGUGCUUCUUGUCUAGUCAUUGUAUAUAUGGAUCAUAAGAACCUCAAGUAUUUUAUGCCAACUUGUGUUUUGAAUUGUUGCUAAGUUUAUUGGAGCAUGUCUUUAUUAAGAUUUGAGUUCAAUAUCACUUAUUGACCAAGAAAACAACAAUGUUUAUUUGAUGUCCUUUUUAGACAUUCUUAUCUAGCAUCUACAAAGAAAAUGUAGCUUUUCAUCAAUAAAAGAUAAUUUUAUUGAAGCUAGAACAAUUUCAACUUUGAGCAAUGAAAUCAACAUUGACUAUUGAUUCAACUUUUUUCAAACAAAUUUAAUUAAAUAUAUUCUUUGAUCUUUUUGUUUAUGAUAUCAAGAAUACUUCUUUUAAGUCUCAUAAUACUUCUAAGUUCAAGUUCAAGAACAACCUACUUUAUUUCAAAUGACAUCUAUAUGUGCCAAAAGAAGCAAUAUGUUUACAUUUUCUUCAAGCAUGUCACAAUUUUUCAACAGCAAGACAUUUUAAAUACAACAAGACUUUGGAGCUAAUAUCCAAAGAUUUUUGGUGGCUGCAAAUGUCGAUGGCUAUAAAAGACUUUGUUCAAUCAUGUGACAUUUAUUCAAGGUCAAAAACUCCUCAGCAUCAAUCUUAUGGACUUCUUCAGCCAUUACCUAUUCUAAAACAAUUAUAGUCUUUUAUUUCUAUAGAUUUUAUUAUGGAUCUUCUAGUUUCAAGAUUGUAUGAUUUUAUAUUUAUGAUAGUAGAUUUUUUUUUUUUUUUUUUAUCAAAAUGGCACAUUUUAUACUAUGUACAAAAUCUAUUACAAGUGAAGAAACUGCCAAGCUUUUCCUUGAUAAUAUCUAUUGAUAUCAUGGAUUGCCAAAAGAUAUUAUAUCAGAUAGGAGGACUCAGUUUGUAUCAAGAUUUUGAAGAAUUCUUUUUAAGAUUCUAAAGGUGAGCAUGAAGCUUUCUUUGGCCUUUCAUCCUCAAACUAAAGGACAAAUAGAGUAUAUAAAUCAAGUUUUGAAGCAAUAUUUAAGAAAACCCUCUUGUAAUUAGUAGAAUUUGCUUAUAAUAAUACAAUGCAUUCUUCUACGUAACAAAUACCUAUUUUUGCCAAUUAUGAUUACCAUCCAUGACUUGAUAUUUUGACUUUUUAAAAUUUGAUAAUCUUGUAGGAGAAGAUUUAAUAAAUUAUUUGUCAAAGCUACAUGCAACAAUCAAGGUGCAAUUAAAAGAAGCUAAACAAUGACAAAAGAUCAAUGUACAUGCUUAUCAAAUGGAACAACCACAAUUCAAUGUAAGUGACAAGAUAUGGUUACUUCAUUGUAAUAUCAAGACUACUCGUGCUUGUGAUAAGUUGGACUAUUGCAAGCUUGGAUCUUUUUCUAUUUGUAGAUAAAUCAAUCCAGUUGCUUAAUGAUUACAUCUAUCAAAAUCAAUGAAGAUCUAUCUUGUCUUUUAUAUAUCUCUUUUUGAACCAUUCAAGACUUUGAAUUUACCAAGAAGAAGACAAGCUCUACUUACUUCUAUAGAAGUGGACAAUAAUAAAGAGUUUGAACUAGAAGAAGUUCUAGACUCAAGGGAGUGCUGAAAUAAAUUAGAAUAUCUUGUCAAUUUGUAUGGAUAUGUUAUUAGUUAAGGUACAUGGGAGCUAAUAAAGAUUUUAAAAAAUGCAACAAAGAUGGUGGAGGCUUUUUACUGACGUCAUCUAUCAAAAUCAAGAUGAAGAAUAAUAAGUCUUUGCUAUAAAAAAAACAAGGUGCAGGGAAGAUUGUAUUCUAUCAAUUAUUUUUGUUUGUGAUUUCUAUAUAUUUGUGACAUCAAAGAAAUGGAGAAUCAACAAGUAAGAAAUUUGAUUCAAGAGCCUUUUUUUCUUGACUUUUUGGAUGAAAUAUUAUAAUUGUCUCAACCUUCAAGACAAUGCAAUUGAAAUGAAGAUCCUCAAGAAUAACAUGUUCUUCCUUGAAUAGAUGACAAGAUACAAUGUAUUUGAUAUCACGACCUUGGGAAGAACUCUCAAUAUUUGGUGAUUUUAUUAGAGGUAGAAACAAUUCUUUAUGGUAUUUCAAAUCUUUUAUUUGAAGGAGGUUAUGAACGCCUCAACAACGAUCAAAUAAUUGGAUGGUCUUUCUGCCUUGGUAUAGAAUACUAUCGAUGGUUUAGAGGCCCUAUCAACCAUCUUCAAAGAAAACAAAGAUCAUAAUAUGUCGCAAAUAUAAUUUGUCGCAACUUAAAUUUCUUUAACAAAUGAUGAUCACUAUUGAUAGAACUUAUCUCUUAAAGGAGGAAAUAAUAUCACAGACAUAGACAUGUAAACCAAUAAUUACCUAUAUAAUUAAAUAAAAGUAGGUAAAAAUAAAUUAAUUCCAUAAUAUCUUCUAUAAAAGCUUUUAAGACGCUUCAUAGAUACUGCUUUGACUUUAUAAGUGUCUAUAAUUGAUUUUUUAGGUUAAAAACAUGGUCAACAAGUUGGCCAUGUACUAUACAUAUUGAUAGCUUGAAAAACAAGCUAAUUAUGUGGCCCACAUGUAGAAAAUUUAUCUUGUAAGCUAAGGCAUGUAUCCUACAAAGUCAACACAUAUUAGAGGUCCUAUAGAAUAUUGUCAUAUAGCUCCUAGUUAAAUAAUAUAUAUAGAGAUAAGUGUGAAGUACUCUUCAUUCUUAUCAACUCUUUUCUUGCUUCUAGUCUAGAUUAAAAUGAUUAUAGUUUUUUUUAUCUUUUGGCAAUAGUCCUUCUAGUUUCUUUUUAAUAUACAUACUACUGUAUUGUUAUUUUUUUACUUUACUUUUAACAUAGAUUUUUGAGGUUUAUUCAUCUUCUUCCAAUUCAUGUCCUUGACAACUUGAUCAAAAGCUCCAAAUGGCCUCGGUUAGUCCUAUUUAUAUUUUGUUCAAGAAUCCUAAAAUUUUCUAAAAUAUUUUUAAUAAUAGGCUCUACUAAGAUAAUUGCCCUUCUAAAAGAUUCUAGAUGUGAGUUCUAUCUUGAUAAUUGCCCUCCUAUAAGGUUUUAAAAGUAGACUCUAUAAAGAUAACGGCCUUUAGUUCUUUUAGGAUGUUCCAUAAUAGACCUUAUAUGGAUCUUUAAUCUAUCCUCAAUUCUAAAAACUUCUAAAAACUUUUCAAAUACGACUCCAAUCACCUAUCUCUAUGUAUUAAUAAUAUAAUUAUCUUAUGUAUGUCUUAUUAUAAUUAGAAGUAAGAAUAAUUUCUAAUGAUAUUUUAAAUAUUUUAUUUGACUAGAGUUAUGAAGGCCUCAAGAAUAACCAAAUAAUAGGAUGGUCUUCUUACCCUAGUAUAAGAUAUUAAUAGUUGAAAAGACCUAUUAACCAUUUUCAAAGAAAACAUAAAUCACAGUAUAUAACAAACACAAUUUGUUGCAUCUUAGAUUUUUUCAACAUAUGAUGAUUGCUCCUCAUCAAACUCAUGUCUAGAAGAGUGAAUAAUAUCACAGACAUAUAUAAUUAUUCUAAUAAUUACCUAUAUAAUCAUGUAGAAGUAAGUAAAAGUAGAUUAAUUUUAUAACAUCUUCUAGAGAAGCUUUAUAGACAUUGCUUUGCUUUUACACAUAUUUAUAGGUUAGAAACUUCGUCAACAAGUUAGUCAUGUAUCAUACAUGUUAAUAGCUUAUAGAACAAACAAACUUUGUGGCAUAUAUAUAAAAAACUUGUCUUGUAAGUUAAGAUAUAUAUUUAGUAAAGUCAACACAUGUUGGAGGCCUUGUAGAAUAUUGUCAUAUAGCUCUUAAUUAGAUAGUAUAUAUGGAGGUAAGAGUGAAGCCUUCUUCAUUCUUAUUGAUGCAUUUUUAGUCCUCAAUCUUAUUUCAAGACUUUCUAGUCUUCUUGUCUUUGGCAAUAACUAUUUUAGUUUAAUAUAUUACCAUCUUUGAGUCACUUUCUAAUCUUCUUGUCUUUGGAAAUAACUAUUCUAGUUUAAUAUAUUACCAUCUUUGAGUGACUUUCUAGUCUUCUUAUCUUUGGCAAUAACUAUUCUAGUUUAAUAUAUUACCAUCUUUGAAUGACUUUCUAGUCUUCUUAUCUUUGACAAUAACUAUUUUAGUUUAAUAUAUUACCAUCUUUAAGUGACUUUCUAAUCUUUUUGACUAAUACAAGAAAGUAUUGAGUUUUCUUUCUUUAUGAUUCAUAUCCUUGACAACUUUUUAGUUACAAUAGAAUCAUAGUCUUACUCCUUUAAGUUCUAAUUUUUGUGAUGUUAAGAUAAUACAAAACCCAACUAAUUAUAAAAUUCUUGUAGAAUAUUUUUGUUUAAGGUGCAUUCUAAUGUAAUUGAAUAACAUUUUUUAGAUGUAAGAUUUUCAAUUAUAAUUUUUAAUAAUAUAUCACUUUUGAUUUGAGAAUCCAUCAAAAAUUAUAUUGAAUUAUAUUUGAAGUAAAUUCCUAUAUAUAUGGGCAUUGCAUACUUAUUAGUAGGAGCUAAUUAGAUAAAUCUUAAGUCCUAAAUUUUUUGUUGUUGCAGGUCCUUGCAUGUUGAGUAGAUAGGCACAUGUGUGUGGCUUAUUUAUUUGCUUUAGCACUAAUAAAUAUUCAUUGUAGAAUAGUAAAUUCCAAAAGAAGUAUCAUUGUAAGAAAUAAUAAAAGAUGUACUUUUUAAAGUUCAAAUUGUAUCAACUUUAUAGAUGGAGAUAAAAAAGUCCAUCUAUUGAUAAAUGUUUUAGUGUACAUAGUAUUGUCAUUUGACCAUUCUUUUGUAUUAGUAUAUUUUUAUAAUUAGCUUAUUUGACUUAUUCAUAGUCAAAUUUAGCUAAGCCACUUUAAAAGCAACAUUUAUUUAGGUGGCACAAUCUGCAAAGGAACAUGUGCUACACACUAAGUGGCUACGAUUGCAAGUAGUACACAAAUAAGCAAUAGAUAGAUCUCCCAAAUUUGAAGCUUUUUAUUCAACCAAAUAUUUUUAAUGCUUUUAUAGUAAAUAAAAUCAAUGCAUUAAAAGCAUAUAUCCUCUCAUUUAUUAUUUUAUUUUUAUCACCAUAUUUUUAUUUUUGAAAAAUUUUGUAUAAAUAAAAAAUUAUAAUACAUCAAAAAUUUUAAUAUAAAAAAUAAAAUUUGAAAAAAAAAAAUGUAAGAGGAAAAAAAAAUGUAAAGAAAAUAUCUUUUGACAUUAUUUUGUUGCAUGUUUUUUUCUUCUUUUUCUUCUCGUAUUUAAUUCAAUUAACAUAUUUAGAAUUAUUUAUAAAACAGAAGUAGCCCAAUAGCUGCAUAAAAAUAAUAAAUCCUCAAAUAAACUCAAACUUGUGGAUAUGAGAUGUUUUAAGCGUUUCUUUUUUUAAUUUUUAAUUUUUAUGUCAUAGUAUUUCUGUAUUUUAAUAAUGCCACACUACCACAUCUUCUGAUGCAAAUUAGGGAAUAGCGCUAUUCUCCAUGAAGCAACGAGGCGCUUUCAUAUUAGCAAGCCCACCACGUGCGCACCGCCCCUAUUUACGGCCCCCCCCCCAAACCCGUCGGAUGUCCACCCCAUCAUCGUCCCCUUCGUUGAAAGGGUUAACGCCGCUGCGUGCGGGCAAAGAAGAGCGCACGUCUCGGCGCGGCACCUUCGCUUCACCUCGAUUCUCAAGACGCGCAAUCCUUCCUUGCUCGCUCGCUUGCUUGCAAUGUAGCAGAUCCUCGUGCCGCUGCUUGGAUCUCGCCUGCCUACACACUCGUGCAGUCUCAAAUCCAGCCGGAUUACAGUUGCAAUCGGAACCCAGGAGCUGCAGCGAUUGAGGUUCCAUCUUCACUGGGUGGUGGGGUAGGUUUCACUUUUGGGUGGAUUUAGUCGUUUCUUUGGGGUUUAAUCGUGGUUCUGAGUUCUUGAGCAGGGUUGUGAGUCUGUGUUGUGACUCAUUGCUUCGAUCACCCUAGUAUGAUCUUUUCGGAACGUGGGUUCGUGAAAUCGGGGGAGUUGUACUUGUGUUCUCUCGACAUUUAGUCGUUGCGCUUCGGUCUCUGCGAAUCUUUGGAUAGUGGUUUGUGCAGAAGCUUGUUCUCUGUGAGAUGGGGGUGUGGGUUAUGUCAAUGUGUUUCGAACUGCGGCUGGAUGUCGAUUUCGAGGUUGUACCGUUGUGUGGUGGUAGUUUUAGGCUUUUUAAAUGUGAAAGUUCGAAAGUCACACAAUUGCAUUUUUGAGAUUCUAGGUUUCAGCAGUGUUAUGUGGUUGUGUCCUUGUGGUUUCACAAUUAGGGGUGAUGCUGGGCGCGCAGUCGAUGUCAGUUGGAUAACAAGCGACCCUCACAUGACGUCUGCCACCGGUUUGAUUGCAGUUGCAGUAGUUUUGAUGUGAAUCUCACGGAUUGUCGCUCGUGAGCAAGAGUUGGGAUUUUUGUUCUUCAUAUGCUUAUGAUGGUAGUUUUAUCCUGGCUUCUGAUGAGAUCUUACUUUUUAUUGGGUCUGGAUUGCAGUGUUUGAUUCUGUACGAUGAAGUUCAGCAAUUGGAACCGUCUCUUUCUGGUGCUCGUUUUGUUAGCUCAGACUUUGGUCUUUACAAGCACGCAAGAAGAAAAGCCUUCCUGUGAUCUAAGAUGUAAAACUGGGGUUUGCAAUUAUGACGGUAGUUGCCACUGUGUUCAAGCUACUCUGGGAGGCCCUCUUAAUUUUUUUGGGUACCCAAUCUACUUUCCCUCACCUCGAAAUCUAUGAAUUAUUACUAGUAUUCAAAAUUUUCUGGGUCCUACAGUUGAAAGGACGAUACUGUGUGGUAUUGUUUAUGAAUGCUAGCUAUUAUCCACACUCUUUUUUCCACCAUGAGGUUCUUCAAUGUGAACAUGCGAAGGAAGUGUUGCUUUGAAUAGGAAAAUGAAAAGUUAAGAAGGUUUUUUAUGCCGCAGCACUACUAGUCAUCUGACUUAGCUUGAAUACUGUUAUGUUGUGUGUUUGCACAUUUCGAUAAGUCAAGUUAUACAAGCUCUCGUUCUCGAAGUCGAAACGUUUUGUGACACACAUAUCAUUGACUGAGUGAUGUUGUAUGUAGUGGGCAAUUUUGUGAUCUGCCGAGCCAUUAUUGCAGUGAAUCUCCCGACCUUAGUUUUUGGUGCGUAGACAACAACAACAACAGCACUUGUGGAAAAAAGGAAGAUGGCACCCCCACAUGUAUAUGUCAACUUGGAUAUAGUGGAGAUAGGUGCGAGUUCGCAGGUACUCUUUGUGGAGUAGGAUACUGCUACAACAAUGCAACAUGUGUUGAUGGAAAAAGCUGUGAUUGCCCUCUUGGUUGGCAAGGAAAUGCUAACUGCACUUUGGCUACUCCCGAGAAGUCUUCCAGUGGCUCAGGCAUCAAGGUUCGUUGCUAGAAAUUGCUAAAUAUUUACUAUUGUGUCUACGCUCAUCGUCACCUACGUUAGAAUUCAGUGAACUGCCACAUCUGGUCAUUUGUAUGGCUUUCCUUACAGCAUACUAUCUCUUCAGUACUCGCAUGAACCUGCCAGUGUAUUAAGUAUCUGCGUCAUCUAAUUGUGCGGAUUGUGUGGUCAGUGGUGGGGUGGUCUCCUGAUUACAGGUGCAGUUGUUGCUGCGAUUUCGGUGGCAGUUGCAUUUGGCUUGAAAAAGUACAAAGAGAAAAUGGAUGGAGUUAAUCGGUUCAAUGAGUUGAAGAAGUCGCAAAUGAGAGGCGGGGCUGAAUCUGAUGAUGACGAUGCAUAUGACAGCGAUCCUUAUGAAGAAGGUGGCAAGAGAUCUAGAACAACUCCACAACUGUAGUAUAUUUUCUGAUUUAGGAAUUCCUCAGGUUCCUCCGGAUGGACGUGAACUGCCGAUUGGCAUUUGAUGUCUUCUACUGCAGCCCAAAUUUGUUAUCAGAGGGCAAUUAUUUCGGCUUUUAAAGCUUUUUCUGUGAUCUUUCCUUAAUCAUUUUUUUUUUCCGUCUCCUGGUAGGCUAUCUUAUCUAUUUCCAAUUUUUAUUUUAUGUUCAUAAAACUAAUCAAGUUUCUGCCCAGCGUAGUGAAAGAUCGGUUUCGCCGACUCGUAUCAGUUUUAGUGUAUUAUGUCAUGCAGUGUAAUGCCAAUUCUAUUGCUUAAGAUUAUUGACUUCGAAAGUUUGAGUAUAGUGUUCUAUAUGGUCAUUUCACAAUACACAUUAUCUCUUUACUACGAUAGUUUGGUGGCAUGGUGUUCAAUUUCAUAGCAGAGAUGUCAAAAAUUUUGAUCGCUGGCAUAUCUAUCUUCACAUCCAUAGUUUUUCGGUUUUGAGCACCUGUGCACAGGAACAGGUGGCAUGUGAUGUGAUGGCACAUAUGUUAGUCCAAUUGUUUAUAUUCUUCAUCAAUGUAAGUAAUAUGAUUGUUGAGUGAUCUCCAGGCCUCUUUAAAUUAGGGCUUUUUUCGAAAGAACCCACAAGGGACAACACAAGUUGAGCUUAAUAGAGAGUAAGAUUUGAAUUGCAAAGCAUAAAAGGUGGAGAUUAAUUCUUUGCGGCUUUUCGAUCUUGUGAUUGAUUUUGUCUUCUUUACAGCAUUUUUUCAAUUUCAUGGAUGUCACAAAGAUUGUGUCGCACAUAUAUUACUUCAAUAGAUACACUAAUGACCAUGUGGCUUUGUUUGUGAGGAUAGUUUGUGUUGUGAGCUCCUCUAUAUGCAAUAGACAUAUUUGCUUGGGGUUGUGCGAGAUGUGAUGUGCUUUGUACCAAUUUGACCUCAUGGUCCAAGCUAAGUAUACUAAGCUGUAUGACAACUAAUUUAUCAACAUCUUGAUGAGUCUUGUCUCUUAUCUUUGUCGGUAGCACACUCUCAUCAAAAAGAUGAGUUGAACAUGUCCAAAAUUCAUGGACAUGCAAUGGUCAACUAUGAAAAAAUUGAGUAGGUUUUUGUGACAAGGAUGCACAAUGAUCUAUGAGUACCUUAUAUAGAAGUUGUUUGAAUGUAUUUUUUUUCCUUUCUUGGUGGUUGAUAUUACUUGUACUUAUUGAUGUUGCAGAAGUAAUCUCUAUCAUUGUGACAUGCUUGCAAGGACUAAGCAUCCUUCUAAAGGCGUAAUUUAGUCCUUAAUAGGUUUAUAUAAAGUACAAAGUGUACACAAUGUAGAGAUUUUGGCCAUGGCUUAUGGUACCUCAAAUCUAGUCAUCCACAAGUCUUGGUGUAUAGCUCUUACGAAUACAAGGACUUUCAAUCAAGAUUAAGAUAUCUUUGUAAUAAGCUUCAUGGCUUUGCUGCCUACAGCCAAGGGUAAAGUUAUAGUUUGUAUUGUAGAAAAAUUGUGUACUAGGCUCGUUAAGAGCAUUGCAUCCAUUGUUGUCCAAUAAAAUCACAACAAUGAUGCCAACAACAAGGAUAUUCUAAAAGUACUACUUGACAAUUUGUAUGCACUAUGGCGUCUUUACUGUGCAUUUCUAUCCAUCAGCAUAAGCUAUGAUUUGAAUUGACUAGGUGGAGUCUUCAAUCUAUUGAGAAUAUUAAGAAUGACCACUAAGCCAUUGUUAAGGAUAAGAACUUGAUGAAAGCAAAUAAACAAGUGAGAGUCUUUCAAAGAAAUAUGACAAAAUAGAAAUAGAGAAUCAUGUAUAUUAAAAAGAAAAUUGAAAUGGCUAUUGUUAAAAGACAAGAAAACUAAAGAAUCUUAAAACUAAACUAGAAGCAAGAAAGGAACUAAUAAAAGUGAAGAAGUCUUCAUUUUUGCCUCUAUAUAUACUAUCUCGACUAGAAACUAUGUGAUGACAUUCUAUAGGACCUCCAAAAAUAUGUUGACUUUAUAUGACAUAUAUUUUAACUUGCAAGGUAAGUUUUUUGUAUAGGCACCACAUAAUUAGCUUGUCAAACAAGCUACUAAUACAUAUUACAUGUGGUUAGUUUAUUCAUCAAGUUUCAAACCUAUCAAUCAACUACAAGUACAUAUAAAGUCAAAAUAGCAUCUAAGAGGCUUUUAGGAAGCUCUUCUAGAAGGUAUUAUAAAAUUAAUCUAUUUUUAUCUAAUUUUAUUUACUUCUACUUAUUCAUAUUAUUUACGUAAUAAUUAUAGUACAUAUAUAUUUGUAGCAUUAUUCUCCUUUAUAGGAACAAGUUCCAUGAAGAACAAUAAUUACAUAUUGAGGAAAUCUAAGAUGUGGCAAAUUAUAUCUGCAACGUACUUUGAACUUUGUUCCCUUUGAAGGAAGUAGAUAGGUCUUCUCAGCCAUCAGUACUGUCCCAUUCAAAGGUGGAAAGACAACCCUAUUACUUCAUCAUUAUUGAAACCUUCGUAACUUCCUUAAAAUGAAAUAUUUAUAAUACCAUCAUAAGUCGUUCCUACCUUCAAUAAAAUCACCAAAUAUUGAGAGUUUUUUUUAUAGGUUGUGAUAUCAAACACAUUGUAUCUUGCCAUCUAUUCGAAGGAGAACAUGUUAUUCUUGAAGGUCUUCAUCUCUAUUACGUCGUCUUGAAGGGUGUGAUAACUGUAAGGUCUUAUUCAAGAAGUCAGCAAAUGAUGGCUCUUGAGUUGAAUCUGUUGGCUGUUGAUUCUCCAUUUCUUUAAUAUUACAAUUAUACAAAAAUUACAAACAAGGAUAGAAGGUAGAAUGUAAUAUUUUUUAAAUUGUGUUUUUUUUAUAAUAAAGAUUUACUAUCAUUUAUCUUGGUUUUGAUGGAUAUCAUUGAUGAAAAGCUUUGACCUUCUUUGUUGCAUUUGUAAGAUUUUUUAUUAACUUCCAUGUGCAUUUGUAAGAUUUUUUAUUAACUUCCAUGUGCAUUUGCUAACAUCAUAUCCAUGCCAAUGAAUAAGAUAUUCAAUCCUAUGUCAAUGUCGCCUUAAAUCUAAGAUUUCUUUUACCUUGAAUUUUUGAUUAUUAUCCACUUCUAUAGAAGGCUAUGGUAUUUGUCUUCUUUCCAACAUAUUUAUUGUCUUUUAUGGUUCUAAAAGAAACAUGUGAAAUACAAGAUGGAUUUUGAUAGACUCUUAUAGAUAUAAUCGAUAAGUGACUAGAUUGACUUGUUUACAAAUAGAAAAUGGUUUAAAUCUAUAAUAAUCCAACCUAUUACAAAGGUAAAUAGUUUUAAUAUUAUGAAAAAGUAACCAUAUCUUAUUAUCAAUAUGAAAAUGAGGUUGUUUCUUGUAAUAAGCAUCUGCAUUGCUCUUUUGUUGUUCUUAAGCAUCUUUUAGUUGUGCCUUUAUUGUUACAUAUAGCUCAAAUAAAUGAUUUAUCAAAUCCUCUAUCACAAGUUUAAAAACUUUUGAAAAGUCAAAAGAAUCAAGUUAUGGAUGAUAACCAUAAUUAGCAAAGUAAGGUGUUUGUUAUGUAGAAGAAUGUAUCAUAUUAUUAUAAGCAAAUUAUGCCAAUGGCAAAAGAGUUGUCCAAUCAUCUUGUUGGUAGUUGAUGGUACACCUUAAAUACUACUUCAAAACUUGAUUUACACACUCUAUUUAUCCAUCAAUUUGAGGAUGAAAAGCUAAAGAUAAUUUUAGGUGCACUUUUAGAAUCGUAAAAAGUGUUUUUCAAAAUCUUAAUACAAACUGAAUUUUCUUAUCUGAUAUAAUAUCUUUAGGCAAUCCAUGAUAGCAAUAGAUGUUGUCAAAGAAAAACUUGGCUAUUUCUUCAUUUGUAAUAGUUUUUACACUUGGUGUACCAUCAACUAUCAACAAGAUGAUUGGACAUACUUUAAGGUGUACCAUCAACUACCAUUGGUAGUUGAUGGUACAUCACAAAGUAUGCCAAGUUGGUGAAAUGAUCUACUAUCGCAAAUAUAGAGUCAUAAGAACUUGAGACUAGAAGAUCCAUGAUAAAUCCAUAGAAAUAGAAGACCAUGAUUGUUCUGAAAUAGGCAAUGAUUGGAAAAGUCCAUAGAAAGAUGGUGAGUUUUUGACCUUAAACAAAUGUCACAUGACUAGACAAAGUCUUUCAAUGCCUUUUACAUUUGUGGCUACUAAAAAUCUCUAGAUAUAAGUUCUAAAAUUUUGUUAUAUCCAAAAUAUCCAACCGUUGGAAAGUCAUGACAUGCUUGAAGAAUACAUAAAUAUGCUUUUUCUUCUAAAAUGUAUAGAUGUGCUUUGAAAUAUAAUAAGUUGUUUUUGAACUUGAACUUGGAAGCAUUAUGAAACUUAGAAGAAAGGUUUUUGAUAUCAUAAACAAGAAGAUAUAUUUAAUUGAAUUUAUUUGACAAGGAUUGAAUUCACGAUCAAUGUUGAUUUUAUUGCUUGAAGAUGAAAAUACUUUGUCUUUAAGAAAAUCAUUCUUUGUUGAUUAAAAGAUACGUCUCCUUCUUUUGAUACAAGAUAAGAAUGUCUACAAAAAAACAUCUAACAAACCUUAUUAUUUUUUAAGUUGAUAAUGUAUUGUAAUUGCUUAUAGUAUGUAAAAACUAGUUAUAAUAUAUAAUAUAUUUUAAAGUCUUGAUGUAUGUUAGAAUAGUUAAUAGAUUAAUUUAAUGAGAGUGGAUAUAAAAAACUUUAUUUUAAGAUUUAUCUAUUUUGAUUAUAACAUUUAAAAAAAUUUCGGACCUAAAUGCUUAUUAUGAAGCCUUGAGAGGACAUUAGAGUCUAAAGAAAAAAGUCUAAACUAUUAGGAGACUUAUUGGAAAGAAUGAAACUAAGGUAUGGCUCGAUGAAGACAAGGAAUAAAGAUCUUCAUCCCUAUUGAUCAAAUAUCAUACCCAAUGAGCUUCAAGGAGGCUGUCCGAGCUAUAUUAGAGAUUAAGGUUUUUUUUUCGAUGUCAUUCGAGCUUUGGAGGUUAAGAUCAAGAAGUUUAGAUUUUUGGAUACAGAUUGGGUGCAAAUUUUGUGUAAUUUGGAGUUUUUAUGGAGUUAUUAGUGUUCAAAGUUAAGGUAUUAAUUUUUACCUAUUAUCACUCUUUGUGGCAUAACAUAUGCUUACAAAAAGUAAUAAAGGAUCAACAAUUAGAAUUGAAGAGAAAAUUUGUUUGGCUAGACUUUCCAUAUAUUAUUUAAUGAAUUUGGAGUUUUGAUGAAGAAGUUAUAGAGAGUUGAAGUUAGUACAUCCAAAUCAAAGGCAAUAAGCGAGUGAUUUUGUUCAUAGUAAUGGUUGGAGCCAUAUCUUGAGUUUUUAGACAAAUUUUUGGUUCAAACCUUUUGAAAAAGAUAGAUUAUUGUAUUAAAAAGCUAUAUAUAUAUAUAUAUAUAUAUAUAUAUAUAUAUAUAUAUAUAUAUAUAAAUUUUGUGGUAUUUGAAUAUUUAGUUUGUAAGAUAUAAAGAAAAUUACAUACAAGUAUAUAAAAACUAGGGUUUAAAGCUAUUGUUAGGAUUUUGGCAAUAUCUUAAGAUCUGCAACAAAUUUGCAGUUGAAAUUUGUUGUGGUAUUUUUUAAAAAUACAUUAGUACUUCUUGUAAUAAUUUGAGUAUGUUUUAAUGGUCCAAUUGAGAGAUAUGAGUUGUUGAAGUUUGAAAAUAAUAUCCUAUAAGGAUAAUUAAGGAUUUAGAAUUUUUAAUUAUAUUUUGGAUAUUUUUGGAACCUUAAGACUUAUAUGUUUAGUGUGAUUUCUCCUAAAAGUGAUAUAUAUAUAUAUAUAUAUAUAUAUAUAUAUAUAUAUAUAAACUUGGCAUUUUUUAUCCCAAGAUUUGAUUGAGAAAUUAAUUAUAGCUAGGAGUCCAAUACUUUUUUAAAGCAAAUUCUCUCUAUCCCGACAUCAAUAAGUGAUCUUAAAAUCUAAUUUUGAUAAAGACAUGCUCCAACGGGCUUGGCAACAUUUCAAAACAUGUACUCACAUAAAGUAUUUAAGAUUCUUUUGGUCAGUAUAAACAAUGAUUAGAUUAGAAGCACCUUCUAGAUAAUGACACCAUUCUUGAAACAAAUCCACAAUUGGAAGAAGUUUUUUGUUAUGAAUCUCAUAGUUGAUCUCGACUAUUGAAAAUUUUCUUAAUUAAAAAGCUAUUCGAUGAAAUUUAUCAUUUAUUCCCAUAUGUCAUAAUAUGAUAUCCAAAGCAAAGUUUAAUGCUUUUGUAUCUAUAAAAAAUUGCUAAAAAAAAUUUACACAAUACAAGAUUGAUGCAGAAAUAAAGGUUGUCUUCAAAGCUUCAAAUACUAUUUCUGCUUCUUAAUUCCAUUGAAGUUUUUUUUUAUAAGUCAAAUAUAUAAAUGAAGCUACAACUUAAGAGAAGUUUUUCAUGAAGAUCUGAUAGUAAUUGAUAAAUUUCAAUAAAUAAUGAACAUCUCUUACUGUUUUGGAUCUUAUAAUUUAUAAUAGUUUAAAUUUUUUUAGGAUCCGUUAUAAGUCUAUCAUUUGAAAUGAUAUAUACUAAGAAGUCAACUUGAGUAGAGUAGAAUACAUACUUUUCUAUUUUGGCUUAAAAUCCCACAUCUUUUAGUUUUUGUAAUACAUGACGAAGAUAAAGUUCAUGUUCUUCUGUGUCCUUAGAAUAGAUUAAGAUAUCAUGUAGAUAACAGAUAACAAAGUCAUCUAAAAACUCUUGAAAAGUAUUAUUUAUUAGAUAUUGAAAAGCUAUUAGUAUAUUUCUAAGUCUAAAAGGCACAACAUUGUUGUACUAUAAAUGCUUAUAGUAUAUAAAAAUUAGUUAAAACAUAUUAUAUGUUAAUAAAUCUAGAUGUGUAUUAGAGUAGUUAAUAGAUUAAAUUAAAGGGAAUUGGUAUAAGAAACCUUACUUUUUUUGUUUUACUUGUUUUGAUUUUGGCAUAAAAAAAUAAAAAUAAAAAUAAAAAUAUAUAAGACCUAAAUAUUUUAUAAAAAUCCUUAGAAGAAGGUGGAAGCCUAUGAAUAAAAAUCUAAACUAAUAGGAGGCUAAUUAGAAGGGAUGAAAGCAAGGCAUGGUCGGAUGAAGGCAAGGAAUGGAGAACUUCAAUCCUAUUGGUCAAAUACCAUACCCAAUGGCCUUUAAGGAUGUUGUUUGUGACCUUAACAAGGGUUUUGGCAAUUUUAAAGAAGGCAUUUGGAAAUUAGAAGCCAAAGUUGUAAAGUUUAGGAUUUGAAUUACAAUUUUUGUACAAAAAUUAGAGGAUUUGGAGUUAGGGUGAAGAGAUUAUAGCCAUUUGAAGCUGAGGUAUUAAUUUAAGACAUACUAUUACUCUUUUGAGGGUACAAGGAAUUGUACCGAAGUUUUUGAAGAUUGGAAAGUGCGGUUAGAAUAGUGAUUUCAAAAACUACAUCUUUUGUAAAAGAAUUAUUGCUUUUGGAGUUCAUGUGAAGGAGUUAUAGGGAAUUAAAGGAGGUUCUUUUAAAUCAAAAGUAGUAAGUGAGCGGUUUUGUUUGUAGUAAUGGUUGGGGCCAUAACUUGAGUUUUUGGAUGAAUUUUAGGCUCAAACUUUUUAAAAAAUAUAAAAUUUUGUGUUAAGAAGCUAUAUCUAUAAAUUUCAUGGUAUUUAAACUUAUAUUUUGUGAAAUAAGAAGAAAAUUACACAUGGGUGUAUAAAGACAAGGAUUUAAAGUGAUUAUAAGGAUUUUCAAGAUAUCUCAAGAUCCAGAAUGAAUUUUCUAUUGAAAUUUAUUAUUAAAGUUAAUAAAAAUAUAUAAAUACCUAAAGUAAAAUUUAAGUUUUUUUGGACAAUUGAAUUAAGAGAUAUGAGGUGUUGAAGUUGAAGAAAAUUUCUACACAAGGAUAUACAAGGUUUUAGAGGAUUUUAUCAUAUUUUAGAUGUUGUUGGUUACUUGAGGCUUGUAUAUUUGGUGUAAUUAUUAAAAAACGGAAAUUUUAUAUGUAAACUUGGUCUUUCUUAUCUCAAGACUUGAUUCAGCAAUUAGUGACAUCAAGAAGCCCAAUGCUUCCUUGAAGCAUACUCUCACUACUCCGAUAACGUUGUAUUCAAAAUGUCUAUACCUAGUUCAAAAUGUAGUCUUCCAUUCAUUUCUUUCUUUGAUGUGUAUCAAAUUUUAUGCUCCUCAUAGAUCUAUUUUUGUAUAGAUCUUACCUUGAUUGAACUGAUAAAAAAUUCUAGAUAUUAAAGAUAGCAGAUACCUAUUUUUGAUGGUGAUUUUAUUGAAUCUUUGAUAAUCAACAUAUAUCUACAAUGAUCUAUCUUUUUUCUUUAUAAAUAUAUUGGAGCUACUCCUAGAGAUUUGGAAUGGCAUAUUAAGUUCUUGACUAGAUUUUCUUCAAUAUAUUUCUUGAGUUCAACCAACUUAUUUUGUGAUAAAUUAUAAAUUGGUCCAAAUAAUGUUAUAUUAUAAUUAUUUAUAGUAUAUAAAAAUUAAUUAAAAUAGAUAAUAUAUUUAUAAAUAUUCAUAUACUUUAGAAUAUUUAGUAGAUUAAUUUAAAGAGAAUAAAUGUAAGAAAAUUUAUUUUGAGGUUUAUCUGUGUUGAUUAUAGUGUUUAAAUUAUAUAAGAUUUAGAUAUUUAGUAUAAAAUUUAAGGAGAAGAUUGGUGCUCAAAGAUGAAGACCUAAACCUCUAAAAAAAUUAUUUGAAGGGAUGAAAGUAAGGUAUAGAUGGAAGAAGGUUAAUAGUAAAGAUCUUCAUUCCUAUUGUUCAAAAGCCAUGCCCAUAAGCAUUCACGUAUCUUUUUAAGACAUAUUAUUGUUCUUUUGAGAAUGCAAGGAAUUUUAUGAUAUAUUCUGGAAAUAAAAAGAUAUGGCCACAAGGAUGAUUUUAAAAUCUACAUCUUUUGUAAAAGAAUUUUUGCAUUCAGAGUUUGUAUGAAGAAGUUAUAGAGUAUUGAAGAUAGCACAUGUAAUUCAAAAGCAAUAAGUGAGUCAUUUUGUUGAUAGUAAUAGUUGGAGCCAUAUCUUGAGUUUCUAAAUGAAUUUUUAGCUCAAAAUUUUUAAAAGUAUGUGUUAUUAGGUUAAAAAGCUAUAUAUUAAAGUUUUAUAAUAUUUGAGUACUUAAUUUGUGAGAUAUGAAGAAAUUUACAUAUAAGUAUAUGAAAGUAAGAGUUUGUAGCUACUAUUAGGGUUUUGACAAUAUUUCAAGAUUCAUGAUGAAUUUAUAGUUGAAAUUUGUUGUAGUAGUUAUUAAAAAUAUAUUAGUACUUCAUAUAAAAUUUUGAUUUUUUUGGAUGGUCCAAUCGUAAGAUAUGAACUGCUGAAGUUUGGAAAAAAUUCACCUUAAAGAUAUACAAGGUUUUAUAAUAUUUUUAUCACAUUUUUGGUGAUCUUUGGUACUUAAGGCUUAUAUAUUAAUGUAAUUGCCCCUACAAGGGUAAUUUUAUAUAUAGACUAUAUUUUUUAUUUUUUUAUUUUUAUCUUAAGGCUUGGUUGAAAUAUUAGUAACAAUUAAAAGUCCAACACUUAUUUAAGGCAAAUUCUCUCUACUCCAACAUUGGUUGUUGAACUCCUUUUUGAAGGUCAAUUGAGUAGUCAUAGGAACAAUGUUUUGGUAGAGUAUCCACAUUUUUUUUUUCAAAUACAUCUUGAAAAUCUUUAUAUUGGCUUUGAUAAAUCUAAAAUGAUUGGAUUAGAAGGAGAUCUAAUGAUAUUAAAUAUCACAAAGCUAUUAUAUCCAUUAAUUGUUAUCUCUAUAAGAAGGAUUUUAAGAAUAAUAUUUUUUGAAGACAAUAGAUGAUUAUCUAUGACUUUUACAUGAAUAGGUUUAGUUUUCUUCAUUAAAAGUAUGUUAUAUUUUUUUAGCAAAUUCUUCAUCUAAGAAACACAUUAAAACUCUUAAAUCUAACAAGGCAUACUUUUAAUGAAGAAUUUAUAUAUCUUCUACUUUUGAAUGUAUAUAUUGAGAAGACAUUGGCAUUGUCAUUAAAUUAUAGUGACAUUGAGGUGCACUUAUGUGACUUUCAGAUCAAAAUUGAAAAAGUCAAUUGUUACAUUCUAUAGCAAAGUCAAUUGCUUGACUCAAUGUUUGAGAAUCAAGUAAGUUGAGCAUCAAUUUUUUUACCUCAUACUGUAAUCUAUAAAAAAAUUGGCUAACAAAUGCAACAUCAUCUCACUUAAUAUUAAUUGCAAGUUGUUAAAACUAUGAAGCAUAUAAUAUUAUUAAUCCAUUUCUUUGUCACAAAAUAUGGAUCUUAUUGGUUAUAACUCAAAUUAUAUCAUGCUUUCUAUACAUGAAUCAAAACUCUAUAAAAAAAGCCUCUAAAUUAUCCAAUAUUGGAUUUCAUUGUUCAAGAAAAGAUGAAAACCAUGAUAAUAUUAAAUCUGAAAGGAAUGUAUUAAUUAAUCUAAUUUGUGAUCCAAGAAUUGAAUAGCUUUGGAGUUGAAGUUCAAUCACAAAGUAUACUUAGUUAAUAAAUCCUUGAAACUUGGAUCUUGUGCUAUCAAACUUCAUGAAUAGUGCAAUUUUUGAUUCUUUAACACUAGAAGGAUGUUCCAUCAUAGAAAAAUGGACAUGAUUUGGUACAGAUAUUGAAGCAAUUCCAACCAUUUCUAUACCUUUAUUUCCUAUCAUUCUUGUUGCUUUUUGUGGCAAUAAAUUGAGUUGAUGUAUCACAUGUAUUAACUUCCUCAAUUGCUCUUGUAUUUACACCAUUGCACUCUUCAUUUCAAGAAUCUCUGCCACGAUAACACUUUAAAAAAAAUAUGUCUAAUAUUACUCAAGACAAAUAGAAGAAAAGUUUUGAAAAAAAUAAAAUAAAAAAUACUAAAGAUAAUAUUAGUUUAAAAGAGGAUAAUCCGAAACUCCUAGUAUGCUUUAGUCUUAUAAAGAAAAAAGGAUAAUCUACUCUUAAUUAAGAAAAGAUAAAUCUUUGAUAUUAUAAGUAUACUCUUGUCAAUCUGUCAGGGAUAAGAACUUGAUAAAAGUAAAUAUAUAAGUAAGAUUCUCUCAAAGAAAUAUGAAAAAAUAGAAAUAGAGAAGUAUAUAUAUUAUAAAGGAAACUAGAAUGGCUAUUGCCAAAAGAUAAGAAAACUAGAGACUCUUGAAACUAGACUAGAAGCAAGAAAGGAAUUGAUAAGAGUGAAGAAGGCUUUAUUUUUGCCUCUAUAUAUACUAUCUAACUAGGAUUUAUGUGGCAACAUUUUAUAGGACCUCCAAAAAUAUAUUGACUUUACAUAACAUAUAUCUUAAAUUGCAAGGCAAGUUUUCUAUAUAGAUGCCACAUAAUUAGCUUCUUCUACAAGCUACAAACAUAUGUAGUACAUAGUUAGUUUGUUAACCAAGUUUCUAAUGUAUUAAUCAAGUACAAACAUAUGUAAAGUCAAUACAACAUUUAGGAAGUUUUUUUAAAAGGUAUUAUAAAAUUAAUCUACUUUUACCUAUUUUUACCUAUUUCUAUCUAUUUAUAUUAUUUAUAUAAUAUUUAUAAUAGUUAUAUAUCCAUAAUAGCCAUGGUGUGUGUUUACUACAAGGAGAUGACUUUUAAGGAUGCUAUUGAUAAAUGCUUCAAUUUCCAAAGAAAAUUUCAUAUCAAAUAGGUUCAUUGCAAUGGCUAAUUUCCACAACUUCAAAUUUUUUGUGGUAGGUUGGCUUCCAUUUUUCUAACAUAAGCACUAUCAAAUUUGACUUUUUCAUGAUGGUGUGGAAAAAGGAUAACUAUCAAAAGUGCCUCACGAAUUUGUUGCUUAAGAGUAUCUUGUAUUCUAAAAAAUUUGAUAGAAUCUAUCAAACUUAAUAAGGAUGGAUGUUUUUAGACAACUAUAGAGAUGAAUUUCAUCCAUUCUUAAUUUAUCUAAAAUAUAAUCUGGCCACAAUUUUAAAAUAAACUAAAUUAGGUAUUUCAAGGAAAGCCCUAAUUUAAAGAGUCUUGGUGAUCUUGCAACAUAGGUACCCAACUUGCACUCUAAACUUUUUAAUUCAUCCAUUCAUCAUCCAUACACUAAUAGAUAUAACUCACACUCUAACCUUUUUAAUUCAUCCAUUCAUCAUCCAUGCACUAAUUGAUAUAGGUGUCAAUGAGCUCAGUGACUAGCAACCAAUUGGUGCAGUGAUCCCUAAUAGAUUGGUACAAGGGAUGCAUGGUUAAGGUUUGGGCUUUUCUUUUUAUUAAAAAAUAAUAAUAAUAAUAAAAUAAAAUAAAUCAUUUAUGAAAAAUUAGACAGGAUUAAGAAAAUCAGUUAUGAACAAUUAGACAGGAUUAAAGGUUUAGGGUUUAUUAUAAUGAUCUGAAGCCAUUUGGGUUUUGCAUUCCUCUAGUACCAGGUAGCAGCUGGGUACCUAUUCCGCUACGGCCAUUGUUGAGUAAGUUGACGUAGUAUUUAAACGUAGGUUGGAUUGGUUAAAAUGUGCGGAUUGAAGGCUGGUGUAGGGGUCUUCCUUCCUGUGAGAGGACCCACAGGGAUGGUCCACAUCAAGAUUACUCUUGCCAUGCAUUCCAAUUACAUUGUUAAUACGGAUGGAUAAUUGCCUGUAAAAGCUACCAAUGAGUUUGAGCUCCCAAAUUGAGCGAUGAUAGACAAGAUACCAUUAGUCCUUACGAGAAGGAACACACGGAAGAAUGCAUCGCUUUGCACAGGUGUAUUUUAUUUAAUUUCUCUAUUCGUACGAUAUACGUAAUUUAAAAUUUUCUCUUCUUCAUAUGCUGAAUGCCAAUAGUGGCAGGAUUCGUUUUUAGUGUUAUUAUGCACAAUGCGAGGAGCGCGACAAAGCCACCACAUGCUGCAUACCUGUCUAGAUUACACGAAACCAUUGAAUGGAGAAAAGUCGUCAGUUUGUUAGCAUGCUUCCAUUGUUAAGAAGAUGGGAAGUAGAAUGUUCUGGUUGUAGUUGUGUAUAGCCAGCCUUAUAAUUAUACGCCUUUCGUAUGCCGAGCAUGGACAGUUUCUAACAGCAUUCUACCACUACCGGCAGAUUCAUGCAGAAUGAUAACGCAGGGAAGCAUCGUGAAACUUGUGGGGAACCAUCAAGCUACUCUGCACAGGAAAUAUUGGAUCGAUUCACUUGGCUGGUCACGAGAAAAUCGCUGUCUGCCAUCAACCUCUCCAUGUCUUCUCUCCACAACGCCAUGAAUACAUUGAUAGCUUUAGGUCCAAUGUGACUGGGCAGCAUCAGAAUGCAGCCAUUAUAGGGAUUGUCAGCAGGUCCUGCAAACACUGGCUUCCCGAACCCGAAGUCGGUAUCAUAGAAUGGCAUCCGGAACCAACCCGCGGAGGAGAUGUCGUUACCCAUGAGGUUGAUGGAGCUCAUGGUGAGAUGCUCCUGCGCCUCGCACCACGCCCAGGAAGAUUUUACAUACUCGUCCGUCAUCUUCACGACACUUUCUCGAACCAGUUGCGCUGAGAACGACAGAGGCUUCUCCAGGAUGUCGCAGACCUUCGCAGGCAUGCAUGUGAAGAUGAUCGCGUUGCCGAAGUAGCCCUCCGGCAAAUUGGGCUUGAUUCGCUUUCUGGCGUCCAUAGUGGUGAAAAAUCUGGCUUCCUCCGAAUCAGCGCAGCCCUUGGCUCGGAUUACCGCUCUAAAGAGGUGCGCAGACAGGCUUUCGAAAGUGGUGAAUGAGCCCAAACUUCCGUCACCUAGAGCCUCGGCCUUGAUCUUCUUCAGCAUCUCGGGAGUGAAGGUGAACAACCUCUCCACCAUUUUGCGCGUUGGCGGCGGCUCCAUUACCUUGGGUCGGAGCCGGAGCUCUCUGGGACAAGUGUCGGGCUUGGCACGUCCCAUUGAAGAGAGCAGGUGGUGGUCGUAGUUAGGCAGUUGCGAGAUCUGCUCCCCGCGGACCAGUUCUGUCCACGACGCCAUGAAGUUGUGAGCAGAGAUGCCGUCGGCGACGGUGUGAUGGUUGGCCAUUCCCAGCGCGAAGCCGCCGCAUUGAAACUUGGUGAUUUGAAUGAUCUGCACGGGCUGGAAUUCGAUGCUCACGGAGUAGUCCACCGUGGGCACUAAUAACUUGUUGAAGACGUAAUUUGGCUGGAAGUUCUCGAAGUCGUCGAUGGUACCAUCCACUUCGGCGUCGACCCACACCACUCCCUUAUUGUUACAGUGGAUUUCGUACCCGAUGUUCCCCUCCGCUCGCCGGACCCGCCCUGCCAUGGGGUAAAACACCACCAAGAGCUUGGCUAGGGCUGCUUUCAGCCUGGUUGUCACAUGCUCGUUGGCACCGGGAGAAGUCUCUCGGUAGAGAUACAGAGUGCGCACAUGGGUGGGACGGACAAAGUUAUCGCAGAUGGAGCAGGAUAACACAUGGAGCUCCGCGGGAAAUUCCAGGUACACAAUGGACGUCUUUGAAGAUAUGAUGCGCAUUCGAGGAACCGAUUCCGUGACCUCAUCGAUCCCUGCCGUAGGACGAAAUGCAAGGAGUUGACAAAUCAUUCGAAAUUUCACAAAUAGCAGAAUAGAUAUCUGAAUGGAUACCAACCUUAGGUUACAAACAACAUGAUGAGGCUAGAAUUAGCAGAACAAACGAACUGAAUAAUAUGUUGUUUGAACUCGUUGGAACUACAUCAUGAGCCAACCAACAAGACUUCCAUGAAGAAACUGUGUGUCAAAAAGUCCAUCAUACCCAUGACGAGCGGUCGCCGUCGAGGAGAGCCAAGGUGAAAUAUUGCUUUCAGUCCGCAAGAUGUGUGUCAAGGCAACAAACUAUUCCAACACUCUCAUGCCACUUGAUUCUCAGUGCUGGAAUGUAUUAGAGUUAGGGAUCGGCGAGGAACGCAACCGUGACUCAAUGGCAGCCGCUACCUUGAAGAUGCUUCCAUGAUCAGCAGCUGGAAUGAAGUUGAGGGGAGUGAAUCCUGCAUGAGUUGAUAGGAUGUCGAAAUGUGCCUGACAGACCCCGUGCAGACAGAGAGCUCUGCAUUGCAAUCGUCCUGCACUCUGCGCAUGAAUCCCGUCGACAGCAGAAUAGUGACUGAUAGAAUGAGAGCAACAUAAACAAAACAAGAUAUAUUACUUAACACUGCAGGUACAGAGAGAAUCUCAAUAUACUGAGAUUACAGAGUGGCCUACUACGGGCUCCAUUUGUGAAGGAUGAGGAAUCUAGACUUUCUGUUAACGGAGUAAUUUCCAACACCCCCCAUUACUCCAAGGUGGCUUGAGUGACCUUGUGAACUGCUGAGUCAGCUUAUCAACACUAACUGGGACAAGAGUUCAUACAAGGUAUUAUGUAUAUAUAUAUAUAUAUAUGAUUGGUUGAUCAUGGAGAUCCUUGUAACUAUAGUGAUAUUGGUUCCAUUGUUCUUGAUUCUAAGUUCUCUUGUGGUACUUAUAUUUGUGUCCAAGUGAUUUUUUUGGAGUUUCUUGAAAUGUUUAAACUUGUAUCAAAUUGUCAUUGUUCCUCGCAUCUUGACUUGUUAUUGUGGAGUAAUUGUUUUAGCUUAAGAGUUGUCUGAGAAGGUAGAGACAACAAAGUCUUAGUUUGGUUUUGUUGAGGUUAAAACAUCUGACCUCUCAGUAUGGUUGUCAUUUCCUGAUCCAUGUGAGGGCUGUAGUUUGGUGGAUAGUCUAGUGGGUGUGGUUGAAACUAGUAUGCAUUCUCUAAUAAAAUAAUAGUGUAAAAAAUAUGUUUUGUCAUUGGAUUGAUGUCUAGGUAGUUUUCUAUUCUCAUGCUUACUUUGUAUUACAAUGGAUUGGACCUUGUUUGUAGAUUUGUAGUCCCACAUCUUGUAUUAAAUUUUUCAGCUACGCGGAUUUCCUUGCGAUUGUUGAUAAUGCCAUGUAUUCUACCUGUCAAGGAUAAGAACUCGAUGAAAAAGUAAUUCAGACAAGUGAGCCUUCACUCAAAGAAAGGUAGCAAAAUAUAAAUAAAUAAAUAUGUAUAUUGAAAGAAAAACUAGAAUGGCUAUUGCCAAAAGUUAAGAAAACUAGAGAUCCUUGAAGCUAGACUGGAAGCAAGAAAAGAGUUGACAAGAGUGAAGAAGGCUUCACUCUUGUCUCUAUAUAUAUUAUCUAACUAGGGGCUACGCGGCGACAUUCUAUAAUACCUCCAAUAAGUGUUGACUUUGUAGGACACAUGCCUUGACUUACAAGGCAAGUUUUUCUACAUAUGGGCCACAUUGUUAGCUUGGUCUUCAAGUUAACAACAUGUGUGGCACAUUGCCAACUUGUUGACCACGUUUCUAAUCCAAAAAGUCAAUUAAAGACACCUAUAAAGUCAAAGCAACGUCUAUGAAGCUUCUAAGAAGCUAUUAUACUAAAUACUAUAGAAUUAACUUACUUUUAUCUACUUUUACUUACUUCUACCUAUUUAUAUAUAUAAUUAUUGGCUUACAUGAAUAUGUCCGUGACAUUACCCCCUCUUCUAGAGACGAGUUCUACGAGGAGCGGUUAUCAUAUGUUGAGGAAAUCUAUCAUGCAACAAAUUGUAUUUGCCACAUAUUUUGAUCUUUGUUCUCUUCGAAGAUGAUUGAUAGGGCCUCUCAACCAUCGGUAGUGUCCCAUACCAGGGCGGAAAGACCACCCAAUUAUUUGAUCAUUGUUGAGGCCUUCAUAACUUCCUUCAAAUAGAACAUUUGAAACACCAUCAAAAGUUGUUCUUACAUCUAAUAAAAUCACCAAACAUCGGGAGUCCCUUCCCAAGUCAUGAUACCAAACGCGUUGUAUCUCACCAUCUAUUCGAGGAAGAACAUGUCGUUCUUAAAGAUCUUAAUCUCAAUUGCAUCGUCUUGAAGGUUGUGACAAUCGUAAUGUCUAGUUCAACAGGUCAGCAAAUGAAGGCUCUUGAGUCGAAUCCGCUGGUUGUUGGUUCUCCAUCUCCCAAGCGUGACAACUACAAAGAAGCUAUAAACAAAGAUUGAAAGUAGAAUGUUAUCUUGCCUAGAUGUUGUUUCUUUUAUAAAGAAGGUUUUCAUCUUGAUUUUGAUGGAUGUCGUCAAUGAAAAGCCUCCACCGCCUUUGCUGCAUUUGUAAGAUUUUUUACUGGCUCCCAUGUACGUUCACUAAUAUCAUAUCUGCGCCAAUGGAUAAGAUAUUCUAAUUUAUUUUGGCGCGGCCUUGAAUCUAAGACUUCUUCUACUUCAAACUCUUCAUUAUUGUCCACUUUUAUAGGAAGAGGUGGAGCUUGUCGUCUUCUUCAUAUGUCCACUGACUUGUAUAAUUCAAGAAGAGAUACAUGGAAUACUAGAUGGAUUUUCAUUGACUCUAGUAGAUGUAAACGAUAUACGACUGGAUUGAUUUGUACAGAAAUAGAAAAUGGUCCUAGCCUUCGAUAGUCCAACUUGUCAUAAGGACGAGUAGUCUUGAUAUUGCGAUGAAGUAGCUAUACCUUAUCACCCAAGUAGAAUGGUGGUUAUUUCUUUCGAUAGACAUCCGCAUUGACCUUUUGUUGUUCUUGAGCUUCUUUUAACUACACCUUCAUUGUUGUAUGUAGCUCUGAUAAAUGAAUCGCCAAAUCUUUUGAAGCAGGAUUAUCAACUUUUGAAAAGUCAAAAAUAUGAAGUCGUGGAUGAUAACCAUAAUUAGCAAAGAAAGGUAUUUUUUUUAUAGAAGAAUGUAUCAUAUUAUUAUAAGCAAACUCUGCCAAUGGCAAAAGAGUUGUCCAAUCAUCUUAUUAGUAGUUAAUGGUACAUCUUAAAUAUUGCUCCAAAACUUGAUUAACACGCUCCGUUUGUCCAUCAGUUUGAAGAUGGAAUGUUGAAGAUAGUUUUAUAUCCACUUUUAGAAUCUUGAAAAGAGUCCGCCAAAAUCUUGAUACAAAUUGAGUUCCCCUAUCUGAUAUAAUAUCCUUGAGUAAUCCAUGAUAGCGAUAGAUACUGUCAAGAAAGAACUUAGCUGUUUCUUCACAUGUGAUAGAUUUUGUACAUGGUACAAAAUGUAUCAUCUUGAUAAAAUGAUCUACUAUCACAAAUAUAGAGUCAUAAGAACCUGAGAUUAGAAGAUCUGUGAUGAAGUCCAUAGAAACAAAAGACCAUGGUUUUUCUGGAAUGGAUAAUAGCUGAUGAAGUCCAAAAGGUAGAUGACGAGGAGUUUUUGAUCUUGAACAAACAUCACAUGAUUGUACAAAAUCUUUGACUGCCUUUCACAUUUGAGGCCACCAAAAAUCCCUAGAUAUCACCUCCAAAGUCUUAUUGUAUCCAAAAUGUCCUGCUGUUGGGAAGUCGUGAUGAGCUUGAAGAAUACAUAAACGUGCUUCUCCUUCUGGAACAUAUAGGCGUCCUUCGAAAUAGAGUAGGUUGUUAUUGAAUUCGAAUUUAGAGGGAUCAUGAGAUUUAGAAGAAUUAUUCUUGAUAUCAUGAAUAAGAGGGUCUGAAGACAUACUUAAUUAGACUUGCUUGAGAAAAGUUAAAUCAACAGUCAAUGUUGAUUUUAUUACUCGAAGAUGAAAUUGCUCCGGCUUCAAGAGAAUCAUUCUUUGUUGCUCAAAAGCUACAUCUCCUUCUUUUGGUGCAAGAUAAGAAUGUCUAGACAAGGCAUCGGACAAACCUUGUUGUUUUCUUAGCUGAUAAGUAAUGAUGAACUCGAAUCUUGAUAAAGACAUGCUCUAACGAGAUUGACGACGAUUUAAUACGCAUGCUAAUAUGAAAUAUUCGAGGUUCUUGUGAUCCAUAUACACGGUAACUGGAUUAGAAGCGCCUUCUAGAUAAUGACGCCAUUCUUGAAAAGAAUCCAAAAUUACAAGAAGUUCUUUGUCAUGGAUCUCAUAAUUGAUUUCUACUAUUGAGAAUUUUCUUGAAUGAAAGGCUACUAGAUGAAGUUUGUCAUCUGUUCCCAUUUGUGAUAAAACCACACCUAGAGCAAAGUCUGAUGCAUUUGUUUCCAUAAAGAACGCUUUGGAAAAAUCAACACGAUAUAAGAUUGGUGCAAAAAUAAACGCUGUCUUCAAAGAUUCAAAAGCAACUUUUGCUUCUUGAUUCCAUUGCAGUUUGUCUUUACAAGUCAAACUUAUAAGUGGAGCUGCAACUCGAGAGAAGUCUUUGAUGAAGAUCCGAUAGUAGUUGGCAAAUCUCAAAAAGCAUUGGACAUCUCUUACCGUUUUUGGAUCUUCCAAUCUAUAAUAGUUUGAACUUUCUUAGGAUCCAUCAUAAGUCCAUCAUUUGAAAUGAUGUAAUCUAAGAAGUCGACUUGAGUAGUGUGGAAUACACACUUUUUUAUCUUGGUAUAGAAUCUCACAUCUCUUAAUUUUUGUAACACACGACGAACAUGAAGUUUAUGUUCUUUUGGAUUCUUAGAAUAGAUCAAGAUGUCGUCUAGAUAACAAACCACAAAAUCAUCCAAAAAUUCUCAAAAAAUAUCAUUCAUUAGAUGUUGAAAAGCUGUUGGUUUAUUUGUAAGCCCAAAAAGUAUGACGUUGUAUUCAAAAUGUCCAUACCUAGUUCGAAACGCAGUCUUCCAUUCAUCUCCUUUUUUGAUGCGUACUAGAUUGUAUGCUCCCCGAAGAUCUAUUUUUGUAUAGAUCUUAGCUUGAUUUAGUUGAUCAAGAAGUCCAGAUAUUAAAGGUAGUGGAUACCUAUUCUUGAUGGUAAUCUUGUUGAGUCGUGGAUAAUCAACACACAUAUGCAAUGAUCAAUCUUUUUUCUUCACAAAUAGAAUUGGAGCUUCUACCGGAGAUUUAGAAUGGCAUAUGAAAUUCUUGGCUAGAUUUUCUUCAAAAUACUCGUUGAGUUCAGUCAACUUAUUUUGUGAUAAACUAUAUAUUGGUCUGAAUGGCGGUUGUGCUCUUUCUUGAAGGUCAAUUGAAUAUUCAUAGGGAGGAUGUUUUGAGAAUGUAUCCGCAUUCUUUUUUUCAAAUACAUCUUGAAAUUCUUGAUAUUAGCUUGGAAUGCCACAUGAAGUCUUUGCACCGAUAGAAACCAAUGUGGCAUAAAUAAUAUAUGGUAAUUCUUUCAUAGCAGCAUGCAAGAAAGCUUUUGUACCUAUAAACACAAGUUUAAUUGAAUUGGACUUAUGACUCUCUACUUGAUUAACUAUACUAUUAGUUAUACUUUUAGAGAAAGUAAGAGUUUGGAAAAUCCAAUCUAUUUGAGGGUUGUAUUUUUCUAACCACGAUAAACCUAAAAUGACUAGAUUAGAGGGAGAUCUAAUGAUAUUAAAUACUAUAAAGCUAUUAUGACCAUUGAUUAUUACUUCUAUAGGAAGGAUUUCAUGAGUAAUAUCUCUAGAAAAUAAUGGACGACCAUCUAUGACUUCUACAUGAACAAGUUUAGUUUUCUUUAUUAAAGAUAUGUUAUGUCUUUUAAUAAAUUCUUCAUCUAAGAAACACGCUGAGGCUCCUGAAUUUAACAAGGCAGAGGCUUUGUAAUGUUUAGGUCCUAAAAUAACAUUUAAUGUAAAACAAGGAGAGGGCUCUGAGGAGAAAAUAAAACCUUUACUAGAUGUUGUGCAAGGUUCCAGCCGCACGGUUCCUAUUGUAGCUGGACAAACUCGUUUUCUGACAUAUUGUCUUCUUUGAUAGCCAUACUCCGCAUUUUGUGGUUGCGUCAUUUCUUUGGACAAUGUUAAGUAGUGUGUUUUGGUUCUCCACAAUAUAAACAUAAUCCUUCUUGACGACGACGAGUCUUUUCUUGCUCAAUAAGAGGUUUAAAACGUACUGCAUCAAUUUGCAUAUCCUCUACUUCUGAAUGUAUGUGUUGAAGAGGUGUUAGUGUUGCCAUUGAAUUAUAGUAAUAUUGAGGUCCACUUGUACGGUUCUCAGAUCAAAAUUCAAAAAGGUGAUUGUCGCACUUCACAGCAAAGUCAAUUGCUUGACUUAAUGUUUGAAGAUCAAGAAAGUUGAGCAUUAAUUUUUUUACCUCAUAUUGUAGUCCGUAGAAAAAUUGGCUACAAAAUACAGCAUCAUCCCACUUGAUAUCAGUUGCAAGUUGUCAAAAUUUUGAAGCAUACAACGUUAUUGAUCGAUUGCCUUAUCGUAAAAUAUGGAUCUUAUUGGUUGCAACACAAAUUACAUCAUGUUCUCCAUACAUGGAUCGAAACUCCACCAAAAAAUCCUCUAGAUUAUCCAAUAUUAGAUCUCGUCGUUCAAGAAAAGAUGAAAACCACGAUAGUAUUGAACUUGAAAGAAGCGUAUCAAUGAAUCUAACUUGCGAUCUUGGAGUUGGAUAGCUUUGGGAUUGAAGUUCAAUCACAAGUUACACUUGAUUGAUAAAUCCUCGAAACUUGGAUCUCGUGCCAUCAAACUUCUCGGAUAAGGUAAUUCUUGGUUAUCUAACACUGGAAGGGCGUUCCACCAUAGGAGAAAGGCCAUGAUUUGAUGCAGAUGUUGAAGCAGCUCCAACCAUUUCUAUAUCUUCACUUCCUGCCAAUCUUGUUGCUCAUUGUAGUGGUAAAUUGAGUUGAUGCAUCACAAGCAUUAACUCCCUCAAUUGCUCUUGCAUUUGUGCCAUUGCACUCUUCAUUUCAAGAAGUUUUGCCAUGAUAACAUUUAGAAAAGAGAAGAUGUCUAAUAUCGCUCAAGAUAAAUAGAAGAGAGGACUUGAGAACAAAGAAAAUACUAAGGACAAUAUCAAUUUAGAAGAGGGUAAUCCAUAACUUCUAAUAUGCUUAUAUCUUAUCAAGAAAAAAGGGUAAUCCACUCUUAACCAAUAUUAGACAAAGCUUUGAUAUUAUAGGUGUACUCUUGUCAAUCUGUCAAGGACAAGAACUCAAUGAAAAAGUAAUUCAGACAAGUGAGCCUUCACUCAAAGAAAAGUAACAAAAUAUAAAUAAACAAGUAUGUAUAUUGAAAGAGAAAUUGGAAUGGCUAUUGCCAAAAGACAAAAAAACUAAAGAUCCUUGAAGCUAGACUGGAAGCAAGAAAGGAGUUGAUAAGAGUGAAAAAGGCUUCACUCUUGUCUCUAUAUAUAUUAUCUAAUUAAGGACUACGUGGCGACGUUCUAUAAUACCUCCAAUAAGUGUUGACUUUGUAAGACACAUGCCUUGACUUACAAGGCAAGUUUUUCUACAUGUGGGCCACAUUGUUAGCUUGGUCUUCAAGUUAACAACAUGUGUGGCACAUGACCAACUUGUUGACUACGUUUUUAAUCCAAAAAAUCAAUUAAAGACACCUAUAAAGUCAAAGCAACGUCUAUGAAGCUUCUAGGAAGCUUUUAUACUAAAUACUAUAGAAUUAACUUACUUUUAUCUACUUUUACUUACUUCUACAUAUUUAUAUAUGUAAUUAUUGGCUUACAUGAGUAUGUCCAUGACAACAAGUGUACUAUAUAUGAAAAAAGAGACUCAAAAUGGGCCAACCUCCUUGUUUAAUAAUUCUACACCGCAAUUCAUGACAUAUUCUCUCACUUUUUGGUAAUUCCUUAAAAGUAAACCUCCUAAUAAUUUAUCACUGUGGGAUAGAGUGAUGACUUGGGGAUUGAAUUGAGUGCACUAUUCUUCUUUCUUCUUCCUUUUUAUUAUAUAACAUAACAUUAUACAUGUCCUUGUAAUAAAGAUUUGCAAAAACGUCGUUACCUAAACCUCCGCCACGUAUUCUCUUCGAUAGUUGUUUCAUAAGGACAUAAAACCCUGAAGCUUCGCCGGAAUCCCGCAGCACCAGUACUUCAUAUCGACAUGGACGGGUUACGACGUUCUCUAGGCCAGCUCGACAGAAACUGGUGCUCCAAUCUCUCGUCAGCUCUGGCAUCCUUGUAGCACGCGGACCCACCCCCUAGAUACGAACGAGAAGAGCUCUGUUCGUUGCAUUUGGAUGCUCCGCUGUCCUUUGGAACCUCCAAUAGUCUACUGCAGUGCGCAUCCAAACAGGAUCUAAGCACUCUGUAACUACUUUCCGAUGCAUGUGCACUUUUUCUCCGUCCUGAGAUGAGCACAUCCUUUCUAAAUUCGUCGCGUCUCCUUUCGCAGAACCCUCAGCGGGUUCCCUUUCAGAAUAAUUCUCCUCCAAGUGUCGGAAAGAACCUGUCGAAGGUGUCCAUGGAAAGUAUCUCCGUGUUUCAUUCAGAUGUUCAUUUUCGAAUAGAAUCUGAAAGAAAAAAGAAAAGAAAGACGUUAAAAGAGUGCCCUCUCCAACAAGACCUCCUCCAUCUCGGGAUCAUUCAUGCUACAGCUCUGGAUCCUACACUGACGUAUUGUUUGUUUCUGUUUCCCUGCAAUCUACACAUGUCAUGUAUAGCACAGUCUCGUCUUUCAUAUUAUUGUGCGGAGGUGUUAAGAAUGCAGUUACGCUUGUUUCAAGUCCCUGAGCUGGGUAGAGUUUGAGAUAUAGAGAAAUUGGAGGUGUUGCAGGAUCUUGCGUAAUUUUGCGAAUUCUUUGUUGGUUGGUUUGUUUCCUGGCCGAGUGGCAAGGAGUCCGGUUGAUUUGAGUUUUGAGGACAGAGGAUUUAGGAAUUUAAUCUGUAAGUGAGGUUUGAUGAGCGUGUGUGUGUGUUGUGAGUUUAAGCGAUGAAUUGGUAGUGAAUCAGGGUUGAUCGAUCUGGUGAAUUAGGGCUGAGGUGCUGGAUUGUGAGCCUUUUAGGGUUCAUAUUCGAAGAGCGUGAUUGGAAUGUGCAAGUACACGGAGCUGGGCCGUUACUGAGGCCUGUUUGAGAAAUUGUUUGACUGUUUUGGGAGAUUUUAGGAACAGUGAGUUUGUUCUGAUCAAGCUGUUUUCCAGUUUUCGCUGCUCUAGUUGCUACAAGAUUUGUUUGACCAGGUUUUAGUGUUUAGGGUUUUAGCAACUGUGGCUGUGAGGACGUCACGGUUGAACCAUCGGUUUUUGUUAGGACAGCGUUUUUGGUGAGCUGUUUUUGAAGACAUUGUCAUUUAUUCUUUUCAGAUGCUAUAAAACCCAGGUGAAUGUAAAGGUCUAUCUCAAUAGAAGCGUAGAAAGAGUCUUGUUCCUGUGCGAUAGGAAGCGUUUCUGUGAGUAGAAUGUGUUCAUAGAGUUGUGACGAUCAUCCAAAAUCAAGGUUUUUUUUCGUUUUUGUUUGUUUGUUUGUUUGUUUGUUUGUUGGGUAGACUAGAGUAUGAAAGGUUGUGAUACAUGCUUUAUUGAGGAACAUCCAUCAUUUUCAUUAUCUUGUAAGCAUUACUUGGUUUCUUGGAAAAUAAUUUUUCUUUAAUUUUUCAAAAGAAAGGCGUAUUUGAUAAGCAAUCGGCUAUUUAAUAUUCUGUUCAAUCUUGAUCUAUAACUCUUGUGUGAUUAUGGACGGUUGUGUGCACUAUUCUAAUAACACAAAUUAACUUAAGUCAUUUGACAUUGUAAGUCUGCACAAUACAUUUUUAGCUAACUUUAACUUUAUAAGCACGAAGAUCACUACUAAUUUUUUACUUUUUGUUCAAUCAAAUCUAGUUCUUAACUUAAUACAUUAACUUGGUUAUUUAAUUCAAACUUAUGGUGUUUGCACCGUAUAUGGAUGUAUGUAUGUAUGUAUGUAUGUAUGUGUAUUUUUAUUUUUUAAAAUUAGAUAUAAAUAGAUAUUACAUAUGAAAAAUAUAUAAGAAUAUGAUAAACAAAUUGAUAUUAACAAACUAAAAAAGUAAGUGAGCAUAAACUUUUAUGGAGUAUAUAUUAUCAUGAGCCUUUAAGAUUCUAAAUUCAAAAUUGAUGCUAAUAUUAUUCUAAAAAUAUAUAUAUAUAUAUAUAUAUAUAUAUAUCUUGCAUUUGAACAAGUUAACCCCAAAUGAAAAAUACUAAUUAUGCAUGUGUGUUAUUAUACUUGCAAAAUAUAUAUAUUUCUUUUAAAUGUUAAAAAAAGUAUUAAAAUUUUAUUCUAUUAAAAAUAGAAUAGAAUAAAUAUUAUCAUUAUUAUUAAUUUUUAUUAAUCAAAUUAUUAAAAGUAUGUUUUUCAGUUUUUCAAAGUGAAUGAUGCCAACACACUAAUGAAUAAUGGCUCAUUUUUCAUAUUGAUAUGUAUGUACACACAUGCAUACGCACUCUACAACUUUACACAGAUUGAUACACAUAUAUUCCAAUUAUUCUUUGAGCGCAUGUCAAUAAAAGUGCACUGGGUAUCUUCAAGUCAAGUGGAAUUUGUGACAAAACAUACCGGUAAAUGUGACCAAUCCAACACAGAUGAUAUGCUUGGUCCAGAAGCUAUGAUCGACGGGAGUACCGACAUAUAUUGGCCGACACGGUCAGCAGCAAAGUGUGAAGCUCAUAUGCAGGCUAUUUGUGGAAACUCCAUCUUCUUUAGUAUUCUUAUGAUCCAAUCGUCCCAGAGUGGUACAUUUCAGUCCAAAGCUCCCACGACUAGGGCUGCAUUUGAUGGACCUUGGUUUCAUGUCAAUGCACAAAUUCCUCCAACAUGAGAAUAAGCUCCAUUUACUACCGAUUACCUGGCCAAAUAUAGAAUCUAACGACAUGAUCAGGAUUGGUGCUGAUCUUAUUAAUUCUCAUCUACCGUAUGACCCGCUGACAAGCGGUACUGUUACUUGAAAGGACCACCGCCAAUUGCGCAAUUUGUCAUAUCACUGACGAGCUCUUCCGUUCAGUGCAGACUGCACAACUUGUACAAAGUGAAAGGAGACGGUUGCUACUUAACUCAUACAACACUAGUGUAUUUACUUACGAUGCACAUGCGGUCCUUCCUUGAAGCUCUGCUGUAGAUGUGACGUGACCUCUUCAUUGCCGAAAGGGAUUUUCUUCAGCGGUACCGAUUCGUCCAUGGAGUGUUAGGAAAUUAGGUACUAGCAAACAUGACAAACCACCAAUGGAGCCGAAGUCACGUUGAACGGCUCUCCACAGCUGGAGAAUUGAGACGGGACUAGUCGAUUGCCUUCAGGACAGUCCGUGUUCACAUACCACGAACGCUGGUUGACAGGCCUCGAUGAUGCAUUGUGGCCCUGGUCAGCUACAUAUCAAAUUUUCUCACCCACUAUACUAUUAAACCAAACUUCUGUGCAUAUUGUGUAUUCGACUGCAUCAUACAGGUGCGGAUGCGUCACCAUAGUUUGCCUGCAACUAUGCUGCGGCGACAAUUUCACGCUCUGCGUCUCUCUUCCAUUUCAAGCGCAAAAGAAAGAAGCACGCAACGAUGAAAACCCAGUAGGAUAUGUAGGAGACCAACGUCCCCACCGUCCCCUCGUUACGCCACCCCACAACAGCGUUCAAGAUUUUCCAGAUGCCGCUGUCGUCUUGGCUGCAGCAGUUCAUUUUCCAGAUGAAAUGCUCAUUGUCCGUGUACUCCUCCAGCUCAUGAACGGACCCAGCGAAAAGGCCAGCGGAGAUUAAGAGAAGCAAUGCAGUUGAAAACAGAAGGAACCAUUUGAAGCCCACCGAACUGCAACCUUUGAACAGCAGCCAACCGACUAAAAUCCCGCACAAAGCUCCCACCACGGCAGGAAUUGGAAGUGCUGUACCGGAAUCAUUCAAUCCGAUGCCGCCUAGAAAGAUAACCGCCUCGCACCCUUCUCGCAAGACAAUGCUCAGCGGCAGUAGAACGAGCGCGUAACGACUCCUCCUUCGUUGCACUCCUAUCCCGGCUUGUUGCUCCUCCAAGGUGUCUUCCGUUACCUUGGUGAGCUUCUUCUCCCACUUGGCCCUCCAUGUGUCUACUCGCACCAUGGAGAAUGCCAUCAGUGUGAUGAGCACCACUGCGAUGAGGCCUAGAAUGCCCUCCCACAGAGGUUCUGAGCUCGCCCAAGCGUCCUUGGCCACCGUGUAGUACAAUGAUAGGAAAACAGCCGCGGCUAUAAACGAAAGCAACACUCCCCCGACCACCCCUGACCACACCUGCCACUUCAUCCUUCGUCGCACCCGCUCAUUCUCCACCAUCCUGUCCAAGAGAGCCAUCAUCACGGACAAGAUGAUCGCCGCCUCCAAAGUCUCCCGGAACAAGAUGAAAAACGCUGGGACGCUGAAAAGCUGCACCAUCUUGCCUCAACUUGACUGCACGCACCUCCGAUCGACUUCCCUCACUCCGUUUCUCACAACCUGCAGAACAGUUUAUGACGUUCAGCGGCACGGGGAAUGACGCAACAGAACGAGUGCGUCAUAGACUGAAGUGGCUAUCCGUCUUUAUAUACUCACCGUAGAAGCGCCCUGAAAGCAGCUACCGAAAGGUCUACCGGAAGGUGUGCAGAAGGCCCUUCUCAUUCGAGACCGCCGUGGUAUCGGCGUUGACGAAAGAGGAUCAGUUCUGCGAGCGGAUCAACGGCUGCAACACUCAAGCAUUCUGCACUCGCCUCCGGCACAUGCCCCCCGCGCUGAAGCACACGCUCAGCCUGUGCCGCGCACUCUUCCAACCUCCCACAUCAGCUCCGCAACAGACACCUCGUCGACAAAAAAUGCCCCCUCCUCCGCCCUCCUCCUCCGCACGCAGCAACAACAGCCUCCAUUAAACUCCAAAUCCUCCCUGCUAGCGAGCAACACAGCCCCAACUCCCCGCAUCAGCUCACACCACCACGGAUCACUCACUCGAUCAGUACCUGUGGUCCCAGCAGGUAGCGCCGCGGCACUGAUCCAUCAGCAACCUGGCGAAUUGGUCAGGGGUCACUGACUGCGGAGUACCGUGGAUUAGAAUCAUGUGCGGCGCGUUCCAAGGGAGUGGAGGUGUACGUCUCCUCCAUUAGCGAUUGUUAGCUUGUUGGGAUCAAGCUCGUCGCCGUGAUCACCACCGCGCGGCGUGGUCGUCCCGCGACGCUCCCAAGCAGCGAUCAGCGAGCGCUGCUGGCUGGUAACUCGUGACGAGCCCUGGUGCGUGUCGCCGCUGCCGCGGCCGUGACGCGCCAUGACGUGACGCAGCUGCGCGUCACCCUGCACACACGCCUACGUUAAUAUCCAAUCAGUGGUGCUGAUGGUUUGGUUAUUAGGAGUGUGUGGGGUGUGUGAAGUUGCCAUUUAGUGGGUGAAUUAAAUAUUAUUUAUUUUUCUAAUUCAUGCGUGCGGGAUUGAUAUUUGGAUGCACUACUGAAGUGUCUCUAUGUACUAACACAUGUGAGAUUGAAGUUUUUUUUUUUUUUUUUUUUUUCUUCAGAUUUGGUAAAAAAAUUCCUUGUUUGAUUGAUGGAAGUUGGGAGGCUGUUUUACUAAGUGAUUAUUUCAAUUUGCUAUCAGUGGUGCAAGCAGUGGACAUGAUGAUGGAGAUGACACCGUUAUAAUGACAGGACUGUCUGCGUAGCAUUUUUAAAGAUAUUUUUUGCAUGUUUGUUUUAAUGAUGGUUUGAAAAAUGAUUCUGAUAUGGUAAUAUUCUAUUUUUGGUCGACAAGAAUAUCAAAUAUGAGUAUGCUUUAAGAUUUCGUAAUUUCAUUAUCUCUCUCCCUCUCACUCUCCUUGAGUCUGUGUGUGGUUGUAUUUUAAUUCAAGCAUUUUGAUUCAUUAAAAAAAAUUAAAUUAAAGAACCCCAUGAAACCCAUGGAACAUAUAAAACAUGAAAAAAAAUCAAAAAUCAAAAAACGAAAAUCAAAAUCUUAAUCAAAUUGAAAAAAAAUAAUCAUUUCAUUAUUAUUAUUAUUAUUAUUAAUAAUAAUUUCAUUCUUUGUUUUAGUUGCAUUAACUGUAUGAUCUUCAAAGUUAUUCAGUGUUUUCUCAAGUAGUUAUUUAGAAAGGUUGUAAUAUAUACUACAAUACAUAAUUUGUGAAAGAUAUAUUAGAUUUUGUCAUUUCUCACAUUAGGAAAUUUAUUUUUGAUAUGAUUUUAAUUGAAUUAUUUUUAGUUUAAUUUUAGUGUAAUAUUUCUUAUGGGAUGAUAACAUGUGUUUUUAAACCUGUAAAUUAUCACACAAAAGAAAAUAAAAUGAGUUCAAAAACUUUUAUGCUCAUAGAAACUAACCAUGUUCCACUUUUUCUAGGAAUGGACAUCUAAAUAAAGAACUGUAUUGAAUAUUUAAACAUAAGUUGUAUGAGCACUUUUCAAUUUAAAAGUCUUUGAAUAUGCUUAUGCAAAGCACUGUAUUCAUAUUUGACUUAUUCAAUACAUCAAUAAUCACUGGAAUUUGUUUGUUUAUAAACAAAUUGUAUAAUUCUAUGUUAUUGAAACAACUUUUUAUUAACAUCUUUUUUAUCUUUUUUAUCUUCCUUUUUUUUUUUUUUUUUUUUUCGAGUUUAGCAAUGUUCAUGACUUUAAUGCAAUGUACAUACAUACAUACAAUAUGUAAACAUAUAUACAUAUAUAUAUAUAUAUAUAUAUACAAACACAUACACAAAGACAUAUUUGCUCACAAACAUUCAUUCAGAUGUAUAUAUAAUGUAUGUUUUUUGAGAAUAAGACAUUAAAUUUUGGGUCUUAAAAAUACCCAUUAACUUGCUCAAUGAAAACCAACCUCAUUUCUAUAGUUUGUGUGCAUAGGAAAGUGUGCUACACAGUGCAAAACAAAAAAAGCACUGACAAUAUCAAUUGAAUCACAUAACGCAUGGACUGAAAAAGAAUGCAACCAUCAACGCCACAUCUACUUACACCAAUUAUCAAACAAAUCCUGUCCAUACUAUGCAUGGGAUACAUUUUUCACCAGCACAAGAUUGACUUGCACUAGAAGAAAAUGAUCCCUCACACAAACAAAAACACACAGUACCCCAAAUGGACAAAUAGAAGUGCAGAUGAAGUGCCACCUCACUCCCACCCUCCAUGUCCAAAUCCUAACACACCCCUGGAACACUCUUUUCUGUUCGAUUUGAUAUUUUGUACAUUUGUUUCAGUAUUCUAGAAACCGAACUAAUUCAAGGCAGAGUCCUCCACAACCCCAUUUUCUCAUUCAAUACACAACUGUGCAGAUGCUCCUUCUCUUCCAUUAGCUACUGCAGAGGGAAAGAACUUGGGAAGGUAAGUAGGUACAUUGGGAGGGAGGUGGUUGCAGGGGACGAUGAGAAGCUGUGUGUCUCUUGAAAGCAUCGAAAGAUGGCAGUGCAGAGUUGUGAUGGAGACCAGGACGAGCAAACAACAGGCACCCAGCAUAGCACUGCGCCAGUGCUGGGAGGUUCGAGCAAGAGUACAAGCAUAACACAACACAACACACCAGAACACACAGCACAGGAGAUGAGAUGAGAGGAGAGGAGGGACCACCAUGGCCGUCUCGGGAGUCUCAUGGCCCUCACGGGAGUCUCAUGGCUCUCCCUGUCACGUCCUACAUCAGACAAAUAGGAGCUGUGCAAAAGCCCCCCUCCCUUGCGCUGCGCCCAUCGUCGUCGCGUCCGUUACAGUCCCGGUGCGCAAGAUAAGGGGUACUGCUGCUUUGGUCUAUCAGCUCCUCCUCUUCCCGAAGCAGCAGGCAGUGGAAGAAGAAGAGGAAGACGACGAUGGCUUGUGUCGAACUGGGCCCCUCCGCCCUUCAGUUGCUUACCAUCGCUGCCGCCGGAACAGUGCACAGGAUCUUCCCACAACCGCAUGAUCUCGAUCCCCAUGCUUCAUUGUGUGACAGACUGAUUCACUGUCAGUGAUCGAUCGAUCGAGGUAUCUAGCAUGGAAGGAUUGGAUGGGAGCGGCGGCGCCGACUGGAGCCUCGACGGAUCUCAUUCCGAUUCAUCUCUUGUUUCAGAGUAGCAGUUGUUGUUGCGGUGGGUUACUUAAUGCAGCGAUUAUGUCACAACAAUUCAGUUUUCUAUUAUAACAUAACGUAGGAUAAAAUUGUAGUAGAGAUGGUGCUGAAGACUGUUUAAGGAUUGACUGAAGUUGUUUCAUUCUAGGAAUCUUUUAUCAGGGGUUUCAGAGUACGACGAUGUAGUGGAUUAUUUUAUUUUAUUUUAUUUUUGAAAAUCGAGAAGUCAAUAAGAGAUUGCCAACACACACUUCAUUAGUAAGCAUAAUUUGUCAAUUGGAUAGGAGGAUGAUGGCUCAUAAUUUUAGGAGAACAUUUAUUAAAGACUUGAAGGGUUCAAGUUGAUAAGUUCUACUUAAAGCUAUUAUCAUCUUCUACUUAAAGUACUACAAGAACUAGAUGUAAACCGAUAUAAGCAAGAGGCAAUUGCUAUAUGAGUUGAAGCUAUUUUGUUCUGAAGGGAAUGUUCAUUACACUUUUAAAUUUAUGUAUGAAGUGCUUUAAAUUAUUUUGCCCUUGAUUCAAUCAACUUUAGCUACUAUGAUUUUGGAUGUUUUUUAUUUUGUAAAAAUUUGUAAGUACUGGGUAGUGUGAGUAGUUAAGAGUGAUUGAACUCUGGAAAGGUUGUAGAGAUUGCAAAUUCUUAGUGUAAAUAGUAGUUUUUUGUCAUAUAUACCAUUUUUGGUUUUUUUGCAAGCAACCAUAUUCUUUUCUUUUUGGUUUUAGAGUUGGUUGUGAUCAAUUGUUUUGCAAGCAUCAUCAUAAUUAAUUAAUAUAUAAAGAACCAAGAAUGCAUUUCAUACAAAGCUCACUAUAGCUAUGAUAUAUUGUUAUAUAAGUACUAUUAUUUUUAAUUCAUGUGAAAAAAGCCAUUAGUGCAUUGCAUAGAAAAAUAUUAUUUUUUGUAAUCAAUUGCUAUUUAAAUGCUAUCAUCAUUAUUUUAUGUAUGAAGAGUCAUUUGAAUAUUUGAAUAUUGCAUGCUAAGCUCAAAACAAUUGUAAUUGUUGCUUAAUGUGUGAGUGCCAUUGUUCUUGAUUAAAGUGUAAAGGAUCAUUGGUGCAUUAUAUACAAAGCUUUUUUAACUUAUGAUUGAUUGUUAUAAUUGUCAUUGUAAUCAAUUUAUGUAUAAAGGGUUGUUGGUGCAUUACAUGCACAUAUGUCUUUCUUUGUGAGCAAUUGUUACAUUAUUAUUCACAAAAAAUAUUAGUUAUUAAUAAAGGCCUUUAUCAAUAAAACAUUGUUUUUUUUUUUAACAACAAUUAAUGCCAUUACAUCAUAUUUGGGCCCUUAUUAUUAGUUGCAACUUAAAUAUAUUCUUACACUAACUCUAAUAUGUUUGAUAUUCUUGUCAUUGAUGUACUCAAUGGCUUAUAAAUGUUUAUGAGUUUGAUUGUAUAGUAUAUAUUGACCUUGUUACAAAAAUCAUCAUCAAUUUACAUAAUAUAAAUGUAUUAAGUGUAAUGUGUAUUGUAUAAUAUAAAAGUUGAAGCAAUCUUGUUUUCUGAAUUUUAAGUUAUUUUAAAUACCAUAUAUUUUUGUAGAUAAAUCAAUUGAAAUAUUUUAUCUUAAUGCUUUCAACUCCAAAUAAUUUAUAAUGUAUAUAUUUUUUUAAAUUUAAAUUUUCUAAAUUAAUAAUUUAAAAUUUUUUAAAAUUUUUUAAAAAAUAGAUUCUAUCAAAAUUUUAAAUUUUAACUAAUAAUAAAUUAAAUUUUAUUAUCAAUUAUUAAAAUUAAAAUUUUAUAUUUAACUUAUAAAAUUUUAAGAAAUUAUUUUAGACUAUUAAUAAUAUAUUAAUAUAUAUUUUUUACAUAUUAUUAAUUGAAGUAUGUAAAAAUAUUAUUUCUUUUGAUAUAUAUAUAUAUAUAUAUAUAUAUAUAAUAAUAAGAUUAAUAUAUCUUAAUUUUUUAUAUAAUUAGAAAAUAUAAUAAAAUAUUUAUUAUAUAGUUCAUAAGAUAAAAAUACUAAUUAGUAUAAAAUAAUUAAAUACAAAACAAUUAUAUGCAUGUAUAUUAAAUUACUAGCUUCAAAUAAAAAUAGAUUUGUAUUACUAUUCAAAAUGAAUAAGUCCAAUGACUCAAGGACAACUAAAGACUCAAGAGCAAUAAUUGAAUAAAGAUAAGAGAAACAAUCAUAGUACCACCACUAAACCUGGAGACAAAACUUGAUCUUGAGCUAAGAAAGUAGAAUACUUAAAGAUUGGAUAGUCAUUGCAUUAAGCCAUUGUAAAAAAAAUGUAAAGAAUAUGAUAGUAGUGGUUAUAGUCAAACUUGGAAUAGAGUAGCACUGGAUCAAAAACCAUAUAAUUUUGAAGUAUAUACUAUAAACAUAGUUUAUUAUUGAAUUGGUGUGUAUAUUUCUAGUUCUAAACACUUUAUAGUAUUUUGUCAUGUGAUUGCUUGUUAUUCCAAUAGCUCAAGUAACACUUUGAUGAAAUUUCGUUUAAAUAAAAUAUUAAUUAUAUUCUAUAGAUUAUAAAUAAUAAUAAUAAUAAUAUAAUUAGUACUUAUAUGUUUUGAAUAGCAUAAAUAAAAUCUUUUUAUAUAUAUCAUUAUAUUAUUAAAUAAUUUUAGUCCUUAAGUACUAUAUUUUAUUAUAAAAUACAAGAUUUUUUUAAAGAACAUAAUAUGCUUUGUUUUAUAUUUUUGUUUUAUUUUUUUAUUAUAAUGAUUUUUUUGUGUAAUAUAAUAAAUAUUGUAAGAUAUAUAUUUUAUAUAAACUACUUAUUUUUUAUCCUUCUAUCUAAGUUGAUCUACAUUUUGAAUAGACACUAAUUUUAUAAUUUUUUUAAAAAUAUAUAUAUUACUCAAAAUACAUUUUUUAUAACAUACAUCCAUAGCAUAAUAUGUUUUUUAAAAAAUAUAUUUUUAAGAUCAUAUAAUUUUAGUAAGAUAAAACUAAUAUUUAAUAAGUAUCUAAAUAUCUAAAUAAUGUUGUUUUAUUUUAAUAAUUCAAUUUAAAAUAUAUUAAAUGCUAUAAUAUUUUUUAAAAUGGAUAUUCUUUUUUGGAAAGUAUUAUAAUUUUUUUGCUAGUGUUGAAGAUCCUUGCUUUGAUUUAAGAAUGAUAAGGUAAAAAAAUAUCAAAACUAUUGCUUAUGAGAGAUUAAUUUCAACUAAAGCUUACAUUGGGCAACAAGUAUCAAGUUAGAAGAAUAGUUGUUUGUUAGAACUUUUAAAAUCUAUUGGUUUUUGUUAAAAAUUACUCAAUUUUUAUUUAAUUGCCUCAGCAUUUUACUUUGGAGAAUCAAAAUGACUUGUGAAAGAGGACCUUUACCUUUGUACAACAUGAAUUUAUUUUCUACAUAAUCAAACACUUCUUACUUUAAUAAAGAAGUGUCAUUUUGAAUAUGUAUUUAAUGUUAAGCUAUCCUUAAUAAAUCACAAAUAUGAUAUUAUAUGGUUAAAGCAUAAGUACAAUUUUAGUUUUAACAUAGUUUUAGAUUAAUUUUAAUUUUACAUAAGUUCUAUAUGCAUGAAUUAUUUUUAUUUUUUAACAAUAUUUUAAUUAUAGUGUCUUUAUUCAUACUGUGUGUGUAUAUAUAUUUAUAUAUUUAUUUGAAUCAAUUUAAAAUAGUUUUUGUGGUCCUGUGCUUUUUGAGGAAUAUUUUUAGAAAAAAUGUAUUUUUAGAUCAUUAACUUAGUGUAAAUGUCAUCUAAUAUUACAAUAGAAUAAUAAAUUUUACUACCAUAAAAAAAACCACUAAUCUAUCACAAACGCAGCAAUUAGCAUAAUCUCCGCAACAAAAUCAAAACAGAAAGGCAUGAGGCAGGUGGUGCUAAUCAGAGAGGGUGACAGCACCCACCUGGUACCAGCCCUUAUCAGAACGCCGCUGCGUGGAUUGUUGAACCUUCCGUUACCGCCCAUGCGAUAAUUAGUUACAACCGUUUCUCCCAAUGAUGAUGAGAAUAUGGAACAAGCUUUAGAGCAGUGACCCAUGACCUUGGCAAAACAACCAAACAAACAAACCCACUAACAGAAACUGCACAAACGUCUUCGAAAUGUAUGCAUUGAGUCGAAAGCGCCAACCUUGAUGAUGCUUGCGAUGGGAAAGAAUGCGGCGACGACGAUCAGGUUGCGAAUGGAACUGGGUGAUCUUUUAGCAGCAGGAAUGUGUGGAUCGACGCAUGACUCCGCUGUGUGUGAUUCUUCAAGUGCUUAGAAGGCUAGAUCCCUGUUUCCGAUCCAAUGUCGAAUAGUUCUGUAGUUGGAGCUCCCGAUGGUGAUGAAUUUAGCGUUGGGGGCCAUCUUUGUGCGAUGUGCUCACUUGUUGAUGAGGAUUUGCCUCCAACACUGGGCCGUCUCCUCUUGACCUAAUUCUCUCUGAUACUGUGGUCGUGUUUCCGGUUUCCGGUGUGAAGCGAGCGUUCUUCCUGUGUUCCACUUUGGAAAGGUAAAGACAACGAACGAUGUAUGUGAGAUGGUGAGAAAUAGCACCCGUGGUAGCGAUGGUGAUGUAGGACGAGAAGAAGAGCUCGGGAGGCAGCCUAGAGUGGGUGGCGGGCAUUCGACUGCCAGCAUCAAACUUGCAGAGCCGCUGGUCAGAAGAGCUGAAGGUCCGAGUUCUAAUGGAAGUCAGAACUGGGCAAACGGUAGAUCGGGCAAUGAAGUACGUAUCGUUAGUAGCAAAGGUGGUACGAACGUUGGCGCAAAGCCUGUUCCUCGAGGAUCAAGCUCCUUCAUGGGCAGCAACCGAUUCGAUGCUUCCAAAAAGAAUCCUGAUGUUUCCAAACCCGUGGUGUACACUUUCAGAGAACGGAGUACUGAUCCUUCGAGAUUGUCGAGCAUCAAAACAAUCAAGGAUCACAAUGGUGCCGGCCCAAUAGAUAACGUUUUUAAAAUUUUGAGCAAUUCAAACAGAAAUAAUCAUGGGGAGAUCAUUUCAAAAACCUCGAAAGCUGCACUUGUGGAGGACCGCGUUAGUGUAGCCCUCGAUUAUUGCACUUCGAACCGCUUGAAUAAUCCUCCAAGCUCAAAACCAAGCCAAGGCUCAUCAAUGGCGAAUAGAAACAGCACCCGUGCAACGAGAGGCACCUCCCAACUCCAUCGCAAUAACACUGGUGAUAUCGCUAAAGAGCAGCAGCGGCAACAGUGUCCAGGUCUUGCGCUUUGCUGCAACCCCAAGGAAAACAAUACUGUGAAUAAGCAGGAAAAUUGUGAAUCGGGUAAAGCUUCAUUUUUACAGAAGAUGUACGCAGAUUCAUGGAUCGCAAAAGCGCUCGUUAACUGAUGUAAUGGUUGUGCCAUGAUUGAAUGAUUGGGUCCAUUUCUUGAAACCUGUAUCUUUUGAAUUAAGUACUCUUUCUAAGUAACAAAGUUUGAGAGUCUGGAUCUGAAGUUGAUGCAGAUCAACCCAUCUCGCGUCACGUCAAGGGGCCAACCAAAACGGACUUGCAAGUCGUCGACGGAGAAUUUUCGUCAUCACAACAACCUUCAGAUGAAUCGCAAACGAAAUUUACUCCACCGCAGCCGCCCCAAGAAGUUCGAGGACGUUCUCCAUCCCAAGAUUACGUAUUGCAGGAGUGGAUGCAUGGUCCUUCAAGUCCUACCGGCCAACUUGUUAACGUCUCGGACCGACCGAGUUUGUGUAUGAGUGUGCGAGGCAAUGAAGCAUGCAUAGGUUCAUCAGAUCAUGCACUGUACAUCGUUGACUGUGAGAAAUGUACCUUAAAACGAUCACUCUAUGGAAAACAGUAUGGCCACACCGAGUGGGUUACAUGCUGCGACUAUCUGAAAGACGGACGGAUUCUUAGUGGUGGCAUGGAUGGGAAACUGUGCCUCUGGGAUAAGAACGGAAUACGAACAAUUGACCUCCUGGGUCACAUGGCAUCAAUAUCUGCAGUAAGAUCUGGAGCAGAAGGCUCACUAGCUAUAAGUGCAAGUUAUGACAAGACUUUGAUGCUAUGGAAUGUCAACCGUUCGCAAACAAAGAAUGCAGCAUGCCUCAAAGGGCACAAAGCUCCGGUGCUUGGGUUUUGCCUGAGCUCCCAGGGGGCCAUUGUGAGCGGCUCACGUGAUGGUGAUGUCAUCCUCUGGGACACUGCACACGCCACACCCCUCCUCCAUGUGAGCAGUGCUCACAAGGGCCAUGUAACUGCAGUCGAGUGCCUGGAGGACACCAAAAAUAAAACUUGGGAGGAAUGCCGAGAGAUGUACCUGACCGGCGGCCAAGAUGGAAUUCUCCGAGCUUGGGAUUUCCGAACGCGAGGGCCUGUACACUCGGCGGUGCUGCAUAGAAAUGCAGUUACAAAAGGCGCUGUCAACAGCAUCGCUGUGUCUUAUACUGCCUGUGGAAGUGGACCAAUUGUUGUGACAGCUGGUGCAGACAACUCGAUGAAAGUCUUAGAGCCACGCAUGGGAUUCAAGGCCCUUCACACAAUCUGCACCCAUCGCGACUUCAUCUACAGUUUGUAUGUAGCUGGGCCAUUGGUGUGGAGUGGUAGCGGGGAUGGGUCAUUGUUGGUGCAUGAGCUGCUCACGGGCCAAUGCUUGUACGGUCUGGGGGCUGACUCCAAAGGUGCAGUGAGGUGUAUAUCUCUCGCUGGUCCUGACCGCCUUGUUGUAGCAGGGGACGAUGGAAAUGUGAUGAUAUACAAAGUCUCGAGCUGUGAUUCAAAGACAAUACUUCCCACAGAACACUUUCAAUCAUAAAUACAGCCAAAGCAUUCAUAAACUCGUGGAAUUUAGGCCCAUUAUCCCCUUGAGGUACUCUCGCAAAGGCCCCAAUUCAUGGCUCUAAGAUACUGCACAAGGUACCCACCAUCCUUUUAGGGGUAAUCACUUUAACUCCGAAAACUUCUGCAUCGUAAAAUUCGGAGUUCACACUGUUGAACCACAGUCUGGAAUUGAAUGAGGUAGACUCUAAAAGUGCCAAAAACAAAAUCCCAACCUGAAUUUUUUCUACCUAACACAGAGAUCAAUAUGCAAAGACUGCACACAGCAUCAUACACACACCCUCCAAAUGCUCACAGGUGAUGAUUCUUUAACUGUAGCAAGUUUGGUGAGUAUCUUGCUGAUUCAUGUAUACGAAAUCACCCUACCGUGAACCUAUGAACCUCUUAACAAACUAAUCAGACACGAGCUGGACAAUACGGUCGUGAAGAAUGCCUCCAUUAGACGCAAGAAUAGAGCCAGCAGUCAGUGGUAAAACGUUCCCAUUCAUGUCGGUCACUUUGCCUCCAGCUUCCUGCACAAUACAAAGCAUUUCGCUAAGGAGUGGAAAAUGUACACACACAUUCUGAAACAAGAGUAACAUGUCUAACCUCAAGAUGAAACGAUUAAUUUAUCAUCAACAAGAAACUCGUAACAUGUCUGACCUCCACGAUCAGUCUUGCAGCUGCGACAUCCCAAGGCUGCACAUUAUAUGAUAAAAACAAUAUCAGCAUCAGCUAUUGACAGCAGUAAUCUGGGCCAGCCAUAUACUACCAGCUCUCAAGACAGCCUUUCAUGCCGUUUAAUGACUUGAUACAGCUCUUGCUCAACAGUUAUUAGAGUCGGUAAACUCAUUUCUAAAAGAAAAAUCAAAUACCGGAUGCACAUCUAUUAAUUGCAGAAUGGACCACCUAAAUUGAAGUUUCAAAACUGUCCACCAAGUCCCCGACAUGGCAUGGUUGUUUAACCCAUACUCAGAAGUGAGGACUACAAAUAUUGGGCCAGUAAAGACAAGGGUACACGAAUGACCUUAAGAUUAUGCUCAAAAAAGCAACCUAUACGACCAGCUCCAACAUAGCUCAUAUGCAGUGCCUGAAAGAUGAUCGAUUCCAAUCAACGCACUUCAAUUUUAAGAAGAAAAUAGGGAGUACCACAAGCAACCCAAACUAACUCUCCUUAUCGUAUUACGCAAACUUCACUUUAACAAACAAACAAACAAACGAAUAAACGAAAGAAAAACAAACAAAGAAAAGAACGCUCUUUAAGAGAAGGAGCGGAGCGGAACACAUACAGCAGUUCCCAAUGCACGAACCGAGCGUGCAUUUGGUGCCACUUUUCCUAUGUCCUCCAGCAUCCGUAAUCGCCAUUCAGGCUGUCACAAACAUUGUCAAUUGAUACAACUUGAAAAUCUCGGAAGAUAAAGAUGCUCAUGAGUUAUUCGUGAAUACGAACGCACACACUCUGCAAGAAUACAAGACCCACAAACUACACAAGGGUAAGUUCAUCAGAUCUGGCUUAGUGUGACCUCGAACUGAAAAAUAAGGAAAUAAAAUACCAUACACAAGAAUUUUGAACAAGUACCUUAGAUGGAAAGCCUACAGACACAGUCGAAUCCUCCAAUUCUGUAUCAUGAGGCAAAACCUUUAUGGGCAUGCCAUUUAAAUAAGCCCCUGCCAAUAGGAAUGAAUGGAUUUCUUAGAAGUUGAUCUAGGGAAGAGAGGGGAAGAAGAAUUUUAUAUUUGUAAUCGAAGUUCUAAAAAAACUAUAAAAAUAAAAUAAAAUGCAACAGUUCACGUAGGAAUAGAGACCAUAGUAACAAACGUGAUGCUUUCUGCAUCUGACUCGUACAGUUACCAGACAAUACAUGGGCGGAUUAUAAGGAAAUAUGCCACAUACGUGUUUCGGUGGUGUCGAAGAGUUUGAAAAGAUCAAUCUAUCAGACUAUGAUCAGCUUAAAAAGGCUACAGAUGGAUUCUGAAACUAAGACUGAGAAUACUCUUGUAACCUUCCUAUAACUGCAUGCUCCAUGACCGUGGUCUCGUGGAAAUACCUUGACCUCUUCUAGCAUAAAACAACUCGUUGUUGAAGGGGUUGUAGACAACUCCUAUUUCCAUGUUCUGACCAAGAGCAACACCAAUCGAUACAACUGACAACGGCAUGCCUGCAACCUGCCACCAUCGCCAGAGCGAAUCUUAGUUCGAAAAGCACAAAGCUAGGGCGAUACUUGAACAAUCCCUGAAUCCCACUUUAAAGAGCGACCGAAACUUUUACUACUUCAAAGAACGGCAUGCAUCCGAAAGGAGCUUCUCGAUGUAAUCACUAAGAAACAAAACUUGCAAAAAAUGGUCAACACAAACAGGCUCGAUAAUUACUAAUCAUUCAGCAACACUUGGGCACAAGCUUGGGCACGAUAGCUUACAAAGUUAAGGGUGCCAUCUAUGGGAUCCACAAUCCAUGUCCAUUCAGAGUCUUUCAAACCGCUUCUCAGCCUUUCAAACUCCUGAUCUGUAAAAGUUUCCUCGCCAAGGUAGAAAUGAUUUGGAAAUUUCUCCUACACCCACAUUGUUCGCAUAAGGACAUUUCUCAAACCACCUGAUAAAGUAUUUCUAACUAAGGGCACAACACUAGGAUCCAGAUAAAGAGUAUGUAUCAUCCAGAAAAAAUUAAUUUACCCUAGAGAAGUAAAUUAGCUCCACAGAAAUUAAGACACAUUGGUUUAUCCCGAGAUUCAGCAAACAAAAUUACAACAAUACUAAGACUCAAGUAUUUUCAUUUAAUUAGACGGAACUAAUUCGCAUGCUUCGUACCUGCACUUGAGUCCGCAAGAAGUCCUCGCAGGCCUUGUCGACUUCGGUAACAAGAUCAAAACGCGACUCUUUCGUGUCAACCUGUAAGCCACAGAGAGAGGGAAAGCCGUCCCACAAUGGACAUUCCACACAUAAACCGUCUGCAGUCCAGCAAGGCCUGCACCAAAGCGCCUCCCUCCCUCUCUCUUACUCCAUGAUUCCUCAACUAGCCCAGAUGAUUGCACCAAUUGACUAGCGAAUUAACAGUCACCAGUUCUUUGGAUCGGAUGCGUGGUAAUUCAAUAGCCAGACUUAUAUUGCACAUAAAUCAAUCUGACUACCCUUUUCAUUCAAAUUUCCAACAAGGGCUCACUACACAUGCACAGUGCUCUGUUAUCCUCUAACCAUGUUCUAGUAAUUUAUAAGUCAGAAAAGCAAGAAGACGAGCAGGAGUUUCUGAAUUUCAAACCUGUAACGCAAGUCCAGACUUGUCCUUGAUCAUCGUACCUGCCUGCAAUUCAUUCAGUAAUUAAAGAAAUGGCCGUACAGUGCAUACUGUCGAGCCUGACCUCGUCUGGAGACGUCACGAAGAUAUAGAUUCUUGGAAUACCGAGUUAAAAUCCAAACAUAAACUUUAGAUUCAAUUAGCACUAAGUAAAUUCACAUAUUCUUCGAUGUCACAGAGGCAAUUCCAAAUUGGUUCAUCACCAGAAAUUACGAGAUGCACGACUCUUGCCACAAUCUCCAUUACAGUUUUCAAAGCCUCUUCAUUCUUACAAGCUAAGUUACAGGCUUUCAUUAAAAGGGAAAAAAAAAAAAUUGAAACAGAGAACCAGAAGUACACUACAAUGCAGGCAAUAUUCACAAAUCGUUCUCACAAGCCAGGGGCUCUCUAUGGCAUACCAUUCAUAUCCAACACCAGAUUCUAACAAGCAAUACAGGUCAAAAAUCAUUCCACUAACCACUAUCAUCCAGUCACAAAAAUAGACACACGGAAACAGGAUUCAGCUGUGAGCAAUUCCUGAAAACGAAACCCAUUGCAAAUUGCAACAUAAAUUCAGUUCUUUCGACACAUUAAUUCAAAAAGCAUCGAAAAGGAGAAAGUGAAAAAAUGAGUAGAUAACUGGAUUCAAUUCGCCAAAGUACCUUCAAUGCAAGGUCCAUAGCCAGAGAUUCGAUGGCAUUGCCUUCAUCCUGCACGCUCAAGCUCCGCACGCAAAGUCUCCUGAUGGAAUGCGUCUGGGAAUUCCAAAGUGCCGCAUGCCUGAGCUUGGGGCCACGCAGCGGCUGGAGCAGCGAGGUGGAGGGACUCCAAUUGGAGAAAACCCUAAGAAUGGACGCAGCCAUGACCACCCGUGCCCCGCAAUGCAACUCAAUCACCAGCAGUAGUUACCGAAGCAGCAACAACAACAACGGUUCCGCGACCCCAGAUUCACCAGUUAGCGACGAAGUCUGUUCGGAUCACACCUCUUGCAACGUCGAUGACAACAGUUCCACCUGGAAUCAGCAGCUUCUGGUCUCACCCUCUUGGUCUUUCCUUUCUAAAUCUGCUCCCACUCUUUUGUGCGCGGUUAGGCUUAAAUUUCCCCAUUUUUAUUCAUUACGAAAUGAGAGAUGAGUAUGUUCAUGUGUGUAUGAAUAUACAGAAGAGAGGUUAGAUAUAACACAAAGAGACAAAGAAGUGUUUUUUUUUUAAUUGACUGUGAAGAAGGGAACGUGAAGAAUGAAGGGAAUCAAUGAAUAUGAGAAUGAGGGAGCAUGGAUGAACAAGGAAAUAGAUGGAUGUGCCACAGAUUGUAAUGCUCCAUGGCAUGGGUUUUUGCUAGUUUAUAAUAUGUGUGGACAUAUAUAUAUAUAUAUAUAUAUAUAUAUUUUUUGACUAAUUGAUAGAUAAGAAAGCUUAGGCAUAAGAUAAAGAGACAAAUAAGCCUUCUAAUUAGGAGAAAUCAAAGAAAUUGUUAUUUAACAGAGAGCCAUGUACAACUUGCAAAAUGGCCUUUUAGUUUAUUACCUAUAAACAAAUUCUUUUUGCUAGUAUAUAUAUGUGUGUAUAUAUGUAUAUAUUCUCACAUUUUCAAGCACAUUACUUUGGAUUGAGAAUAAUUUGUUAAUUUAUAUAUAUAUAUAUAUAUAUAUAUAUGUGUGUGUGUGUGUGUGUGUGUGUGUUUAUAAUUUAUUAUUUAAAUUUUUAAAUGGUAUCAGUUUCAAUUUAUUUUUUUUAUAGUAAAUUUAAUAUUUUAAAAAAUUAAAAUUUUAAAAAAUUAAAAUUUUAAAAAUAAAAAUUAUAUAUUUUUGUUAAACUAUUUGAUUUUUUCUAUUGAAUAUUAUUUACUUAUCUAUAUAAUGUUAUUUAAAAAAUACACAUAUAUUAUUUAUAAAUAAUAAUUUAAUUCAUGUAUAUAUAUUUUUUAAUUUAUAAUUUAUAUGAAUUUUAGAUUUGUAAACAAACGGUAUUUAUGUUCCACAUUACAAAAUCAUUUCAAAUGCAUUAUAUUUAUGUAAUGUAAAAAUACUAUUGUACUUAUAGUAUUUUUUAAGUGAAUAAAGUACUUAAUUGUGAGUUGUGAUGCAAUAAAAGUUUAGUUGACCUGUAUACUUCAAAUCACUAAUUUAACUCUUUUGAGAUCUAAUUUGUAGCCACCCACAUCUAUAUUAUAAGACAUCUAAUAUUAUUUAUGAUGUGGAUUUCUUCUAUUCUAGAAUUGUUGUGCCAUGAUCUUUUUACAAAAAUCAACUUAGGACUUGGCCUAAGAGACCACAAAUAAAUAAAUAAGUUGUACUUAUCUUUGACUUGCAAUUUUGUAAAAAAUAUGUAUAAUUUAAAACUCAACUAACUUGCUCACAAAUUUUUUAAUAAUAGGGAGUUUCAAUCUUGUUGCAACUUGUAGUUUGAAGGAACUAAGUUCUAAAUUUUUAAUUAAAGAUAAUAUUUAGAAUCCUAAUUAAGUAUAAAAAUCAUUUGUAUUUUUUAUUUUUUUUAUUUAGAACUCUUAGAUUAUUAUGACUUUGAGUAGGUUUUUGUAAGUUUGUUAAAAGUAUUGACAGUGUAUCAUCAAAAAUGAGCACCAAAAUUUCUAUACUUUAUAUUUAGAUAUUAUUUUAUACACAAAUAUAAAAUAAAAUCUAUAUGAGAAUCUGUCACGGACAUAUAUAUUUACCUCAAUAGUUAUUCUCAUAAUAUUCUUGAAAUCUUCCAAUCUAUGAUAGUUUGAACCUUCUUGGAAUCCAUCAUAAGGCCUUCAUUGGAAAUGAUUUACCCUAAAAAUUCAACUUGAGUAGUGUGGAAUACACACUUUUCCAUCUUGGCAUAUAAUCUUGCAUCUCUAAAUUUCUGUAACACAUGACGAAUAUAAAACUCAUGUUCUUCUAUGUUUUUAGAGUAGAUUAGAAUGUCGUCUAAAUAGCAAACAACAAAAUUAUCUAAAAAUUCACAAAAAAUAUCAUUCAUAAGAUGUUGAAAAGCAGUCCAUGCAUUUGUGAGUCCAAAAGACAUGACAUUAUAUUCAAAAUGUCCAUACCUAGUUUGAAAAGCACUCUUCUAUUCAUCUCCUUCUUUGAUACGAACUAAGUUGUAUGUUCUUCAUAGAUCUAUUUUGGUAUAGAUCUUUGCUUGAUUGAGUUGGUUAAGAAGUCCUGAAAUCAAAGGCAAAGGAUAUCUAUUUUUGAUGGUAAUCUUGUUGAGUCCUCGAUAAUCCAUACACAUUCGCAGAGAUCCAUCUUUCUUCUUCACAAAUAAGAUAAGAGCCCCAGCUAGAGAUUUAGUAUGGUGUAUGAAGUUCUUUGCUAAAUUCAUCAAUGUAUUCCUUUAAUGCAGCUAUUUCAUUCUGUGAUAAGCUAUAGAUUGGUCCAAAUGGUGGUUGAGCUCAUUCUUGCAGAUCAAUUGAAUAAUCAUAAGGUCAAUGUUUGGGGAGAAUAUCUGCAUUCUUCUUUUCAAAAACGUCUUGGAAUUCUUGAUAUUUCUUAGGAAUAUUACUCGAUAUUGUUUCACUAUUAGAAAUGGGUGUAGCAUAUAUAGCAAAAGAUGAUCCUUCUUCUACAACAUGUAUAAAAGCUUUUGCACCUACUAGUAAAGGUUUGGACAUACUAAACUUAUGUACUUCUAUUUUUAUAUUCUCGAACUUUUCAUAGAGCUCCAUACACUAAUCCUGGCUAUUUUUCCUAUCUCCGCCAAAAAAUUCAAACAAUUCGGCCGCACGUAGACAGCUUUCAUUCCUACAAUGGCGCCAAUCGUGGCUCAGUGCGGCGCCGAAGAGUUGCUAUAUUGCUUUGUGCUUCGAUUAGACUUCCAAUCCUCGCAAACACAGAGAAUUCCAUUGAGGUCUAAAACGACGUUCAGCCACUUGUCAACCGCCCUGGACCUCAAUGGACGACCAAGGUCUUCCAACGGCCCCUCACUACGAACUGGAGGAUCGGAUACCUGCUAAGACAAACGGCCCACGAAGGAGCCAAUUAUGCCUUUCACUAACUACAAAUGACCGCGACGAUCCCGAAAUGCACCAUACAAUUACAUGCCAUAGACAAAGAAGCGCACCGUGGAAGACACACAUACCAGAGGAGCCUAGAACACGGGAUAAUGAAACACACCUUUUGCUUUGAAGAGGUGAAUGAUUCGGACCGACUGUCAGAGAUCACGGUCCGCGACUCAGGCAACGACUUGGCAGAAACAACGAAUGCCACCGAGGUGGGAUAAAACAACGGAGAGGGAGAAGCAGAAGGAGUUGACAAAGUUGCAAGGAUUUCAUCACCUGUGAUUCAAUGUAGAAGCAAAUGAGCCCCUCAAGUAUUUGAAACUCAUCGACUGAGUAAAAAUGUACAAAAUUCAUAUCAAAAGUAUUGAGCUCCCUGGUUGGUUCAAUUAGGAACUCCGUAUCAAAAACAAUUUGCCUAUUCAACUAUACUCUAGACGCACUAGCCAAUAACACAAAACACCUCGAGUCGAGCUAAAAAAAAUUGACAGCGAGUGAUUAUGUGUCAAAACUUGCAUUUGGAUCCGAAAAGGCUAAUUGAUCACUGCCAACCGCUAUCUCUAGAGUAUCGUCCUCUAGAUUUGUGGGGCGCUCCAUGGAAUGUGAUUCUACUGACGCUGCCUCCACUCUGGAAACUUCAUCGAAUGAAAAAUUGAUUGCCGGAGACGUCGGACUGUGUUGUUGAGAUGUAGUAGGAGCCACUUCGCCCGAGACAUUGACAGCACUUGAAUGCGGAAGAUUGGCGGCUUCCGCAUGUCCACUACUGGAUCCGCUCAUGACAGAUCGAGAUGGCGCAUUCCCAAGCAUCAGCGACGGAGGCUGGGAAGGAGGGGCAGGAAGGGCGUCUGGCAGUUGGGGAUUAAGCCUCACGAAUGCAGAGAGGAGAAGAUUUGUCUGCUGCUGCUGCUGCAGCAUCAUGCGGGAUGUGUCUUCGUGCAUCCUCCGGGACUCCUCGAACAAUCUCAUGCUCUCGGCACGAUCACGAUCUUGUCGAGCGUUGAUUUCUGCAAUCUGCUGCUCGUGCCUCUGCUGACUGUCUGCCAGAAUCGCCAAAAUGGACUCCAUGACGGUAGCCACAGAGUCCAUGUCCUUCCUCUUCCGCCCCCCAGAAGAUGACGCACCAGGAGUUCCACCGGAAGGUGGAUUAUCAGAUGCUUGUGUUGACUGCGGAAUAACCCGAGAUCGCCGCUCAGGUAGUGUGGCGUUGGGCUGAAUGGGAUCCAACUCUUGAAGGUCGUCGUCGUCGAUUUUGACCUUCUCGUCGACUUCCUUCUCCUCGUCUGGGUCAUAGUCGUGGUCGUCCCCUUUGUCGUCGUCUUCAUCAGAUAUAACGAGGACGUCAUCAACUGGUGUUGUCCUCCGCUUCUUUGAUGGAGAAGACUCGAAGCGGUCACUGAGCCGUGCUCCAACUCUUGACCGUGUGGGCGUGGUGGCCAUAGACUUGUAUAUCGCACUCACCUUGUAUCCAUUGGGAAGGAAGUCAUCUCUGUCGAGAGUGAGUGCUUUCCUAGAGAUCUCUUCCCACCGAUCCGACUCUCCGGUCCCUCCGACCGCAAAGACAUCCACGGAACUCAUCUGCAUGAAAUGGCACGCGGACAGCUUAGUGGAUAUGAAAAAAAGAAAUGAAUGUGAUUGAGAAGCAAAUCAGAUCGACUCGAGCUGAUUUAAAAGAAAACCAACUCGACUCGAGUUGAUUGAGAAGCAAAUCAGCUCGACUAGAGCUGAUUCAGAAGAAAAUCAGCUUGACUCCAGCUGAUUCAGAAGCAAAUCAACUCGACUCGAGCUCAUUGAGAAGAAAAUCAGCUCGACUCAAGCUGAUUGAAAAGCAAAUCAGAUCCACUCGAGCUCAUUGAGAAGCAAAUCAGCUCGACUCGAGCUGAUUGAGUACCUACUAUUGCCGCGCAAGUGAUCUUGCCUCCCCCCCAUAGUGAAAAAAUGGACCCCCCUGGACGGCAGAACUUCCGCACUAGCCAGAGAUAGAACUCCAUUCGUAGUUCGGUGUUGCAUACUCGAAACUCCAACUCGUUGUAGCCGUGAGGCUUGGUAAAUAUUGGUGUGUCGGGAGGAAGAAAUUCCGGUCGGAUCUCGACACAGUCAUGGGCGUCUACAUCUUGCAAGAAAGUGAGGAUCACCUUCCUUGGCGCUCGCCCAACUGAGGAAUCUCCAAGACGUUCAAACUUUGCAGGAAUGUAGUCUGCAAAGUCGAUGUGCAGGCCUUUGAAGGCCCCGUGCGAGUUGAUGAAGUCCAUUGUCUGCAGUCUAUGGCUCUCGCAGCCGGAUAUGAAGAGCCACCUCUUUCCAUCUGCGAAGUAUGGACUUCUAUUCUUCUCCAGAGCAGCAAGAACUUGAUGGAAAUAAGGGACGGUGUUUUGUUCUAUAAGAUCAUCCUCCACCCCCGGAAGCUCUCGGAGGUCGAUGAUUCCAAGCCCGAUAUCACGAGAGCUCUCGUUAUUCCAUGCGUUGUCUUUCCACUUAUUCAAGGUGUUCGUCUUCACAUCGUAAGUCUUGUAAUAGGCACACGCGUAUGGCACUUGGAACCCGUUCUUAUGAUUCAAGAAAACUUUCAAGAACUCUACUGCGGCCGGAGAAAUCUGCGCGCAGGUCUUGUUCUUGGACUUCAGUUGCUUCGCUUCAGCAAAGUAGGAUUCUCCAGGCCGCUCAAGGAGGACGUUUAUUGACGCACUCGUCAUAUUACGAGCCGUCUUGAACGCCUUUCAAUUCUCAUGAAUGAGGUUGCCCUCCGCGUUGAUUAAUUCCAAGCUUGGAUCUAUGUUGUCGAGCUCCUUCUUCACUAGCUGCUUCCUCUUCCUCCUCUCCACCCAGUCCUUCGUGCUAUAGCAGCUCUCAAGCACAGACGAGAUUGAUUUAAUCGUCACCUUUGGAUAGGGGAACUUUCGCUUCUCCCCAGAUUGGUUAAGAAGGUAUUUCGUGAGCCUCUCCAGAUCAUUCAGGCUCAGGUUGCCAAGCCACUUGAAGUACUCGCGGCUGAGCAUGCAACUCUCCUGCUUCUAGUUCUCUUUCUUGUUGAACUUCGCAGAGGUGUCGGGGUUGUAGAGCUCCCUGUGGGCAGCACUGGAAAUAACCUCACUCCAGAGGUUGUAGAUGGGCUCCGGGGCAGUGAUGAUCUUUAGCUCAUUGACUUGGGAAGGAUUCUCUGGGCAUCCCGUAUUCACCCAAACCGACCGUGCUCCGAGGAUGUUGGUCGCCCAUGACGGCUGUAUCAUCUGAAAGUGAUUGUUCCGAUUAUAGUAUGCUGAUAUGGACCUCAGUAUCUCCGGAUCGCUCGACCAUACAAUAAAGCAGCUCCAAACGCGGAAGUCGCUCUUCACAUCGUCAUCAACCACGUUACUCUCGUCGGUUAUGACCCUGCUGGCUGCAACACUGUGCUGCCCGUUGAUGACAAAAAACUCUCCGUCUUUGAUCUCCUCCCACGUUGUCGGCUUUGAGGUUCUGUUCGUGGGCAUUACGCAUAACGUUUGUCGGGCCUUUCGAUCGGGCAGGUUCAUGAGAUACACCACCAUUGCAUCAACGAGUUUGUCCUCUUUCGAUCGAAUGUUGAACUCCGUAGGUGCAUCAAUGAGUUUAUCUAUGGAGAUGCCCUUCUUUGUAUUGACCCCGAAGAUGUAUGCAUCUUCGCACUCUGACCAGAACUUCUUGUACACUGCGGUGAUGUGCUUGAAGUCGGGCUUACUCUGGGGUUCAUACGACGACGGAACGUCGGUCAUCGCAUCGGCAAGGGUCGGAUGUUCAACCUCCGACACCUGGGAGCUCCCCGAAGCCGCUCGACGAUCUCCAGAAGGCGCAAAGGGCUACUUCUCGUCGAUCCUCGCCCUGCAGAGCUGGACCGUGGCUUCGCUUUUCCCUGGCUGCUUGAAGGCGCAGGAGCUGCUGUAUCGACCGAAGCUUGACUUCCACCUAUUGCUUGAACUUCUCUCCGGACAGACCGCGGGGCAGCUAAUAGUUUCUGCGCCUCUAGUUUACCUAUGAUGACGGAGAAAUCUUGCAGAAGUGAAUUUAUCUUGGUGCAGAGCCGCUUGCCAAAAGCUGGGGACCCGUCCUUCUCGUUGUAGUCCCCCCUGUCGAUUUUUGCCUCGAGUUUCUUCACCUCUCCGCUGUAUUCAGUGGGCUCGAGGCUUUCGAGGAAGGGAGACAUUGUGAAGGGGAUCCGCUUCGAGGGUAUGAGAACUGUGAAGUAAUAUUCAUCUGUGGGAUCUAUCAAAACUCCGGUAGUUACGCACUUCACCAGGAUCAUGUCGCCGUCUAAGUACUCGACAUCCUUUACCCGCUCUGCUGUCGUGAACUUCAAGAAUGCUUGGCUUUUCUUGAAUUUGAACAAAAACUGGAUGUCAUGCGUGAAUGGAAUCAUAGCUAGACUCCAUGCCUCGAGCUCCUCUGGGUCAAAAAACUUCCACGAGGUUCCAUAAAUCAACCGCGGGUCGGUCUCGUCAUCGUCAUCGGCACGCCGGUCGAGCUUAUCCAAGUACAUGGACAAUGAUGCCUUGAUGUCCUCCAUCUGCAACAGACGUAGAAGCAAACAUGUCAGAUUAUGUCCCAUCGACUUAAUGACACAGUUACUCCAAUGAACCUUUUAAACUCUUUUUACUAUAUCAAAUGUAUUAUUGGACACAAGAACAAUAAUCUUAUAUAUGAAAUCAGAUCGACUCGAGCUGAUUUAUGGUUCUCGUAUUGCGUAGGGUGUUCUAUGUAGGCCAAUGUUAGUAUUUUGGAAAACAACGAUUACGAAUACGAAUUUAUGAUUUUAGUCAGGUUUUCCAAUUGUAUGAUUCAUCUUAAUGUGUUUUAAAUGCCGAAACAUGGAAAUCUACUAUAUAUUCUUCACGUCAAAUCAGAUCGACUCGAUCUGAUUCUUUGGUGUUAUGCGUAGUAAUUUUGUAAAGGAUUCUGUACCGGAGGAAAGAGUGAACUCGGGGUACAUGGAGUUUAUGUGUCAAUGAUGACGCUAGAAUUAUAAGUUUUCUACAUUAGAUUUAAUUAAAAUGGUGUCAUUUUUUAUGCUAAUAUUAUGGUUCAUUUUAUAUUCCUAUGUGAAUGUAGCAAUGGAUAUGCAUUCAGCAAUUUUUAAGAGAAGUUAACUUAAUUUGUUUGGAUUAUGACUAAUUAUUCUGGCCUCAAUAAUAUUUCGGUGCGUAAACUAAAUCAGAAUAUUUGAAGGGGAAUGUAGCUUCAUGCGAUUGAAUGAAUCAGCUCGAAUCGAGCUGAUCGUAUUCGAAGACUGAAUUCCUCCUUUUACGCGCUCAUUGAAAUGAAGCUCGUGGAUCAGCUCGAUUCGAGCUGAUAGUAUGUCGAAGCUAUCGUAAGAAUCAGCUCGAAUCGAGCUGAUGACAUGUCGGGGCUAUCGCAAGAUAUAGUUAGAGCUUAGCUAAUGGUAGGUCGAACGAUUGCAAGAUUCAGAGUUUGUGCAGCUGAUGGCUGGUAAGGGAGAUUGCAUGAAUCAGCUCGAGUCGAGCUGAUGGCAGGUAAGGGAGAUUGUAUGAAUCAGCUCGAGUCGAGCUGAUUGCAGGUAAGGGAGAUUGCAUGAAUCAGCUCGAGUUGAGCUGAUGGCAGGUCAAGGAGAUUGCAUGAAUCAGCUCGAGUCGAGCUGAUGGCAGGUCAGGGCAAUCGCACGAAUCAGCCCGAGUUGAGCUGAUCUUCGUCCACGUCAGAGUUUCUAUUGCCAUGUGUAUGGGAAUAAGAAACUCUUGAAUCAGCUCGGCUCGAAUAGAACGACACUGAUUUUGUAGAGAAUUACCUGUGGGAACUGGAUCUGCGAGAUACUGAUGACGUAAGGGCGCAACUGUGAUUCCUCAUGCGAUGUGCGCCCGGCCGCGGACGUGCUCCUGUUCUGCCCUAUUUGUUAUCGUACGAAUACAAAAACCGCGCACCGUGACACUACAGAUCCAAGACGACACCAGGCAGUAAAGGAGAUCAAUUUCACAACCAAUAAAUGAAAUGCAAUGUCAAACACAAAUGUGAUUGAAAACGAAGAGGAAGAGACCCAAGAAUUCGACACCGUAGAUAAAUACAAGUCGGCACUUACAGGAACGUAGGCAGCGUCACGCACAGGGAAAUCAAAACAGCUCUCUGUGGCGUCAAAAGCUCCUGCCCUCGUCACUUGGGAUUGACAAUGCAAUAAAAUAGCUGGAACAGCAAAGGAGAAGUGAGGAACAGCAAACAAGAAGUGAGAAACAGCAAAGCAGAGGAGAGAAGCGAGGGUCACGACAACGUGACGAAGCACAGAGAAAAUGCGCUAGGAGCGAUGUGCGCAACAAAAAAGAUAAAGAGGAGAAAUUUGUGGGCGGUAAUGUUGUUUAACCCCCACCCUGAGCAUAUGCUUUCACGUGCCCUGGCCGUGUUCCCUUGCGUGAUUUCGGCGGGAACUCGUCGGGAGCUUCGACGUCGUUUUCACGAGAACUCAUCGGGAACUGCUGGGGAACAGGAUGGGAAAUGUUGGAGAGAAACGACGUUCUUUUCUAUAAAAUCUCAGUUUCAAAUCAUUCCUAUAAUGUGUGUACAGAAAGUAUAUAAUGACCGUUUUCUGACAUUUCACAGCAAAAUCCAAAUGAUUGAAAACAAAACAUGCCUUUAAAUAAAACCAAUUCUUCACACUAGCAGGUCGAACUAAUACAAUCAGUGGAUUGCAUUUGGUUGUAUAUGUAAAGUUUUUUAAAAAGGAUAAUUUUAAUUUACAUGAUUAUUUUAAAUUUUCCAACCUUUUUCAUCUACUCCAAUUUCUUAAUCAAAAAACCAUUCAUGUCAUUGCAAAUACUACCUUUUCUUCCAUUUCAUUCUCAAGACUUGAAUCAAUGUGAAUAAAAAAAUACUAAUUAAUCACUCAAGUAUCACAUUCAAGACAUUCAUUCAUUUUGAAUGUCUAAUGAAUAGUUUACUUUUAGUACAUGAAUAAAAUAAGGAAUUUUGAAGUUCCCAAAUCAAAUGUGACUAAUGUGACUAAUGUGACUAACCCCAUGACAACGGAUUACUUAUACUACUCACAUUAACCUACAAACUUCAAAAUUCCAUAAUAUAUUCAUAUCAUGUUUAUAAAUUAUCCUUUAUUAUUUUCAAUUAUCCUUUCUUUUUAUAAAUUAAUCUCAAGUCGAGGAUAACUUUUCCAUCUAUAAUAAAAAUUUCAAUUAAAAAUAUAAGAUCAAUCAAAAAAUCAAUUACAGAUAUAAGAUCAGUAUUAAAUUAAGACUAUGAAAAGACUCAAUUUAACGAAUGUUGAUAUUAUUGACAUGCGCAAUAAUUUAUACAAGAUAUGCAUAAUACGAGGACUAUUACUUAAUAUAUUUUAUUUUAGUUUUUCUUUUACCACAUAAUUGUAUAAAUAUAGUCAAUGCUAUGUAUUUAAGAUGAUUACAUAUCGAUACAUAAAAUAUCUGAAUCAUAUUUACUUUUAGAGGUAUGCACACAUUUGCAAUGAAGGAUUAAACGAACAAGUAAUUCACUUGUCCUUCUUUCAUAUAAUCAUUUUAUCACUUAUCAAAGAAUAAAAUGUCAUAGCAAGAUAAUUGAUAUAUGAAGUAGCAUACAAAAUUGAACUUGAAAUAUGAACGUUUUAGAAAUCCGCAUCCCACAUCCCGAUUGAGUCCUGUCAGCAUCAAUUCUCCACGGAGUCCUGCCCUGCAGCCCCAUACCCUCGACACCCAAGUAUCGAACCGUGUCUGGAUCCUUGGCGUUGCCCCUGUCUAUUGUGAUGGACGGUUCAGAUCUGCUGUGGAGGAUCGACGGUGCAUAACGUCGUGCCCAGGGUAGGUGGGCUGCGUUGACUGCAUUCCCGCAGAGUCAGUUCUGCCGAUGUCAAUCCUGUGUUUUGCAUUCCUCUUUGCUCGCACACUAGCUAUGUUCUUCGAUUUGGCGGCUUAGUCGACCUCCAGUGUCCAAGUGGUAUGCCCUCCGAAUGUCCCUUCGUUUGUCUACUUACGAUUGAUAACGCAUGAGCGCUAGAAUUAAUUUUGCUCUCAUUCUCUGUACUUGCAAUUUCCAAUUUUUAGGUGAGCUUCCAUGUCUGAAUUGAAGCGGGUUCCGAUGUUGCCCAUUGUGUUGGUUUUCUUCUUAUGUUUUGUACGUCUUCAUGUCCAGCCGUUUGGGCUGUUGCGGUCAUCCCCCAGCAAGAGUAAUGUAUGGAUUAGUCUUCUCUUUGUGCUCUCGUUUAUUACAUUUUUGGCGAGUGAGGUCCUGCAAUGACCUAAUGAUGCGGAGGGGCAUUUUUUUUCAAUAUAGUACUGUUCAUCCAGAAUUCGGUACAAUCUUGUCCUGCUACAGUAACACGUACCCAUACAAUUCCACAAUAGUGCAGAUGACUUGCUUUAUAACUAUGUCUCUCUGAUAAUUUAUAAUAUGUGCUAUGGAAAUCAGCUCGACUCGAGCUGAUUUUCUGAAAGGUCCAAUACGUCCUCGUUGUUCAAAACUAUUGUCAAGAAUCAGUUGGAAUAGAGCUGAUUUUAUGAAAGGUCCACUGCGUCAUUGUUAUUGAAUACAAUCACCUAAAAUCAGCUCGAGUCGAGCUGAUUCUCUGAGACGUCCAGUAAGUCUUCAUUCAAAGGUAUUAAUGUCAACAAUCAGCUCGAGUCGAGCUGAUUCUCUGAGAGGUGUAUUACAUCGUCGAUAUUGAAAACAAACGUUCAGAAUCAGAUCGAGUCGAGCUGAUUCUAUGAGAGGUCCAGAAUUUUUGAUUGGUCCAAUACGUCCUUGUUAUUGAAAACUGUUGUCUAGAAUCAGCUCGAGUCGAGCUGAUUCUCUGAGACGUCGAGUGCGUCUUUAUUUAAUAGUAUUAAGGUCAAGAAUCAGCUCGAGUCGAGCUGAUUCUUUGAGAGGUAAUUUACGUCCUCGGUACAAAAAAUAAUUGUUCAGAAUCAGAUCGAGCCGAGCUGAUUCUUUGAGAGGUAAUUUACGUCCUCGGUACAAAAAAUAAUUGUUCAGAAUCAGAUCGAGCCGAGCUGAUUCUUUAAGAGGUCCUUAUUUUUUGAAAGGUCCCAUGCGUCCUUGUUAUUAAAUUUUUUUGUAUAGAAUGAGCUCAAGUUGAGAUGAUUCUAUGAAUGGUCCAGUUCGUCAUUUUUAUUGUUUUCAAAAAUCUAAAAUCAGCUCGAGUCAAGCUGAUUCUCUGAGACUUCCAUUACGUCUUCAUUCAAAAGUAUUAAUGUCAACAAUCAGCUCGAGUCGAGCUGAUUCUGUGAGAGGUGUAUUACGUCGUCGAUACUGAAAACAAACGUUUAGAAUCAGAUCGAGUCGAGCUGAUUCUCUAAGAGGUCCAGAACAUCCUCGUUAAAGAAAACUAAUAGCUAGAAUCAGCUUCAUUCGAGCUGAUUCAAUGACAGGUCCAGUUCGUCCUCGUUAUUGAAGACCAGUAUCCAGAAUCAAGUCGAAUCGAGCUGAUUCUAUGUGAGGUCCAGUUCUUCCUCCUUUAAAUAACUGACAAUCUGAAUCAGCUCGAGUCGAGCUGAUUUUCUGAGUACUCUAUUACGCCCUCGUAUUAGAGAACCAAUGUCCAUAAUCAACUUCAGUUGAGCUGGUUCAAUUAGACGUCGGGUACGUCCUUGUGAGUGAAUUCUAACAUCCAUUAUCAGCUCGACUCGAGCUGAUGUACGUAUCACAUAUUCUUAUCAGUGCGGAGAUGUGCGCUGCCAUUCGAAAAUUGGCAUUCACUGAAAUGUGGUUCAUCGUUUUGCUUUGUAUAAUUUUUUCUCAUCCAUAUAUGUUCGCUAAUCAGAUCCACUCGAUCUAAUAAGUAUGAAUACUGCCUCUUGUGUCUGGAUGUUGGCGUAAGGUUUCUUUCAUCGUUUUGAUGAAGUGGUUGUUUUUGUCCAGAGGACUCGUAAACGCUUUGAAAUAUAAAGUGUACAUGGCUCAUUCAUCAGGGGAUGAUUUUGAGGACGCUGAAUCCAUCAGUCCUGCAGUUCCCGAGUGCGAAGGACUUCCUCGGCGUCUGUGGAUUACGAAGUGUGUGACCCUCUAUAAUGCACAUGGAAAAUUGGUAGGCGAGGGUACAUGCCAUAGUGUUAAUUCUGAUCUUGUGCUCUGCGCUAAUGGUCCUCUUGAUGGCACUCAGGUCGCAGUCCACAUUUGCAAAACUCAUUCCCAAGAUGACAUCCCCCAAGAUCUUGUGUACGCACUUGUGGCAUGGCCUACAAAGCUAGUCCAUUGCCAUGGUGCUAGUCUCCACGACCACGAGGCUAAGGAUAACUUCAAUCAAUUGCACGCAGCUCGAACAAACUCGGUGCUCUCAAAGUCCAAAAGGCCAUAUAUGAAUGGUAUCCGAAAUCCCUCUCAAGAGUCACCUCUAAAGUACAAAAAACUCCUCAGCGAAGAGUCUAUCAACUUGGUGUCAAGUAAAGUGUGCUGUAUGAGGAACUGCGUGCAGCCUUUUUCAAGAGAGAAGAUUAAAUCAUUCCGCGAGCAAAUGUAUAAUGGAUCUACAUUCCAGUUCAGAGCCCAUAUGAAGUUAGAUGUGCAUAGGGCGGUUCACAGAGAUGCAAGCGGGCGGAAGAUGGUGACAGUGGAGGGGAUCACCGUGUGCUUGCGUGCAUAGAUGCAUAUUUCUGGGGUAUCAGAAGCAACAUUCUACCGCUACCAAGCAUAUGUAAAAGCUAAUCGGGAGGCGAGGGACCAUGGCAACACUGGAUUACCGAAGCCAAGGAAGCACACUGAACAAGCGACAGCUACGUUGAAGUGUAUCCUUGAGAAGGAGGCAGAUCACAUGCCACAUCGUACUCGCAGUACAAAAUCUGGGAAGAAGAUGGUUUCAAUGAUUCUCCCAGCUACCUUUCAAUGGAAAGAUCAAAUUCCAAAAAUCAAUGAAGUUAAUACUGCUUUUGGAUUGAGGGAGGUCUCUUCUUCAAACUUGAGCAAGAUCAGAGCAUCUAGGUUUCCAGAAUUCGAUGUCAAAAGACCCGGAGAUAAUUUUGCACAAUGUGGUACCUGCGACAAGUACAAAGAGCUAACGAAGGGUGCCAUUGGAGGAUCUGAACAGGCUAUGAAGUGGACGAGGAAGUUGGAGAAACAUCUUGGUAUUGCUCGUGCUCAUAGGGAGUACUAUUAUGCUAAGCGAUACUACUCGCAAACUUAUCCCGAUGAGUGCGUGACAAUCAUGCAUGACAAGAUGGAUCAUGCCAAAACUGCAUCUCCGGUAUUUUCACAUAAGAACAAAGAAUUGGAUGCUUUGGUGAAGCUACAUGUAUCUGUGACAGGUAUGAUUGCUCAUGGACACGGUGACGUGCAUUAUGCUCAUUAUGGAUUGGAUAUCUUUUCCCAUGAUUCAAAUUAUACUAUUGGAUCGAUGACAAAGUUGUUGCGUGAUUUGGAGGAACCUCCAAAAUCAUCUUCCUGAGAAUUAUUUUUGGGCUCUGGAUCCACAGCUCUAUUUCGUAGCAUUCUCAAGGGUGCGGAGAUGUGCAAAACAUCACUAGAUCCACAACCUGAGAGAUUAGUAGGAGCAACACCGUUGCCACCCAUUUCGAAUGUGCAAAUGGAUAAUGCCACAGGGGAGAACAAAAAUAGAUAUGUUUUUGCUUUUUGGUCCCUACUUGUGGCAAAGCGGAUCUUUCGUGAAGUGUAUGUAAAUUUCAUGAUAGUAGGACAUACACAUGACGAAAUCGACGCCUUAUUUGGAAGAUGGAGCAUGCUUCUGAAGAAAGAGAACUUCCCUACUAUCCCUGCACUUAUGAAGUCGUUCAUGGACGUGGAAUCUAUUCCCACUAUCCCUCAUCUUAUCGAGGAGGUGCCGGAUUUUAAAAAUUUUAUACUUGGAUCUAUUUUAGACAAAAGUGAAGUUCUUGUAGGUCACACAAAACCACAAUAAGUCAAAUUUUACUUGGAUGCAACAAGGUGUCCAAAAAUGAAAUACAAAUUGUUUUGUACCGAUGUAGAGUGGCUAGGAGAGGAAGGAGCAGGCAUUAAAAUUUGGAAAGAGGAUGCACAGGGAUGUAGUUUGUGGCCUCGUGGUGAGCCAUCGCCUGUUCCACAACGUACAAUGAGAGGUGUGGAGGAUAUUGAGAAAGGAAUAUCAGGGUUCGUGAAAUAUUGGGAGGAUUUGUGCAAUGUUGAUGUCACUAGAGAGUAUCGAAGACGGUAUGAGCAUUUGGUGGUGUAUUGGCGUAACGUGAAGGAUGCAUUGCAUGAACCAAUCAUUCCUUGUAAUAUCAUGAGAGAAGGUUUUUGGCCAAUUACCCGUAUGAGAGACAAUCUUGCAGAUCAAUUAUCAGAUGAUGGCGAGGAUCAUGAGGAAUUUGGAGAAGAUGAUCCAUAUGUUGGUCCUCUGAGAGGUCGCACACAACCAUCUUUUCGGGUAGGUCGAGAUGUUCGAGAAGGAUAUUUUGUUGCAAUUCGACCUGCAGAAGGUGAAAUACAACCAGUGUGGAUAGCUAGGGCUUUGUCGAACCCAGAUUGUAAUCCUGAGAAGCCAAAUUGCAUUCUCAUUCAGUAUUUUCAUCCGACCUUAAGAAGUGUGGAUGUACAACAGUUCUAUACAUGUUGGGAUAGCGAGAGAGGUUUGCAUUGGAAGAUCGAAGAGAAUGAACCUCCUAUUUGGGAAGAAACGAAUGCUCUUAUGACAGCGUGGUCACCACGAAUCAGAAAGGAUACAAGUGAAUGCGUGAUCAAAAUUCCGGCUCCACAAAUUGAAAUAAUCAAGCAGAGUCUUGCAUCGUAUAUUAAAAAUGUAUGAAUGAAAUAUACAAAUUUGUCAUUGUGAUUUGAAUAUUCAUAUUUUGGUAACAUAGUUUUUAAAAUUUUAUAGUAUUGUAACAAAGGUAGUAGAACUCGUAGUGUAUAAUAAGUGGUUUUAGUUUGAUUUAGUUUUAUAGAUAACUAUUGUAGAUAUUCCUUAACUAUAGUUUUAUAUGUACACAAAAAUUACUUGUAUAAAGUUAUAUCAAAAUAUUUGAUUAAGUUAGAGCAUUGUUAUUUUCAAUCACAUCUGUAUUUGACACCUUGCAAAACAAUAAAUACUCUCAUUUUAAAGGAAAUUACUUAUCACAAGUACUGAAUUGCUACCUCAUUGACCUUAUUUGACUAUACAUAUAAUCCAAUUUUUGUUACUUCUAUUUGAUUGUUUUAUUUUGAGAGACACCAAACCUCUCAAAAUAAUGAAUAUUGUGUUCUUUCUAGUCUUAGUCUUGUUUCAAGACUUUCUAAUCUUCUUGUUUUUGGCAAUAGUCAUUCUAGUUAAUAUUACAUCACUUUUUUGAGUGACUUUUUAGUUCUCUUCAGUGAUAGAAGAAUGUAUUGAGGAUUCUCUUUCUUUGAGAUUCAUGUCCUUGAUAGAAUCUUUCUACAUAAGCAUAUAUUGAUUUAUUUUCAGAUGUUUUAUUUCUUUAUGUUAAUUGUUACAAAUGCCACAUAAAAAUUAUGUAAAAAAAACCAAUUUUUAAUAUUAAUUCAAAUUUUUUUACAUUCUUAUAAUUGAAAUCUUUUUAUGACAAAACAAUUAAUAUAAACUUAUGUGUAUAUCUAUCAUAACAACUAUACUUAUAUUUUGUUUAUUUUUAAAAUAAAUUAUUGCUAAAAUUCUUUGACACUUACAUAUAGAGAACUACUACAAAGUAUUUUUGAAUGAUAUAAAAUAUAAAUAAUUAAAUAUUUCUAUUUGACCUACAAUUUUUAGAAUCUUCAAAUAAAUUAGAAAAUUUCUAAAGUAAUACCACCAUUAAAGUCUUCAAAAUUCAUCUUUUUAUUUUUUGUAAAUUCUAUAUAUAAGUGAUCUUAACAUAUUAAAUAAUUUUACACUUACAUUAAAAAACAAAGAUUAUUCUAAAAGUGCAAAGAUAUUAUAGAAUAAAUAGAUUAAUUUUAGAUUUUUUAUUAAUCAUAUAUAUAAGAGGUUAAAUUUAAUUAAAUUAAAUUAAAAUAUGAAUUUAUGUCCAAAUAUAUGUAUAUAUUACAAAUAAAUUAUAUUGAUUCUACAAAAAAUAAUAAAUAAAUAAAUAAAAUGCAUGUAAUUAAUUUAUGUAGAUAAAUAAAACAUAAAAUUACAAUUAAACACGAGCAAUCAAAAUAAAACAGAUUGUCUUCAAAUCAAAUAAUAAUUAAAACUUAAAAAUAGUCCUUCCAUAUUUUAAUUUUUAAUAUUAUUUUAGAAUCUUUACAUAAAAUUAAAAAUCUUCACUCUAUUUUUUUUUUGAAGUAUUUGUAUAAAAUAUAUAUAUAUAUAUAUAUAUAUAUAUAUAUAUAAGUUUAUAUUUAAAAUUAUCUAAUCAUUUAAUUUACAUCUUCUUCAACAAAAACACACAAGUCCAAUGACACAUCAAAAACACCUGUUGAAAAUAUAAUGUUUAAUGUUGACUAUAUAUAUAUAUAUAUAUAUAUAUUCUCUGCAAUUUGUAAUUUGUACUUGUACAUAAGGUCUAACUAGAUUCAAACGCAGUAAAAAUUUAAUAAAAUUCAUAUAAAACUCUCAAUUUUAUGUAGUACCUUUUUAUUUUUGGAAUGGCUUGCCAAAAACAUUUGUGUGUAGUAUUUUAAUAAUAAACGAUUUAAAACAAAUCUAAAUGUAUUUAUAUUUCUGAAUAAGAACAUGAAUAUAUUAUUAAAAAUAUUCAUGUUCUUAUUCAGAAAUAUAAAUAUAUUUAGAUUUGCCAAGAAGUAAAUUAUGAUAAUCUAUUGAUCAAUAACAAGUCACUUGGAAGCAAAACAAAACUUUGAAGAUGAGCUGAAGCCAAUUAAAUGUGGCUUAUUUCCUCCAAUGUUUUUACAUGUCAAAUUCAAUAACAGUUAAAUAAUUUUUAGGCACACAAUAAUCAUAUAUGCAUGUCAUAAUUUUACAGAUACAUGAUAUAUUGUACCUAUAUAAAAAAAACUACAUCCUUGUGAGAACAUGUUAUUUUGAACUGCCAAUUUCCAGUUAUGGCUUUGGAAUUAGCUGCCAAUUCAGUUGUGUGCCAAGGCCCCUCAUUAAUGUAUUAAGACAAAUAUGUUUGGAUUGUUGGCUCCUUGUCACAAUAAAUGUCAUUUUUAUGGUAGGAUGCAGAAGGAAAGAUUGGAAAUAAAAGGGUGGUCACAAAAAUGGAUUUGAACAAUUUUUGCCUUUAGGGAUUUUAAUUAAAAAAAUAUGCACAUGACUAAUCAAAUUUAUGAUGUGUUUAUAAAAAAGCAUCAAAAUAAUGUUGCUAAAAGCCUCUUUUUAUAAUAAUAAUUAUCCAAAUAUAUACAUGUACAUGUGUUUGUAUUGAUAAAACAUAAACAGAGAAUUGUAAUGUUAAAAUAUUUCAUGAUAUUGUAAUAUAUUGUAAUAGUGAAACCCAAAUAAUCAAUGAACAUGAUUACUUUUUAAAUAUUUUUGUUAAAAUAUUAUUUUAUUUAGUUUUUUAUAUUUACAAAACGAAAUAGUGUGUUUAAAAUACAAGCUGCUAGAUUUAUUUAUUUAUUUAUUUAUUUAUUUUUAUCUGUAAUAAAUAAAUAAAUCAUGCAUGUAACUUGUGUUUGUAUGUGUAUGUAUAUGUAUAUAUAUAUAUAUAUAUAUAUAUAAUUAUGAAUUUUGGUUGAGGAUUUUUUAAAUUUAUUUUUAAAAUUAAUUAAAUAAAAUUUCAGUUUUGAAAUUUCAAUGGAAAAUUUUUGUGAAAACUUUCCUGACGUCUGCUCUUGGUACAAUAGUACGCUCUUGUGAUUUGAAGAUUACUGUUUCAGCAAUAUUUCCUAAUGAAGAUCUAAGCCUAAAGAGGUUCGAAUCCCGAAUUCCAAGUCAGGACUUGGGAAACAGCCCGGGGAAGAUCCCCCCCGCCUCUACACAGCCGAAGGGGACAGAGGUCUUCAUGGGGUCUUGGUUAAGUCUUCAUCCUCGGUGUGCUUGAACGGAGCUCUUGUGCACAGUGCUGUUUUAGAGUGUGAUUUUGUGUGUGCGCGUGUGUGAGAGAGAGGAAGCGAUUAGGGUUUUGAGGGCGGGGUUCUGUUUUUCGGAGGCGCUUCCUCAUCUCCGACGACCUCGAGGUAACGCACAAGCACGAGACAACAGUUUUGAACUUAGGGGAACGAGGGAGAUGGCGCGUUACGACAGAGCGAUCACUGUCUUCUCACCUGAUGGACAUCUAUUCCAAGUUGAAUAUGCACUAGAGGCUGUCAGAAAGGGGAACGCAGCAGUCGGAGUGCGUGGUACCGACACGAUUGUCUUGGGCGUGGAGAAGAAGUCCACAGCCAAGUUACAAGAUGCUCGGUAAUACUAUUUGCUUUGCUAUGCUUUCUUCCUGGAGUCGGAUCGUUUUGGGUGUAUUGAUAUGUCUCAGACAAUCGAAGUAUUGAUUUAGGGUUUGGAGCUACAUCUCGGUCGUAAUUCGUCGGAUUUGCUCAAAUUGGUUCGGCAUGGUGUAGGGUGAUUUGAUUUCGGAUGGACUAUCUAUUGGUUCAAGAGGAUCUUCUGUUCAGUUGGUGGGGUUGUGACGUUUUCUGGCUGGAUUAAAGAGUUAGUUUUGUUUUUCCAUUGAUGUCAGUGAGCAUAUACGGUGUAGGGUUUGAAAAGGUUAUGCGAUAGCGGUGGAGUGAUGGGUUCGGGACUUUGCAAGGAUGAUUUUUCAGCGUUUGGCUUUAGAUGUCGUUAGCAGUAUCCUUCAACGCUGAGGAAUGGAUGCAUGUUUUAAUUUGAGGAACUGAUUUAUAUGAAUUUUGAUCUGUUUGCAGUACCGUCCGGAAGAUUCUGAAGCUAGACGAGCAUGUAUCCCUUGCCUUCGCUGGCUUGACUGCUGACGCACGCGUGCUCGUCAAUCGUGCUCGAAUUGAAUGCCAAAGUCAUCGUCUUACAGUAGAAGAUCCUGUGACGGUGGAAUACAUCACUCGCUUUAUUGCUGGCUUGCAGCAGAAGUACACUCAGAGUGGUGGAGUGCGUCCUUUCGGUAUCUCUACAUUGAUUGUAGGAUUCGACCCUUACACAGGGGUACCUUCCCUUUACCAGACCGAUCCCUCUGGAACCUUCUCAGCUUGGAAAGCCAAUGCUACAGGUCGUAACUCAAAUUCAGUGCGUGAGUUUCUGGAGAAGAAUUAUACUGAGACCUCAGGUGCCGAGACAGUCAAGCUGGCUGUGCGAGCGCUUCUAGAGGUAAGUGCCAAUCUUUAUGUUCGUUGUUGGUCAUGUUUUCUACUUUUUUAAAGUCUCAUCCCUACACGGAAAACUGAAGGUUGCAAUAGGUACUGAUGGUCAUAAUAGUUUUUUUCGUUCAUUACAAAACUUAAGAAACUCACUUCGUGGCUGCAUUGCGACAGGUGGUAGAGAGCGGUGGGAAAAACAUUGAAAUUGCAGUAAUGACCAAGAAUGAAGGUUUAAGGUUGCUAGAUGAGGCAGAAGUUGAGGGGAUUGUUGCUGCGAUUGAAGCUGAGAAGGCUGCUGCCGAAGCAGCGAAAAAGGGUCCUCCUCGUGAUCAGUAGGCAUUGAUAUUAGUUCAUUGGCCAUGGCGACAGGGUUAUACCUCAAGGUGACAACAGGUGACAGUGGUCAGUUUUCAAGCACCAUUGUCGCUUUAUGUAAACUUGUAAAGCAUGCUACCAUUACCAAUUCAGCGUUAUCUUUAGAUUGGUUUUUGAAUUUUGCAAAAUUCUACUUGUUGUUUAAUGGGUGUGAUGUGCUCUGUACAUCAUAGGACGGUCAGAUUAUGAAGAUCUCAUUUAUGAUGAAUUGAAUUUGCUAAAAUCCAUAUAACUAGCUAUAUAAAAAUAGGAUCCGCUUGACUUGAAUCCAGUGGGUGAAAAAUAGUCUUGAACUGGCUGGAUAUUCACGGGCCCUUAGCCUUGAAUGUACUCGCUCCUAGAGUGAUUGGAGUGAGACGCACAUGUUAGUUCUUUUCCUGAGUCAAAUUGAACUAUCACUUUGGUAUUUAUUAAGUAUAGACCGAAUUUCCUGGUCUUCUGUGGAUAAUGAAAUUUGAAACUUAAGGUUCCCACUCAUUUAAUGUGGGAUAUGGUGGUUUUCAAAACAUCCUCGUUUUUUCUUCCGAAUAGGUUAUCCUUAUUCAAUAAUUUGUUGAUUUCUGAUGUCUUCAAAUUGAUGAGUUUUGUGACAGUAUACACCGUCGAAUACACUGGAACGUAAAUUGUAUUUGCAACAAACAAAGAUCUUAACAAUUCUAAUAAAAUUCUAAACAAAUCUUAACAAUUAUAACAAAACCUUAAUAAAAUUUUAAAGGAUCUUUAAAAAUUCCUAAAAUGAAUCAUUAGAUAAUUUUAAAAAAAAUUAAAGAAAUUAUAAAGGAUAUUAAAAAAAAUCCGAAAGAAAUCCUAAAUAAUUCAUAAAGCAAUCAUAGAGAUUUCUUUAUAAAACAAAUCUUAAAAAAAUUGUAAAGAAUCCUUAAAGAAAUCCUAAAAGAAAUUCUAAAGAUGUUACAAAAAAAUCUUAAAGAAUUCCUAAGCAAACCUUAAAAAUGUCUUAAUCCAACCCUAAAUAAAUCCUAAUAAUCCUAAUACAAUUCUAAAAAAAUUCUAGUCAAACUCUAAUUGAAACCUAAACAAUCCUAACAAAUUCUAGGGCAAUCUUAAAACCUUAAUAAUUCUUGAUUAAAAUGUUGAUCAUUCUUAAAUUUUUAUGCACAUUACAAUCUAAUGGUUAAAAAUAAGCACAACAAAUUAAAAAAGAAUCCAAAUUACCAACAGAAAGUAAAAAAAUCCUUAAUUGCUUGUAUAUUAGCCAUCUCCCUUUUCCAACCUUGAUGUUGAUCUUCUAGCAGCAAUAACUGCUUGUUGAACAAUUCACUUGCACUCAAAAUAAGAUUUUUUUAAAAAAAACUAAGAUUAUAUCACUUCUUCAGAAAAAUUUGCUUCAACCCAAUUGGUAGAUUGCUUAAGAUUAAAGAAACCCUUAUUUAUCCUUGAAAUCCAAAUUUCAAAACCUAACCCAGUUGGAUUUAAUAGUCUUUUAUCUAACCAUUAGAACAAAUUCACAGAAAAGAAAAAUUCAAAACAAGUAGAUGCACAAGCCCGGAACAGCCGUAAGUGCACAGUUUGUAGCCUAUGCGAAGUCUGGAUUUGACCAUGGUUAACAUCGAAGAAGUAGUAGGGCUUGCAGCAUAAUUUUCUUGACGUCCAAACCAAGAGCACACAAUUGGGGAAGUGUUACAGUCGCCGCCGACCCAUUCAUGCAUAGCCUGUGAUAGAAUUAUAGUCAUGUUACUGACACUCGGAAACAACUGCUGUUCAUGCACAAUUUAUAGCCUACACUAGCCUGCUCCUUACAUUGGAUCUUUUCGUUGGUUGUCGGAGAGCCAGUUCUUCACGCUCCUCAACAACUACUACACCAUUAGAAGUCUUGCAGCUGAGGCCUGCAGUUGAAUGUGAGUAAUGGACAUAGCACGCUACUUCGAAGGUUUUCGAAUAAAGGACAAUACAUUCACAAAGAAGAUCUGCACGAGACAAUAUGCAUCUAAGAAAUGAUCUAUGAUUCGAAUCUACUCUUACUUUACAUGGCAAUACUGUCCUCAAGCUACAGUAAUUGUGCAAAUUGAAGUCGUGAAGUAACCUUACAAAUUCUGAAGCAACUGGAGACAUUGAAAACUUUUGAGAAAGGUAUGGUUGGGAUGGGUACGUCCAUCGCCCUUCGCAUGAAGCCUUAAACUAAUGCUCAGAUGAUGAAGACCUCAAACUUGCUCGUUUUCUUCCUGAACUUCCCAAAUCCAUAUGCAUAUCCUCGGUGAAUGCUUGGACCCUUCCAAUCUCCAAAUAUCUAGGUUCAUAUGAACUCAUUCUAACCAAUCUUUCUACACAGCUCCGACUCUCUAUAUCUGACAUAUCAGGUUCAUAACCUCCCACUCCCUGCCAAAAACUUGCAUCGUGACACAACGGAAUCUGCGUUGAAAACGAAUUAUUGUACUUUGGGUAGUUUCUUAUUGACGUUUUUCUCAUUGAGAAGGGGUGCUGAUUAAACACAACAUUUCACCACUGUCUUCCUGUGGUGGUUCUAUUGCUUCUACUUCCCGUUAGUAGUCCGUCGUUCGCAUUCGUUCUACCCUAAUAAACAUUCCCAAAAUCGAUCCGUUCGAGAGAUUCUCUAUCACCAUUGCUUGAUUGCUUCGAAGAAACUAUGAAGUUCUCAGAAUCUAGGUGUUCACUUUUGCUCAACCACCGCGCAUCACUAUGCACAGUUGUUACUUCUUUAAUUACUGGAAGUUUAGUGGAAUUGGCCCUAGAAGUUCCAGGGACUGAUAUGUCACAAAUCAUCGAUUCAUGGCACAAAACUGUGGAUUGUAGAGAUGUCAACUCCGUAGUCUGCCAUCCAUAUUGUUUUCCUGAAUGAAGCUGAGAAAAUUUAGUUAAAUCUAGGUUAGUGCUCAAGAGUCAUUUUACGAUAGUACAUUUCGAUAAGUGAAUUUCAACUGAAGUCUACAAUAUCACAAAAGUUUUUUAAUAAAAAAAGAUUGCUUCCCUUAUCUGUCAACGUAUGAACUCCAGGUAUUAAGUAUGUUAGAAACAUAGGCGCAUUCAUCCAUGCUGUAAUCCUAGACUGUAGCAUCAUUAUAGUCUAAUUUGAGAGCCAUGAUGGUAAAUCGAGUUGAUGCUGACGCUCUUGGUCAAGGAGAUUCACGCCAGGAAAACCUCUGCAAAUCCCGAAGUUUCGUUUACUACUUUUGAUGCUUGUUUCCUGAUUUGCAACAAAUAAUUGUGGUGAAAUGAGUGAUGGCAGCAAUCUGCGAUAACGUUGACCGUUUCUGAGGCCUUCGAAUUGCAAAAUAUAUCUGCAGGGUUAGUACACUGCUCAGACCUGGACUUUAUGUCAGAGUUAAAAUUUAUUAGACUCGUCAACAGCAACGGAUGCUACAAGUGUAGCUCUACUAUCAUUGGUUGAAGGGUGACCAACUCCGCUAAAUUUGCAAUUCUGAAGGCUCUGCGUGUGCAGACACGGGACCCCUACCUUCACUUUUUAAGGCAAUGACAGACCCUGACCAUGACUCUGCUUCGGAUUGUUUCAUUUUUUGUUCAACACGGUUAAUGUGGUACUAAAUUUCAACCAAAAACUAAAGGAACCUGCAACCCAGUAGCAACUUCUCGAGAUUACUACUAGACCCAGUCGCUAUGUUUUCACCAGCGUUGUAAUCGAUCUAGAUAUCACUGGUAGUUUUGUCAUAAGUGAAAUGAGUGCUGUCUAGUAUUUCAUCGAUGAGCCUCUUUUACUGUCACUCCCACAACCCUCAACGACAACUACUUGCAUGAGCUCACUUCCAGGAAUCACUAGGCAUGUCUCGAUAGACGUGAUUGCGGAGCUGGACAAGUGCAUUCAUCGCUUCCGUUCUCAUCUUGAGUGAUUCAGUAACCAGUGAAAGAUUUUGGCACAAGACCAUAAGUCAAGAAGGUAGACAGGCGCAAUCACGACAGCAGCCAAAAACCUAGAAACACGGGAAGUACUGUUGUGCCAUUAAUGAAUAGUGCAUUAUUUCAUUGGCAGGUGGAAACACCUAAAUAUCAGUGAAACUGCUAUUGCAGCAUUAUUGUCUAUGUUCUGUCGACCAACAAUUUCUAAAAAGUUCUCUUCAGACAUGGUGGUGUGCAAUGAAAUCGGAUACGCCUCUGCUGUAUAUGGAGUUCAAAUGGACCUUCGAUACUGAAAACUUGAAUUGUAGAGUAAAUUCGAGUCGGCUAUUGCGAUGGAUUGUCAAACAUGUCGAGGGCGGUUUCAGUACUAUCUUCUCCUUUUCUCUAUUGCAUCAUUUUUAUCUUUGUAAUUUCUCUUCUUGACACACGAGACCUUCGGUCUGCCUGGUAGCGCAUCUUAGUGAAACUGGAACUGACUUUGAUGUGUGCUAAGAGCUGACAUUCGAAUUGCUCCUCAUGUGAAAUCAUCGACGCUUGUUCUUCUCUUGCGGUGAUCAAGCAAGAUACCGGUCCCCUAGAAUAAACGCUCCCUCGCUGUCUAGAAUGAGUCGCAUUCUGAAGUAUUCAGAAUCUACAUCACCUUGUUUCCUCACUUAAAUCUCAGCUGCUGACGGCCUUAUAUCUCGUUAUUUAAAUAUGUAGUUCUGUGUCUAGAUCCUCUCGAGCCUUCGAAUAGUUUCAUAGAGCGCAGAUCUUCGCAAGUUCUUAUUGUUACCCAAUGGCAGCUGCGUCACUAUCACUGUGCUGGCCACGAUUACUGAAAUCUGAGCUGCUUGGUUUUUUCUGCUUUCAUCCAGCUUGAGUGCAGUCGACUACCCAACUCAACCUCUACCGACAUUGAGAUAAACGACCGACAAACAAAUCUGUUACCGACACUGCGAUCUAUCCGUUGCUACCCAAACACCCGCAAUCUUCUUGAUGUGGUUUGCAGGCUCAAGCAAAAGCAAACCUAUUGCAAAAUUAUGAAACCUCCUGUUUAUGAAGUAUGUGAGGACAAGUGUGAGUCCUUCGGUCUAUUCAUAUAAAUGUCAUACUAUCAUACAUGAUGCUAAUUGUGAAUAUUGAUCGAUAAGUCAAUGGAAAAUGUCAGGAUGGUAUUUUUAUUUUAUUUUUUAACAUAGUAUCAUGUUCAUUGAAGCAUUAUUGCAAAUAUAAAUACACUGAAGUCUUUAAUCAGUUUAAAUUUACACGAAAUUAUUUAUUUAUUUAUUCAUGUAGUUGUAAAUGAUGGGUUUGCUUUGCGUGCAAAUGAGAAUCCAGAAAUCCUAUAUAUAUAUAUAUAUAUAUAUAUCAUCUUACGAUUUCUAUUUUGGUAAGAAACAGUUAUUGUACCAAAAGAAGAUAUUGCAAUUUUUAUUAAAAUUCUCGUCUGUAUCUAUUUUUUUUUGUAUACAUAAGUUGAAAUAUGUCCAAAAAAAUUGUUGCAAUUUAUUAGUUACAUCCACAGGUUUGUUUUUUAAGUUUACAAUUUUUUAGUUCUUUUUUUGAAGUGUCUGUGUUAUAUAUAAAAUUGCAAAAGCCGAGGAAAGCAUUUUGCACAUCCAUACAUACAUACAGAUUAUUUUGGAUAGUCGACAUAUUGUCCUAUAUUUUUACACACAUACACACAUGCAUGUGUGAGGAUAUAUAGAGAAUACUCAAAGUUUUAUUAAUAGGGUAUUCACACGAUCUAAUUAAACAAAUGAUACCACUUACCACGAUCUUCAAUCAUGAAGAGAUGGAAUCAUAUGGAAUCUAACGUGCAGAAUAUGCUAUCACUUUUACAUGUUGAAACUGGAGUACCAAAUGAAGUAAAAGUUCCGAAAAAACACACAUCCCCCAGAACAACUAUAGAAAAAAAAAAUACCCAUUCUCAGUGUUAACUACAGAGAAAACUCCACACCCUCCAUCACAUUAAAACCUCUACUCUCAAGAGAACGAGAUGACGUGGGCGUGAUGUGGAAGUAACCGUUCUAGUUAAAUUGCGGGUGGGCAUUACGCGACCUAAAUCCCGGUUUCGGAGCCCCUUACGAACUCCGAAAAGGCCCAGUGGGGAGGCAGGCGAAGACAGAUUGCGGCUCUGACGGCUCUGAGUCUCGCGUUUCCUGCGUGUUUUAUUUGUGCCCUGCGCUGUGGCGGAUGCAUAGAUGGAAUCUCACUGCCUAUCGCUCGUUGUUGUAGGUUGAGCUGCAGUUUUCAUGUAUCCAACGUUGGCCUCCGUUGAGGUUUUUGGGUGGUUUUUCGGUUGUAGAGUGACUCUUCACGGCCAACAGGUUUUGAGGAUCUUGGGACCCUGCUGUUAGAUACAUGUUCUUGAGAUCGUUGUUAUUGGCGUUGCCCACUUUUGGUUACUUUGUUGUCAAACAUUUCUUCUUCUAGCAUUUGAUGCAGAUUGGUUCGAGUUGUAUCUGGAUGAUCUGCUCACUACUUCGCUGUGUUGUAUUCCACGUAGAAGGAUUCUGGUUCAUUCAUUGUGCAGAUCGGUGGAUUUUACGAGAAGAAACCAUUGUUUGUACAAUUCUUAGUUUGCUGAGAAAGAUCGAGGUUUUCAUAGGAUUGGUAUGGAUCAAGCAGUCUCUGCCACAACGUUCUGAAUGAGUUGUAGAACCUCUGGUCCCCUGCAUUGCUUCUGCUAGAUUCUGGCUAUGGAUGGCAUUCCGACAGUGGCAUUUGAGUUUGGGAUUUCCGACAUUUCAUCGUGACUUCUUUUCUUCAUCUGGGAGAUCUUAAUUGGCGAAUUUCUGUUUUCAAGAAGUGAUUUCAUGCAAAGAGUUCAAACAAGGGUCUUCAUUCUUUUAGAGCUGGGAGAAUGUGUGAAGGCUGCAUUGCACCCCGUGUCUGUAGGAAGGACCAUGCGGACCGGCUGUGGCGAACCGGGAUUCAACAAAAGAGAGAGAUGGUAGUGGGAGUAGCGGGUGCUUUGGGAAAUGCUCAUUACGCCCUCGCAGGUAUCGGCAAGUACGUUCUGUGUUGACCUCACAUCGCAAUUACGAAACUAUUCAUGGAAGAUCCGAAGUGGGAGGGAGGUUCAUCGCUGUCUGCUGUGAUCGAAUUCAGUGCCUCUGGCAUUGUCUCACUAUAAUUACGGAUCUUGUGCAUUCACGUAGGUCCCAGCACAGUUGUCAGAAAUUUAGAUGCAAUGGAAGAGGAGCUGGUCAGUCAGCGAUUUUAUUGAACCUUGUUCCCGAGUGUAAAAGGUUGUGGGGAUUUCUGAUGUGCAUAUUGUAAGGGGAAUGCCAGAGAUGGGUGCCGGUUGCGAUGCUUUGCCAGGUGGUCAACCAAGUUCAUCCCCGAAACGCCCUUUAAGCAAGUCAUUACGUAGGUCUGCAUCCAAUCGAGCAAUCCCUGUUCGAGGGGCAGAAGUAUUUCCUUCAUCGUUGGCCCAUCAAAAGUUCUUAAAGGCGUCUCUAGAGCAAAACCCUGAGUUACACCUUAGAACUCAACAACUUUCAACCUCUAGUACAUUAUUUCCCCUUAAAACAACCACCCCAUCGACCUCGCUGCCCCCGCCUCUUCUCACAGCGAAGUCCAAGCAUCUGUCAAGAUCCCUCACAUCCCUUCCCCUGGAGCCGGAGCCUGACAAAACCGCCCACUCCAAAACUAUUACGAUCCCCACACACUCCGACCUCCUUCCCAACGCCCGGAUGCCAUGUUUAGAAUCCUGCGUAAAACCCAACGUCGUUACCUCUCGGGAGAAAGACAUGAUAAUUCCAGUUCCAUCGCAGCAAGAUACUCUAGCAGGUGGGCCAGACAUAUUCGUAAAAUCACUUUUUAGAUCCUCCACAUUCUCUGCUCUUCGGAAACAUGCUACUCCACCUUUACCUGAAGAAUCCUCUCUGUAUACCGUUGCUGAUCCCCCCUCUGCCUCCAAAUCCUUUUGGAGGUCAUUCACCUUUAAGCACAUGCCGAGCAAGGGCGGGGAAUCUGUGCAGGAGCAGAAUGCGGACCCAAUUGUAUCUGGAUUGUCCAAAUGGGCGCGGAGCAUCGUGACUAAGCCUGCUGCAGAUCAGGUGAUAGAGGUUGACGAAUCCUCGCCAUACAGUCUCCACUCUGGGUCUUCCGCCAAGUGGACAUCGUCAGUAGGAGUGCUUCCUAUCGCGGAGGUGGAAAACUCUUUUGAUGUGUUCACCAAAGGGUUGCUUGAUUCUUCAAGAUCUGCCGUCAAGGCUGUUCAGAACAAGGCCCGACAUCUCGUCUCCCAGAAAUGGUAUCAGGUAUGUUGAGAUGCACACGAUACUUUGCAUGUUUGAGCCAUCAAUGAAGGGUAUAAUUCUCGUGUCUGGAAGAAUUUCUGCAAUUAGUGUGAGAAUUAAUGUGAGAAUUAUCUCUGCAUAUGAAAUCGGUGUUUUCCUGAUUGUUGUAUGAUUUGCAUAUGAGCUUCUGGAAGAGCCAGCGGUCACUUCAAAGCAGUCAUCGAUUCAUGUGCAUGCAGCAUAGAACUUCCCAUCUGGAUAUGGUGUACAUUGCUAAGAAUAUUAUUGCGGUGGAGUUUCCGGUCAUCGAAAGUAACAUCCUAGGAUUUAUGGAGGUGAGUUAGCUUAAGUUGCUUCAAAUGUUAACAUAAUGAAGACCACAAGCAAGUCCUCCUUUUGCAGGUAAUAGCCUAGUCGACAUGCCCAGUAUUGGCUGAUGUAUAUGUAAUGAGAAAACUUAUUCACGGAAGUUUAUGCUAUCUUGCUGGUGGAAAUUUUCCUAUAGGCUGAUUACCGAGACUAUAUAGAGGAGCUCGUCACAUUUUGUGAGAUGCAGCAUUUGGUAAGUCUUCCUGAGUGUUCAUGUCACUUUUCCUGCAAUUCACGUUGUCUUGCUCGACAAUGAACUGGACGAAAAGGAGGUUUACCUUAACGUAUUUUUAAUUUAUAUAGGUAGAUCCUUCUCUGUGUGCCUCUUAACAGGGCAAGUACAAAAUCUUCAAUUUAUGCUCGGAGGAGCUAUAUGACACUUCACUUCUUUAUGAUAAGGUGUGUUAUCGUUUAUUACUUAUCACAUCAAUGACAACGAAGGGUUUUAUUUCAACACGUUGUGCCCCAUAUCAGAUAGCUCAAACGUUUCUGAACAUGAGCACCUUUUAUGUGGGUGUAGUAACUCUUAACCAAACAUGCGCUCAACGAUCUUCAACGAAUUCUGUGUUGUUCAGUUUUGUUGCUAAUAUGUACCUCUCCUUGCAGGUGGCAUGUUUCCCCUUUCAAACCAAUAAUUGCCCUCCUUUGCAGCUCGUGUCAGCAUUUUGCGAAGCUGUACACACAUGGCUCAAAGCAGGUCUUGAGAAUGUGGUAGUGGUACACUGUAAGGGAGGGAUGGCGCGCACUGGACUCAUGAUAUCCUGUCUUCUUCUUCAUCUCAAUGUACGUUCGUCUCUCGUCGCUUCCUCGAAGUGACUUGGAUUCCACCUCCAAUGCAAUAUUUCGUGUGGACUUUUGACAUCGACACUAGUUUGUAAUUUCAUCAUGCCACGUACAUUUCAACACUUACACAUUAGCGUGAAUAUUUCCUCAUGCAAUUUGGCAACGAAAUACUACUCUUUUACCACUAAGCAUAUCUUCUUUUUCUUUUCUUUUUUUCUUUUUUUUUUCCAGUUCUUUUCUACUGCAGAGGAAUCAGUUCACCACUACAACGAGAAACGAUGUGUGAAUAGUAACGCUUUAAUACUUCCCAGCCAUCUUGUGAGUGUUCAUCCUGUGUGUUAACAGUGAUAUUCAUUUUACAAUCUUAGUAAAGCAGCUUGUUACUAACUAGACACAAAUAAUAUAGGUGCAGUAAUUUCGACCUGCGUUUUAAGAUGAUUAACUUGGAGGGUUUUCUUCUUAUCUUUUACUGAACGGAAGUAUUGGCAUACCCUCAUGCAAUUUAGACUUACAUGUAGGUGUUUCUGAUAUGGCAGCGGUACGUAAAAUACUAUGAGGAGGUCUUGAGAAAACACCACGGAUUUACUCCAGGUGGGCGAAGGUAUUAUGCAUACCAGUUAAUUUGUAUGCAUGCUUAUAAUGCCUUUGCUAUAUCUGCAUGCUAGUUUUCUCCUGAACAACCCCUUUGUACUAAAGCCCUGAACUACUCAGUGAUACCAAUGUCUACAUGCUUAUGGUUCUAGAUCCUUUAUUGUCUGUGCAAGUGAUUCGUACUUCAUCUUUUGAUGCACUCGAAGAACAUGUGGAUAUCCUGCUCAUGUACAAGUUUCAUGUAACUAUUUAUGCCGCUUGAAUGUAUUUUGUGUUCCCGUAACAUUCUAUUGUUGUCCUUUGCUUGUUGACACGGUGUUUGUUUUCAUUGCAGAUGUACCUUAAGGAGUAUACGCCUGAUCAACUGUCCAUCUUGGAUCCGUCCUUCUGUGACGAUUUCAGAUCAUGACGGUACCACACAUGCUGUUCCUUCUGAGAUUUUUAUCUUCAGAGAACUUUAUCAUCGCAAUGUUCACUAAAGACCCGAAUGCUCAUCUGUUUGAGUGAAGUCCUAUUUUGGAAGUGGCCGCAAUCUGCUACAGUUUUUUCUGGUUUCUACGUACUGACUAGGGUUGCAUGGUUACAAUGACCAGGUGUGUUAUUCACUAGUAUAAAGCAUUCUAACUUUAUGCUGGUGAGUUUCUUUCCUGCUCUUUUACACCUUCGGUGGUUCACUCUUUGGAGACAGAACCGAUGAUCAUAUUCAGAGACGAAACUUAGAUCUGCUCUAAGUGCAUUUAUAUGCACUGAAGUUUGGUUUUUCCUCUUUAUACGCAUAGAGCAAAUGAUUUCUUUUUACCCAUUUGAAAUUUUAUAUCUUAAUGGCUGUUGUUCCUUGGGCAGGCAGAAGACCUAUGGAUAAGUGCUCUUAACAGCAAAGUUCUUCUUUUUGAGCUGCCUAACGGUGGGCAUGCUGCUGCGGUUGAUGGGGACUUCAGAAUCCACUUCCAGAAUGGAGAAGUUCAGUUUUCCUGGUAAGAUUUUUUCUUCACUAUUAUCCUUGGCCUUUCAACCUGAAACAGGCACCGUUUACAGCGUCGCAGCAAGUUUAAGUUUUCAGUAUGAGAUUGUUAGUCGUGUUUUAAGUAAAUUUCAUAUGUUGACCAAAUUGAUUGAAUUGAUCACAGUUGGUUAAACACGAAUAUGAUGAGGAGAAGUAUUGUUCUCCGAAUAAAUGAUCUUGAUGGAAACGAGGUAAAUUUUUCUGAAGUAUGCCAUUUUUCUGGGAGUAAAAGGAAGCUAACGGUUCACCCAAUUCUUUAAUAUUACCAGAACUAGCUUUCGCGAAUAGCCGCCUAGUAAUAUGCGUUCAUCUCUAAAAAAUCUUAUCUUUACAGGGGCUGAGCGAAGCAACAGGAUUUCAAGUAGAAUUGGAAUUUCAGGAUUCGUUUAUAUCCGUUAUGAAAACAACUAGCACAGCAGAAACUGCUCCAGCAAGUAUCAGACCACCUCUGCCUUCAGACAUGACCUUCGGUAGAAAAUUUCCAUGCACUAAUACAGCAACAAAUGGAGAAGCUAUUUUCACAGGUAUGUAAUCCUUGGCUGAGUUAUCAUUGGCUCACAUUUCAUUCUAAUGCAAUGAAAUCAGAAUACAGUCAACAUGCCGACAGCAUGGUACCUCCACACACCUUGCUGUCGAGCAUGCUUCCCCGACAUUAGCACAGCUAUCAACUGUUAAGGGAUAAAAUCAUGAGCUGAAUCCUAUAGCUGACCUCUGAUUGAUGUAAUGUUGUGCCCAAAUGCAUGUUUCAUAGAGCAUCUGGUCCCAGCACCUCACACGUUUGAAUGUCACAAUUAGAUCACCUGCCGCGCUUCAAUGGGAAGAAUUGUGCUCUUGCAGAUAGUGAAGGAGAAGACGAAGAAAGUCCAGGGGUUUUGCCACGCUCUUCUGCGGAGAAACGUGACAUCAGAGAAUCUGAGGGAACUUCCCUCAUGAGUGAAGAUCCAGAGUCUUCGUUUCAAAGUAAAGGUAUUGCGCGUUUGACUUCUAGUGAUCCUCCUAGCGAUUUUCAUGCGAUGGCUGCUGCCAAUUCUGCGGAUGCUUCUCUUUUCACUUUUGGUGAUGAAGAGGACUAUCAAAGUGACGAAAUUUAAUCUCAUGUAUGGUGUUCUCUGCUGAGUGAAGACCUAUCUGGACGGAAAGCAUACAUUUUGAGGGUGAUCAGGAGCUGCCAGCAGACAAAUUGUAAUGAUACUAAAAUUCAUAUUAUUCUGAUCUCUGGCACUUCUCUUCAAACCGAUUGCAUUCUAGCCUUGAAACUUCCCUAUCGUGCUAAAUGAACUUGCAAUACUCACAGAUGACCCCUUGUUUAAACAACUUACUAAAUGUGAAACAAAAGACUGUUUGCUGGAGUAGAGCAGAACGUUGAAUGAUAGUUCCAUAUGAGCACUGUAAAUGUAGGUCGUGGUAAUAUCUCUGAAAUACACUCUGAACAGUUCUUCCUACUAGAGUCAUCUAAAGAUUUGAGGAUUAUCAUCUGAAGUAUAUUUGCUACGAAGUAGAGUGGUUUGUCAAAAGAGUGCUGUCGUUUAUAGUAUUCGUGUGCAAAUUUUUCGAUGACUCUUAGCGAAUUGACCUUCCACUGUUUUAUUCGUCUAGGAUAGGCUGAUAUGCACUGAAUUUCACAUGUUGAACGAUAAGAUGAUAGUUGCAAAGAAGUUGCGAAAUGAAUUAGUGUUGAGUCAAGAUUAUUUUCAAUGAAUUGGCGCAUGGAAACCUACAAAUUACAAUAAUUGAUCAAUCUACUGAGAAGAAAUGCUACAUCGGCGAUCAGAGGUGUCAUAUAGAAAUGUGUAGUUGGAGAUCCCCAACGACCGGA